GGCAUUUCAAAAGUUACAUCAACUUUAUCCCCGCUUUGCAAAUUGAGCUUAUCGUUCGAUAUUUGUCCUUGCCAAAGAAAACAUUCUUUAAAUACAAUAUCGCGCAUUUUUAUAACCCAAUCUUCCUUGCUUAUGCAGGUGUGCAACUCGAUACGCUUGGUAUUAUUUAUAUCAAUACUGGCACGAUGAUGACCAUUCCAUCUGAUACAAGUUCUUGGCUGAUAAGGAUUGAAGCAGUAAAGGCAUAACAGAGUCAGCCCUUCAAACUUACGACCAUCACUCAGGGGGAUAUCAAAACUGACUUUAUUACCAUCGUUGACAAACUCGAACCAAUCAGGAACAUAAUUCCCAUUGAGAAAAAUGCCACCAUAUCCGCAAGAAGUCCAUCCCUAUAUACACAGUGCAAGUGUCAUAUAUAUAUACAUGUACAUGUGCGUUGUGUGUGUGCAUGUGCCCAAUAGGAAGACAAUUAAAAAGAGAGAUACCUUUAGGAUGUUCCUCCUUAAAUCAAUCCUGAGUUUGGUGCAGUUACUCAUAUCAAUCCAUGUCAUGGAGUUUAAUGACUUAUCCAAGUCUGGAACCUCAGUGAGUGCGUGUGAAUCACUUACAUCCAGUUCUCUCAUAUUCGACAUUUUCGAAAAAUUGGGCAUUGUUACCAAACAAUAGCAACUAGAUGCACCCAGAAAUUUCAAAUUUGUUGGUAAAUCAUAGAUUGUAUGAAGGUAACGGCAGUUACUUAACUGCAAACUUUCAAGAUUUGAAAGAUCACUGAGGAUGGGUAGGGUAUGAAAAUAAUUACCCGAAAGAUUCAAACCUUGUAAAGAAAUUAGACUCCCAAAACCUUUUGGGAAUGCAUCAUCGCUUAAUCUGCACCAUGAGAUCUAAAUUUCUUAAAGAAUCUAAGCCGUGUAACGAAUCGGGAAAUUGCAAAGGAAACUUCGAUUGCACACGCUCUAGAGAUAAAUAAGUGAGAUUUUUCAAUCUUACUGUGGAACGCGGUACUUGUCUUAUGGCUGUGGUAGAUGCUCUAAGUUCUCUCAAUGAUGUCAUCUUCCCUAAAUCCUCGGGCAGUUCACUGAAUUGACAACAUAGAUAAAGAUCAAGAAUCUGAACGGAUUUGGACUCGUAGAAAUCCCCAGGAAGAGAAUUAAGAUUCUUGCAGGCUAUGAAGUUCACAAAAGAGAGUUUUUUAAGAUGACCAAUGGAGGGGUGAAUCUCGGACAAUCUCUCACACCUUUCCAAUAUCAAAUCUUCAAGAUUUGGGAGAUUUGAUAAGUCUGGUGAUUUUUUUAAGUCCUGGCAAUAACUGAGAUUAAGGAUUUUCAAGUUUCCAAGCGACUGUUGCAAAAUCAAAGGAAUAUUAAAAUUAAUAUCCAAAAGGAAUAUCUCAUAUAAAAAAGAGAAGUAAAUAAAAAAAACAAAUAGAAACAUAACAUCAUGAUGUGUAAUCGAUUGUACCUUGGAGCCCUCCCAAACUUGUACCAGUUUGCUAUUCGUUAUCUCUAAAAUAACUAGUCUUGGUUGAUCAAAGAAGUCAUCUGGUAUAGACUUUAAGGGGCAUCCUUCCCAAAGCAACCAUAUUAACUCUUUGGGGAGAUGUUUGUAUUCUCCAUUGAGCUGCACGUUGUAGAGCCUGAGCAGUCUCAGUUUCUUCAUGAUGGCAAAUGCUUCUGUACUGAAACUAGGCAUGUUAGAGCUUGGAGGCAAAGAAGGGAAAUAUGGUGCUAGCCAUUCAGGGAAAGGAGGGAAAUAUAGUGCUAGUCCUUCAACUUCUUCAGUUCCCUGUUAACAAAAGGUUAUAUUAAUGUGUAAGAAACGGAUUAUUUGCAUACGUUUACAUGUAUGAGUACAUGCAAGUACUAUCGUUGGCUAAUUGAGAUGAAUGUUACUUAUUGUAUAAUUCACACCCGUGAGUUAUAUGUGCUUUUCGUGUACAAUGCAUUAAUUCAGAAUUUUAUUGGGAAUGUACUUACAGAUUUAUCUCUCAAUACAUUAGUGACAUCUUGAUGGUUCCACAACCUACUCCAUUCUCUAGGGGGACGACGGUAAUUACCAGAAAUGAUUACUUUGGCCAUUUCUCGAAGCAAAUCAUGCAUAUUCAACUUGUUGUCUUCAACAGUUAUAAGGCAUCGUUCACGGAGGUCAUUGAUUCCUAUUGUUGCAAAAAAGUUACAUCCAUCUAAUAUUUUUGCGACAUAAUCCUUUUUCCAUCCAAUAAAGAAACAAGAUAUGUCAAGGAAUAUAUCCCUCUGGGUAGGAUCUAGCCUUUCAAAGCUUACUCUUAGCGGUUUCAUUAUUCCUUCAUUAGGAAUUUUUUUCAAUUUCUCCAACUGGCUUUUCCACUCUGUUGGGGAUCUUUCAACCAUAGAAGAACCUAAAACUUCAAGGGCUAGUGGCAAACCACCACAGUAAGAAACAACCUCUUUUGAGAGUUCAAGAUAUCCUUCAUUAGGCCUACUAUUUCCAAAGGCAUGCCAACUAAAGAGCUUCAGAGCUUCUUCUUCAUUCAUUUCCUUAAGUGGAUAUGUCUUGUCCACUUUCAUGUUCACUUGCUUUAGUAAACGUUCAUCUCGUGUCGUUAUGAUAAUUCUACUUCCUGGGCCAAACCAAUCACGAUUUCCAGCUAUUGCAUUUAGUUGUUCCACUUUGUCUACAUUGUCAAUAAUGACAAGUACGCUUCUACGUUGGAGAUGAUUUUUUAUCAGACUGAUACCUUCAUCAACACUGGUUAUCUUAGACUUGUUCCGUUUCAAGAUGUCAGAAACAAGUUUGCCUUGCAAAUCAGCCAGAUCAUAUUCACUAACGUUGGCAAGGAAGCUUUUGAAUUGGAACUUAUGAUGAAUUUGGUUAUAAAUGGCUUUGGCAGCUGUUGUUUUACCCAAUCCGCCCAUCCCCCAAAUUCCAACCAUGCGAACUUCUGAUCCACCACUUGAAAGAUAACUGAUAAUAUCUUGAACGCGAGAAUUGAUUCCAACCGGGUGCUUGGCCACAUGUAAUUUGUUUGUGCUUAGAAGCCAUUCCGGAAUAAUCUUAUCAACAAUUUCUCUAAUCAGCUGUGCUUCGCACCUGAAAAUUGAAUUGGUAAGCUUAGUAGGCUUAGUAGGAGCCAUUAGAACAUAAACAAUUUUCCUUCUUUCCUUCGUGUGUGUGUGUAUACACACACACACACACACAAUAACUAGCUACUAGCUAAUAUGUGAUUUUGUGACCAACUUGAAUAGAAGAAACAAUUUCAUGCAUUGAUUUAUUAAAGUUUGGUGUAUCAAUUAAACUCCAAUUAUGGUUUAGAUUUUAAAGGAAAUUGGAGAAAUGGUCCCUGAACUAUGAUCAAAUUGUGGCUUUGGUUCUUAAAACUUUAAAUUAUUAAAGUUAACUCUCUCCCACCUCCCUCCCACCUCACCUCCUCCAAACCCCAGCCACACCAUUGUAGCACUUUCCCAACAGCCAAAACAAAAGAAAGUUUCUAAUCCAAAUUUGGAACACAUCUCCCCUUGCAAACAAAUUCACAAUGACAUCCAUCCACGCUAUCUCGAAAGGUAAAAUUCAAGAAAUUUGUGGGAUGCGGGAUCGGGGUUAAAGUGAAGGCUGUGGUCCAUGGGCUAUAGGUUGGGGCCGGCUGGGGAGUGGGGAUUAGGGAUUGGGGGUUGGAAGUGGGACGUUGACGAGGUGUGAAUCAACGAUUGAAGGUGAAGGGGUGGGCUGCGAGCCUGCGAAUGUUGGUGGGACGAGGUAGGCCUGCAAUUAUAUAUAUAUAUAUAUAUAUAUAUAGGUGAAACUAACAUGUAAAGUUGUAAACACUUUCAACUAAAACUUAAAGAUAUUGGUUACGAAGGACUAACGCUCCAUAUUAUCAAGUUCAAGGACAAAAUAUAAUGAAUUUUUAGUUUAGGAACCAAACUACAAUUUUCCUGUAGAUUUUAAAUGAGAGAUUAAGGUGUAUUAAUUAAGCAUGUUAAUUAGAGUAAUACAACUUAAAUAUUGAAAUGUAGGAGAAUGAUUACCUAUUAUCAGUGAUUUGAAGAUGGUGGCCAGACAAAUUUGCAGCUUUUGUAAGAGCCUCUCCCCACUGCUUUACCCCUUGUUUAGCUUCACGUUUCUUGUCAUCCUUUUCUUCACCGAUGCCUUCUUUGUGCUUCUGAAAUUCUUCGGCCAACUUUGCAGCUGUUGUAAGAGCCUUUCUCCACUGCUUUACCCUUUCUCGUUUAUCUUCACGUUCCUUGUCAUCUUUUUCUUCACGGAUGUCUUGUUUGUGCUUCUUAAACGCUUGGGCUAAAACUCCGUUCUGCUUCCUGACAUGUGAAGGAUCAACAUGAUAGAAUAUUGGCAAAACAUGUCGCCCCAGUUUGUCUCUGCACUCCAUGAUCUUCACCAGCUCGUUAAGACACCAACUCGAAUCCGCAUACCUCUCUGAGAAGACAAUGAUAGAGAUCUUCGAUUCUUCGAUUGCCUGGAACAGUUCUUUUUGUAUUUCUUCCCCUCUUUCUAGAUCAUCCUCAUCGAUAUAAGCCUGGUAUCCCUUGUCUGUUAAUGCCGCAUGGAGGUGGCCCGUGAAACCAUUGCGUGUGUCUACACCGCUGAAGCUCAAGAACACGUCGUAAUUCCAAAGUUUUGACUUGGAGGAGAAUGAAGAGGAGGCUUCGUGGGUUGUCAUGGUGGUAUCCACCGUUAUGGCACUGUAGUUGUUCAGAUCACGACUAAAAAAUGGCAGUAGUUGUGUUCAUACUGUCGAACGGAUGAUCCUGAAAUACCUAAACCCAAGUCAAGCUCCUUCAGUCAACAAGAACAAAUAUUAUAUAUAAUAAUGUUGGCCGGAAGGUGCAGAGAAAGGGAGAGGAAAAGAGAUAAGAAAGGAACGAAAGGAAUGAAAGGACAAAGACUAUCCAAAAGAUUCUUGGCUGUGAUUACAGCUAUUCAUAGGAGAAACAACGGACAUAUUUUUAUAGGAGAAACAACCUGCCCAUCUUCAUAUAUAAUGCAUUUCAAUAGGAGAAACAACUUUAGUUUGUACUAGAAUUUUUUACCCGCGCGUUGCUGUGGGAUUUGAAAUUGUAUGAAAGAUUAUCUUUGAAAUAUAUAAUAGAUUGUGUGAUCGAAGAUUAAUACUAUUUACAUUGCAAAUGUUGAAAAAAGUUUUACAUACAAAAGAUUUUACGAUACAAUCCACAUACAAAAGAUGGUAAAUUUUUUUCUAUCUACAACAUGCAUUAUGUUAUGGAAUGAUAUAUAUAACUAAGUGCCAGAAUACAUAACUUCAUAACUUAUAUUUUUUUUGACAAAUUAAUCACAUUCAACUGUGGGAUAGCAAGGUUGCCUAUAAAAUUGUGAAGUCAUGGAAGCAUAAAGGACAAAUAACAAAUGAGUUUUGAGAAAUUAUUCCACAAAUGUCAUUCUGCAAAAUGUAUUAAAGACGAUUGGUAUAAGAUUAGUAAUCAUGAGUAGUGUAACAACAUCAACAAAGUAACUAUAAACCAUAGUUGAACAUAAUCCAAAUAUCGUUUGCAAAAACAAAAGAAAAAGAAAACAGACUUACAAUAAUUCAGCCUUCAAUCCUGAAGUCCUACUCAAAGAGCCAAACUUGAAUGCAAGCUUUCUGAAAUCUUCCAAACAAUACAGAUAAAAAGGUAACACCCUAGUCAGAAAUGAACCGAGCUGCUAGCUUUCAAAGAAACCCAGAUGACAAAAUAAAAAAAUAGAAUGGAAAAAUGACUUGCACAUUUAAGGCUUGCUCGAAUCUUGAUCUAAAAUUGGUGGCGGGUUGAUUGUUGGUCACCAACUCUAAAUAAAGAAUUCAUCAGAACCUAGAAAUUUAAACAAAGAAUUUUCCAAAAUCAACAUUUACUAAAAACCAGUUACUUGGUUAUCAUGCAUGAUGGCUUGCCAAAGACUGAAUUAAGGAAUGCACAACUUUACUUUUAUGAUUAUUUUCAAUGACAGCUAAAAGGUCAGAUCCAAAUGACAGUUAAAUUCCUUUUCUACAAAGUUCGAAAUUAUAUGGCAGUUUGGCAUCUGUUGAAUAACAUGGUUGAAAGAUUUAAAAUUGAUACAUUCAAUUUUUAUGUGUAAAACUAUAACAUAUACCUAAAGCUAUUUGGUCUAUAUAUCCAUAUCAAUCAUGUUGUAAUUAAAUGUUUAUCGAUGUAAAUAGAUGAUUUCAGUCAUGUGAUAACAUGUUUCUUGAUGGUAUACGCUGAAGUUUGGUCUAAGUUGGAUAAAAAUCGACCAAAAUCUUAGUAAGAGACUCUUUUAACUUUUAACCAAAAAAUGAGCACCACAAUACUACACUUAUAAGUUUUUAUCAUGCACAAAAUAUACAGCACUGAUAGCCACUUUUAGAGCAAGAACAAUACUUUACCAGACGAAAACAACAAAACACUCAAAACCCAGAAACAAAAACACACUUAGGACUCAAACUCCUCAAAAACAUGAGAAAGAGAGUGCGUGAGGAGAGAGAAUAAAAAAAAAUAUUAUUUUUCACAAACUCAAAAUUGUUUAUAAAAUUACAAAUCAAAACAAAUGAAAAUCCAAAAUUGCCCUAAAUUAAAUCUGUUUAGUUAAAUGUUUAUUGCCCUUCAAAUGUUAUUACACCUGACAAUUGCUUUGAAGUUGAUAUUUUGGUCAAUCCAGGGGAAAAGGAGUUAUUGCUUUUGGAGCAGUUGUCAUGGAGAAUCCCAUCUCCAUGUUAAAUAAAAAAAGGUCGUACCCAGUGCACAAGGCUCCCGCUUUACGCAGGGUCUGGGAGAGGUGAAUGUCGGCUAGCCUUACCCCAUUUUAUGGAGAGGCUGCUCCCAACUCUCGAACCCGAGACCUACCGCUUAUGGGCGAAGACACUUGCCAUCGCACCAAGUGGCCACAAUAAUUUAGGAGGCCCUUCUCUCCAGAUUUUCUCAAUAACUUUCCUUUUCGUAGCUGGUAAGAUUGCAACUCCAAGAAUUGCUCUGAAGAGAUAUAUACAAACAAAAUCAAACUAAAACUAAGCUAUUGGAAGAAAUUUACAAAACAAAAACACAAUUUCAACUCAGAGUUAAAGUCAACAGAAACCAAAUGGUACAAGUUGACAAAAUAUAUGGUCAUGAAUCGAGAACUUCAUCAAACUAACAGCAAUAAAAUCUCCUAUAAUCUGUCUAAAACCAAAAAAGAGAGAGGUAAUUUCAAGACCUUGUAACGCUGAGGCCUCGUACAGUUGUAGUAAUAAUAUAUGGUUGAUGCACCUGUUGCUCAAUCAAAUCCUUUGUCUGGCUAAAAAAAUAAAAAUCUAUAAAUACAUUCACGUCCAAUUUAUGAGAAAUCAUGGGAAAGCAAAUGCACUGAUAACGGAAUCAUGAAUAUGAAGAACUUGCCAAAAAGAAAAAGAAAACUUCUUGUAGUGUGCCAAGAACAUCCUCCUACUCCUAGCAAAUUUUUUAUGGCAUUAUCCACUUCUCAAUUCAUAAUUCAACCAGUAACUCAAAGUCUAUAGUGUAUGAAAAAGUGAUAUCUUAGUUGAUCUCGAUGAUAAUUAAGUAGAUUAAAUGACGACCCAUAAAGCAUACAAAUUCAGAAAAGAAAAGGUUGAAAACUGCCAUAAGAAAACGCAGAAUAUAUAAAUGGGAAAUCAAAAGAAGAGAAGCGAAAAAGGAAGAAAAAACCAAACAAAAUUAUUAGGUUUGGGAUAUACCUUUAUCCGAAAGGCCACAACCAUCAAAGUCAAACAUAAACAAUCCAAAAAUUUGUGGAAAAUAACAAUAAAUGCUUAACUAAAAAUGAAAGAAAACGUAGAAUAAGUUUACCUGUUCUCCCCCUAAUUAAACUGGAAUACAAUUCACCACUAAUAUUCUUGUCAUCCUCUUCAGCCUGAAAAAUUUAGUAGAAAUAUUCAAUGAAGACGCUUAAUGGAGACAGUAAUAUUAGCAAUGGAGGAAUUGAAUUGAUAACUAAAACUGCAAGACCAAAUGACUACAAUAGGUUCAAAACAGAAACUCGUCUGUUAGAUGUCUCAUCUUUAGGCAGUGCCUUGUUCUUUGUUGCAUGUCUUGUGAAGUUCAUGUAAAUCAACAAAAUUGAUACUUUGGACACACCAACAAUGGAGAGGUAAAAAGUGAAAAACAGAAGGAAUGUCUUCAGAUUUGUAAUGGAUUUUGCAAGUCAGAAAUUCUGUUCGAGAAUUUGCAACCCAGAAAGUCCACCAGCAAUUAUUAACAAUCACAGAUAAGCACCGAAUGAAGGCCAAUCUAAUACAACAACAACAACAACAACAACAAAGCCUUUUCCCACUAAGUGCGGUCGGCUUGAAGGCCAAUCUAAUACGCCAAAAUAUUCAGGGCACUAAAGAACUUAUUGCCCAGUAUCAACGAUAGAUAAGCACAUGUGAAACUAAAGAAAUUUUUCAUUACUAUCAACUCCAAAAAAGAUAACCUAUGCAAUCCAAAAAAUGUUGAUACAGAGUUGGAGUAUCGAUGCUUGAAAUUGGUAUUUGAACCACCAACUACCUCCGUGAAUAUGUUUGUUUGCUUAAUGGUUUGGGUUGAAGUUGCGAAAGGAAAUAUAAUUUCUUAAAAGGAGAGAAUGCAGAGACAAUACAGAAUGGUUCACGUGGCCACCUCAAAACAGAUUGACAAUUAAGCUUCAUUAUGAAUGGAAAGAUUAAUAGAUGAUAAUUAAGAAGGCCUGAUACCCAAGCCGAAAUCAGAGAUAUCCUUUGUAAACAAAGAGAUUGAGCAUUUCCACUAAAAAAUAACCUUUUUUGUGAGGGGUGGGAUUGGGUGGAAGGCUAGAUAAAGACAUCAAAUUUUAUACUUAUUGCAUGCAAGGUAUGCAACAGCCUCCCGCCGAUUAAAAAUCCCAGAAAUAAAAGAAAUCGAAUCAAGAAAGAAGAUAAUUGCACAAUAAUUACACCUUCACUAAGAAAAUAAAUUAUAAAAUCGAAGACCGUGAGAAUAAUGUCUUAUACAUUAAGCCUGCCAAUUACUAAAAACAAAACAUUUUGCCAUGAGGAGAAGUAAGAACAUACCCAAACUUGUUUGCAAAUAGAUGAGAAAAAUUUAUACCUGAAACAGAUGGAAAAUUUAUUAGGAAAGAUAAAUCAGCCCACAUGUGUGUAAUCUAUAUACAAAAAACCACUCUUUUCAUUAACCAAAUCGUUUCACAAAUCCAAAAACACAGAAUUAUAUCUUGAACAAUGCCAAUUAAUGAUUUCCCAUUUACUUAAGCCCAACAUCAAAGCCAAUGAACUGAUGAAAGAGCGAAAAUGAGAAACAUAAAACCUCAAUUAAGCAAUUAAAUGGAGUAUUACUUGAUAGAGCUGGAAAAUUACCCAGUAAGAUUAAAAAAAAGAGAGAUGAGAUGGAGUGAGAAUCACAUACCGGCAUCACCUUUAAAUAUGUAGUGCUCCUCAGAGAGAGGAUCAAGAGUGACUGAUGAGAGGGCAGAGAACGAAUGAUUGAGAAAUUCAAGCUCUGAGCUCAAAGUUGGGGCCUCCACUUUCCAACUGGGGAAGAAAUAACAGAGAAAACACAGAGAGCCAAUCCACCAAAACUAUUAAUCAAAUGGGUUCCGUCUAAUUCAAAAUUUGGACCACCCAAAUUCCGAUGAAGCAAUAACCAUUCAAAAUUCCAACAGAUUGAAGCCCUCACAGACUACAAAUUAUCAAUACCCAGCAAUAAAAAAUUUGAAAACAGUAAUAAUGAAGGAAAAAGAAAUUAAAGCCGCAAGCCAUUCUCUAAAUCUCAGGCACCAAUCCAAAUCACCAGUAAUUUGCACAUAAUGAUAAGAAUCUAGCAGUAUUUCCAUUGUUUAAAACCCAAAUUCAAGAAAUCAUGAAAAAUGGAAACUUUAUAUAGAAAUUGAAGCUUUACCUGCAGAUCAGCAGCAGCAAACGGAAUCCAACGGCAUGUACCUCAAAAGUGAGAGAGAGCUGAGAGAUGAGUAAGAGAAUCGGUAAACAAAACCCCCAAAAUCACAGAAGGAAAUUUAAACAGAAAACAAAUUUGCAAAUCCAAAAUCACAAAAACGAAAUUGAAACACGAAAGCUGUAAAACUGACCAGGAACGCUAGCUUUUCUGGGUAAAAACUUUAUUCGAAUCGAAUAGAAGAACCGAGGAAAGUUCUACUGGUUCAGUGGUUAUUCCAGCAAGAAAGCACCUUGUUUGUAAUUCGUGAGAGGUUGGAACUUGGAGAGCGAGAGAAGCCGAUUUGGGAGCCAAAGAAAGCGAGGUUGGAGAACGACGGAAGCUGAGAAUUGCGAGAGAGAAAAACGAAAAGGAAAGGAAAAGCGGAGAAAAAGUCACGAUUAUCGAAGCGUGCGAAAAUGAACGGGGAAUGGGGAUCUGGCUGAGGGAGACAGAAUUCGAGAAAGCGGAAUGAAGAGAAUCGAGAAGAGGAGGAAUCAUUUUAAGCGGAUGAUCGACGCGUGGGAAGUAAACUAUUAUUUACAAAUCUAAAGCAUUACCCGAACUUAUAAUACAAUAGCUACUUUGACAGAAGAAAAGAUGGAGAGUGAGAUGAUUGCAUUCCUUUUCAAAACAACUUUUAAGAUUCCAUAAUAAACUAAUAUAUAUGAAGAUGUGCCCCGUGGUAAAAGAGAGGAAGGAAAGAUUAUCAAAAGUUUAUUGUUCGUGAAUCGUGAUUACAGCUAUUCAACUUUUGUAAAUUUUCUUAACAUGAGUGAGAUUUGCAUUCUUUUUCAACCGAACUUCUUUUGAUUUCAUAAUAGAUUAUUAUACGAAGGAUAAAUGCUUAACAGAUUCUCUCAAAAUCGAUGCUUUUCAUGAACUUUUUAGCUAUCUUAUGUUUUUAGACUUAAUUACACUAACACUUUCUGUGGUUUAAGAUAGUCUUACGUUUGAAAUAUUACACUAACAUCCUUUUAAUGUAAUGUCUCAAACGUAAAGGAAUUUUGUGAAAACUCGACUAACUUUAGGAGUGUUAGUGUAAUUAAUCUAUUUUGUGCAAAUAUUGUAAAAUAUUUUACCAAAUACAUUAAGAGCUCGUUUUGAUGUGUUUUUAAAAUGACUAAAAACGUUUUUAAAUAAAAUAUUUUUUUGUUCCAAAAGCACUUAAAUUGUUUUAUGCAAGAAGCACCAGUUAUGUGCUUAUUCCAGAAAGCACUUUAAAUGUUUUUCUAGAAUUUACUUACAUUUUUAUUAAGGAUUGGUUUAAAAAACAUUUUCACAAAAAACGUUUUCAGUUAUUUUAAAAACACAUCCAAACAAGCACUAAGUAGCGGAUAGUUUAUAGACACUUUCACUUUAAAAAGUAGGGAACUUUAACGAAAAGCACCCGGUACUGUUCACUUUAACGAAAAACCAUAUUUUUACACUAAAAAAUCAAUCUUGGUACUAUUCACUUUACCCUUUAUUUUGUUCUUAUCAUUAAAACUCAAAAUUUUCAAGCCAUUUUCAUUAGUUUUCUUUAAAAAGUAUUCUUGCAUAUUUCUAACAGACAUGUACGGUGGAAAAAGAUCACUUCAUAAUUAAAUAUUAUGUUGUUGAUUACGCCUCUCUCUAUUUGAUUAAGUUUCUUUUCACUCUUCUCUAAAAAAUAAUGGUUUCUUUUCACAUUAUUAAACCGUUGUAAAGUAAACUUUUUUUUUGUAAAAGUGUUUUUAAUUAAAAAAAGUAAUGUCAAAGUGUUUGGUAAAUUUUUAUAUAAAUUACUUUGAAUAUAUUAAAUAACUAUAAAAUAUAUACUAUUUAAUGUGAUAUAAUAAUUGUCAAAGACAAUAAUGUAUGAGCAAAAAUUGUAAUUUGUAAAACAUGUAGAGGUAUACUAUUUGAAAAGUUCAUUAAAUGAGCGUUAAUUAUUAUACUUUGAAAAAGAAAAAAAAAUAUACUUUUUUAGAAGCAUAGUACACCCUACUUCUCAUUUUCUGUACUUUUUUCUACUUUUAUUGACAGUAGUUUAAUAAGUUGCUUUCUUUGAGAGUACUCAAACCAAUCCUUAAUAAGUGACCAUUUUGAACUUUCUUGGCGCCAUCGGUGUGGAGGGAGAGAAAAGAAACUAGCGCAAAACUACAGACACUCGAUUCGUUGUAAUAUAUAAUAAAAAAUAAUAGUCACGUAUAAAAUAUGGUACAAUUAUAGUUCUGGCAUAUGUCUCUACCAAAGAUAAUCGCCGUGUCUUUCAAAUUUGUUGUUAAAUUGGGGACAACAUGAAGAUUUUCACACUAAUCUAAGUACAACGUUUCAAACCUUGAAAGACCACUAAAGCUUUGAAAAGUCUGGUGAUUUUGUUAGGUCAUGUGAAUGACUGAAAUUAUCGAUUUUCAACUUCCCAAGCAACUAUUACACAAAAUAUAAUUUAAAACUCAAGAGGAGGAAUCAAAAUCGAUAGUGUCUUCAACUUAACCACUAAUAAGUGUAGAGUACAAAAGACCAUGCAAUUAGUAGUUGUGCCCUUCAACAAAAAGAGAAUCACAAUGUUAGUUGGUCACAUCACAUGCCCAAGGAAAACACGGUACAAAAGCACUAAAAGCGUCCAAGCGAAAGUGCUUUCUUCUCAUGUAGUUUCAUUUAACUUAUUUUACCACAACAGUAAAUAUAUUUUACCACUGCGCCAAUUACGAAAAUGAACGGGGAAUGGGGAGCUGGCUGAGGGAGACAGAAUUCGAGAAAGCGGAGUGAAGAGAAUCGAGAAGAGGAGGAAUCGUUUUAAGCGAUGAUCGACGCGUGGGAAGUAAACUAUUAUUUACAAAUCCAAAGCAUUACCCGAACUCAUAAAGAUGCUCUAAAAACUUUCAAAGAUUCCACAAUUUCUGUUUGAUUUCAUAAUAAACUAUUAUACGAAGGAUAAAUGCUAAAAAUUAGUCUCAGGAAAGCACUUUGUUUGUAAUUCGUGAGGUUGGACAGCGAGAGAAGCCGAUUUGGGAGCCAAAGAAAGCGAGGUUGGAGACAGAAUUUGAGAAGCAGCUUCCUGAUUUUUUUUUUUUUAUGAGAGAAGGCGGAAUGAAGAGAAUCGAGGAGAUGAAUCAUUUUAAGCGAUGAUCGACAUGUGAGAAUUGAGACGAUCUUAUAGCAACGCGAUAUUCAGUUUCAUCACACCAGUUAACUUGUAUUGGUCGAGUAAAGCACAUGUUACUUUCUGAAAAUUUGAAAUACUACAACGCAAAACCUAUCAAGAGGAUGCUACCAUGUGAUGCAAGAAACGAAAAGGUACAAAGUCCAGACUCACUCUGGUUGUCAUUUUCCCCAAGCGCAGAUGCAACUUUAGCGAAUUAAGUUUGUCUCAAAGAAAGUGUCUUUCCAAAAAAAAAAAAAAAAGUGAAAACGGAGCACCCUUCCCCAGACAUUAAGGGCGUGUUUACGUACACGUAAUCAGAAUAAGAAUGUGGAAUUGAAUUUCGAUUACGGAGUACUCUGAUGUUUACUAAACAUGGAGAAUAAAAAAAGCAAUGGGGCCCACACAAAUUUUGGAAUUCAAUUCCUUGUAUUGGUGGAAUUUGAUUCCCUAGAUAUAUGUUGUAAUUCAAUUCCUGCUUGUUUGGACAAUCGGAAUAACACUUUUGUUCCCUUUAUGUCCUCACUUACUUUUUUUAUUUCCAAGACUAUCCUUUAUAAACUCAUUAAAGUAUAUAAAAUAUUUGAUUUGGGACAAGGGUAUUUUAGUAAUCAUACUGGUUUAUAAUUCGAUUCUGCUGAAUUAGUAAAAAUCUUUAUGGAAUUAUAUUCUGAUUUCAGAACAUUUAAGUAAACAGUUUCAACAAGAAUCUGAUUCUGACUUCUCUUCAUUCCAACUCCUCCUUAAUUUAAUUCCUCAUUUUUUUCAUUACCGUUAUAUAAAUGUGCCACAAAGAGCUUCAUUAGCCCACUCACCACUGCAAUAGAAACAAUUUGAUAGAAAAUACUUGAUAGCAACAUACAAGCCUCUAUUUUAUUGGAAAAAUCAAAAUACAAAAUCAAUGUUAUCAAUUUUCUAUCUAAAUGAGAAUUACGGUUUAAGCGAGUUAUGUGGAUACCUAAGCAGGUCUAGCGCACUUUCUUAAUUUUCAAAUGCUUAAGAACUAAUUAGGACGCUGAUCAGCAGCCUAACGUUAGGCGAAGAUUUUUAGAACAUUAAUUACUUGUUCUCCUAGAUCUCCGAGUCCAAGAAAAUUAUGAUCACCCAUUGUUCAAUCUUAAUAUAGUCAGUACGUGGUUAUUUAACCAUUUUGUUAUAUUUAUCCUUUCUCGUUAAAUUAAGUAAGUGAUAAUAACUUUCCUGGAUCCUGUAAUCUAGAAGAACAAGACUAUAUAUCACAUGGAUAAACAUAAUCAGGCAUAAGAAAAAGUCGAAGAAUUCAUAACAUAGAGUAAUGCUAAAAAUACUAAAUUUGUAAACUAAAUGACAUAGAAGUUGAUCGUUAAAUUAUUAUUUAAAUAUUAAUAAACGUGUUCAUGCUCACACAUCAUUUAAUUUGUAAAUUUUAUUUAUAAAUCUUAAGCAUUACCUGAACGCAUAUAAUACAAUAGCUGCUUUGACAGAAGAAAAGAUGGAGAGUGAGAUGAUUGCAUUCUUUUUAAAAGCAACUUUUGAAGAUUCCAUAAUAAACUAUUAUGUAUGAAGAUGUGCCGUGGUAAAAGAGAAGUAAAAAGGAGGGAAGGAUUAUCCAAAAAAUUAUUGACCGUGAUUACAAUUAUUCAACUUUUAUACAUUUCUUCGAACGGAGAUCCAAGAAAAGAUGGAGAGAGAGAUUGGCAUUGUUUUUCGACACAACUUCUGUUGAGUCCAUAAUAAACUAUUAUAAGAAGAAGGAAUGCUAAAGAGAUUCUUUCAAAAUCAAAACUUUCUCAUGUUUUUGGGGUUAGUUAUACUAACAUUUUUUCUUUCGUAUAAGAUAUUACGCCAACACUCCUUUUAGUGUAAUGUCAAACGUAAGGGGAUUUUGUAAAAUUUGAUUAACUUCGACGUUAGUGUAACUAACCUAUUUUUAUGCAAAUAUUAUGUCAAAUACAUUAAAUGGCGGAUAAUUUAUAAACAAUGUCACUUUAACAGAGUUUUCUUACAUCUUUUUUAUAGAUAUGGACGGUGGAAAAAGAUCACUCCAUAAUUAAAUAUUGUGCUAUUGAGCGCGCUUUCGGGGCGCUUUCGGUGCGGGGUUUUGGCCUCCGCCGCUCCGCGUGCUGUUCUUUUACCUUUUUAUCUGCCAUUCGCGUGCUCCGCUGGUCCCAGACCCCUGAACAAUGUGAUGAUGCCAACUAACGUUAACCCCACUAAAGCAUCGGAAAUUGCGUCUGAGGAUAGAAAAGGCAUACAUGCAGAUCCUCCUCCCGGACUCUUUGCCUCUCUAUAUGUGAAAACCCAUCUGGGAACAAACCAAUUCCAUUCUCUGGCAUAGCAAGAACGGUCCUCUGAAAUGUAUCCAUACAAAGUUCGACACACAAAAUUCAAAAAGCCAUUGCAAUGUAAUUGACAACAUUGACAAUCUCUGUCCGACAAGGCAAUAAUACCGAAGCCCACUGUAAUGAUGGUAACCUGAUAGGCCAAUACCGAAGCCCACUGUUAUGAAAUCCAUGAAGCUUAUAUGGGCUUCUUGUACUCUCAGAUUUUGCAUAUUAGAGAAUACUCAGCAGUGAAUACCUGAAAAACGUGCAGCACGAAUAUCAUAUCGGUAGCCUCUCGAAUCUUAAGAAAACUACAAAUGGUAGCUUAGAAAAGAAAUGAAUCCUCUCCAACCAAUACAAAUCAUAUUACCCAAGUUCAAGAAAAAUCAAGACUAAACAAAUGACCAGAUGUUGUAGGGUGCCUGAGAAUGUCAAACAUGAAAUUACAAAAGAAAAAAAUAAUCGUAUGUAUUGAACAUUAAUAAAUACAUGCUGAAAGCACAAUCUUAGCCGCAAUUUAUGACAUUCAUACAAGAUGGAAUCGCCAAAGCAGUUAAAGAAAUUGCAGAGCUCAUAUAAGUGAUUUUCACUAUGAACUUUUAAGCUUAUCAACAAAUACAUCAUUUCGAUUCUAAGGCUUAAUCAUCAAUGAUUUUGCCGUUGGAUAGUGGCCAAAUUAGCGGCCGACUGAACAACAAGCCAACUCUCCUUUCGGCUAUUAAACAAAGAAAAGUUUGGUGGACAUCAUCAUGAGUAAAGACACAAUGAUGAUGUUUGUUGAAAAGAAAAAGGAAGGUCAUAAUGAUGUUUGUAACUUUGGAUUUUUUAUAGUCAAAUGGAAUUGGGUUUAUUUGGCUCCUUCCUUUGCAACUUGACAAAAGAGCUUUUUUUUGGUAUUUUCUAAGGCAGCAGCAGCUGCUAUAUGUUUGAGGAGAAGCCGAGAGAUACCAAGAAGAGCGUUCGGCUCUCCCAUUUGAAAUUUUGUUAGUAAUCACUCAAUCAAAGAUGUUGGUGCUACUUGUGUAGCUUUUGGGAGAGAAGGAUUUUGAUAUGUGUUUCUUCUUCUCCAUUUGUUUCUUAGUUUGAGUGAGAGCUAUUGGUUGUAUGUGGGAUUUAGGUUUGAGAGUUAAAACUCUAUUUGUAAUUUCCUUUUGAUAUUAGUGGAAUUUCCUCGCCGUCUCGGAACUGGACGUAGGCUUACGCCGAACCAGUAUAAAUCCUUGUGUUUUUUGGAUUAUUUGUCUUGUCAUAUUUUGCCGUAUUAGCUUUGGUUUCAUAUUUGAAGCUUUCACACAACAUUUGCAAGGGUCAAUCGUAUUGCUGGUUGUAAAUCUAUUCACUAUGAAAAUUACCAAAAUUACAUCUAAUAUGGUAGUGAAGGAAGUCAUCUUAUAUUAUCUGGAUCCAAAAUUGUACCUAAACAUGCAUGACAGGUAAAAAGAAGAUGAGCAAUAAAACAUUAUAAAGAUUCCCAAGAAAAGCAAUAAAACUACGUAAAUAUUAGUUAAUAAUGUCAAGACCAUAGUCUGUGACAAAUCCAAGAGUUGAGAUGAGACUAUCUUUCCGGCAGGAAUUUUUGGAAUUUUUCUCUAUUGUAAGGAAAACAUAGAUUGAUGUUUGUGUUUACACGAAAAUUAUGCCAACGGCUUAGGAGAAAUCAAAGCAUAACAAUGGGACUAAAAUGACUUACCUACUAUGAGGAUCUUCAAGUUCCUUCUUCACCUCUUCGGGCAGAUUGGCUAAUCUAAUAAACGAAAAGAAAACUCCCAUGAGCAGUGCUAUAACAAACUAUCUUCCUAAAUUCAUUAUGAAUUGCAGUUAAAACUUAAAAUGAACAUGAAAAUCCUACGUAGAAGGGAUAUACCUAGGUGACAAGCCUAGAAGAUUCCCGCGCAAGGAAGAAUAUCCCGGAACCUGCAAUUGGAAACUCAAAGAAACAAUUACAAAGAUGCUAGAAAGAAAAUACGUAUCAGUUUACAACAAAACGCUAGCGCUCAUGAGAAUCGAUUAGGUAUGAAGCAUCAAAACAAUAGCAUGAGACAUCAUAACUUAUGAGCUAUGAAUGGAAUAAUGGAGCAAAAUAUCGUUGCCCAAACAGCACAAUCUACAAUCUACAUGACGGAGAAAGUACCCCGACAUUACAUAUGCAAGUUCAUGUGGUUUAUCUUUUUAACCGAUUCGUUAACAAAUUCUUUCUGCACAUAUAGUUUUAACUUACCAAAACUGGUAAUGGAAGAGAGAUAAUCAGUAAUUAAAAACGGUAAUCGCAUAACGAAAUCAUACUUGAGUGAUUGAUAGGAUUCCCAACCCAUUUGGUCCAAAUCCUUCUUCAAUCUUCACUGACAAAUCUUUGUCCCUGUCCUGUAUCAAUCCAAAAUCAAAAAACGACAAUUAGAAAAAUCGAAUUCUCGACAUGAUCGACGAGUUAAAACAUAGCAAUUAAACAAAACUAUGAAUAAAACAAUUAGAUUCUGUUUGGUUGCUGAGAAAAUGAAGAGAAUAACAACCAAAAAGUCAACUGAAAUAAAAUUUUGCUCUAACUUCAACGAAUUCUCUUGAGUUUCUGAGCACCCAAACAGAAAAAAAAAAAUUAUAGGCAAUCAAACCAAACUCUCAUGCUCAAUUUUCUCGGCAACCGCAAAAAGAACUUAGAGGGGGGGGGGAGAGAGAGAGAGAGUUACUUGGAGCUCGGAGUAGGAUAUGGUGACUGGUGUGACGGUGGGGACGGCGGGGUCGGAGGACGGAGGCAUAGUUCGACAAUAAAUUUGGCGGGAAAGACGGCGGUUGGAGCGUGACGAUGGGGAAGAAUCCGUGGGAACGAAGAGCAAUUUUGGUGCGGAAGGAGGGUUUUUAUAUCGGAGGGAGGGAGGGAGGGAGGGAGGUUGAGAGCGAAAGGCGUGAUUGUCAAUUUCAAAUUUUUUUUUUUAGGAAUAAAGAAAGAAGAGAGGUUGAGUAUCAAUUCCCUUUCCCUCCAAACCAAAUAAUACAUUCACGUUCAUGAUGUGUGGCAAAAAAUUGAAGGUGGAGACGAAUAUAUUAAAGGGAUGUGCUAUCCACACACCUUUUUUACUUCUCACACACCAUUUGUUAAUUUCUGUCCGUUGAUCUUCUUCAUUUCAUCUGAUCUAACGAUCGAAAAUUAAAAGGGUGUGUGAGAAGUAAAAAGGGGUGUGUGGAUAUCACACCCCUAUAUUAAAUAGGUAUAAGUAUUAGUUAAAUUUAAAAUUAAUUGUGUACUAUUAAAAAUUUGUUUGAAAAUAUUUUUAUAAUAACUGAAAGCGUUUUUUAUUAAAAUGUUCUUUAAAUCAAUCCUUAGUAAAACCAAGUGGAUUCUAAAAAGUCAUUUGGAUUACUUUCUACAAAAAUCACAUAUCUUGAGCACUUGAAGCGCUUUUGGAACCCAAAAUUAAUUUAACAAAAGUGUGUCUAGUCUUUUUUAUUUUUGAACAAACGAUAUUAUCUACUUUAAGGGAGGGGAUGAGCUUAACCUCACAAUGGACUAUCAUAUUAAUAAUGUUCAAAUUCACCUUUAUUCAUUUUUAAAAGACUUUAAAACCAGCACUAAUUUGUAUUAAAUUCUAAAACUUUGAAUUGGGAUGUAAUAUGCAUUGGGUCUUUAAUAAUAUUUAAGUUGUUUCCGGCAAAAAAGAAAGGAUUCAAUUGGGAAAAAUAACAAAAUAUGAAAUAAGGAUAUUCUAAUUAAGGUUUUUAUUAAUUAUUUUAGGCGGAUGGUUCAUGUGAAGAUUAUGAAACGCUUUAAUUCUCUAACGUGCGAUUCCAUUUCGAUCCAAAGCUAAAUUUAUAAAUUUCUAAUUUUUACUUUCUAAUUUUUACAAAUUUCUUUUCAUAAGAGUAUAAAUUUAUAAAAUUUGGUUAAAGGAUCAAGAAGUUUAAUUAGAAGCAAUGGUUUUUGUUGUUUAAAAUUAGCAAGAGGUCCUAAGUUCGAAACGCUUUGGGCAUGUUUAUUUUUUUCAAUUUUAACAAAUUUUUGUUUGGUUGUUAAUUUAUUUUUAGUUACUAGCUAGUAGCUAUGUAGGUUGUUAUUUAAAUAUUCGUUUCAAUUCAAGUCCAAUCUUCAACAAUGAGUAAUACGUAAACCAAAUUUGUAGCGCAAAUUUGUAAAUUAUAUGACGUGUUAUCAAAAUAUUUAAUUUAAUGCUCAUUCAUUACUAAUACAUAUCAAUUAAGGACUCGAAAACAUCAUUAUUGUUUUUAGUCCCAUAUUGACAAGGUUAGUAAAUAAGAAAAAACACCUCAUGAUUUAUACAAAAACACUUUCAAAGUUCAAAUGGAAAACAAAACUCAUCGUCUAUCUACUUAUAAGCCCAGAGUUGUUUGGUUUUCUUCUCUCAAUACAAAAUAAAUUAGUCCUUUUGUGUUUCUAAAUUAUUGAGUUUGAAGUGCUUUUCUAAGUAUAAUUUUAUUAAUGUCUUACGUGUGAAAAUAAAUAAUUUUCUUAUAUGAAGUUAGGGCACUUUUUUUUGUGUCGUCCCGAGCCUCAAAAAUCUCUGGACCGGCCCUGGAUGUUAUGAGAAUAUGUGUGGUUGUCAAGCCCGACACGUGAAUAACAUGCUCUCUACUACUUUAUUACACUGUGAAGAUUUUAUCCAAAAUUAAUUGACGAUGAGCGAAUAAACUGAAAGAUUAUGCGCAACUUUGAUUAUGCAACGAGUGAAGAAGCAAUUUACACCAACCUCCAGUCAAGAAUUUGGGCUCACAAUCACUAGCCAAUAUGCUUUUUUCUCAUGCCUUAAGUUCAUAGUUCAAUAUUCUGGUGUCCGAUGACCCUGACACGACAAGUUCCACUUUUUGUUCAUUUUCUUGACGAAACCAUCACAUUUACCCUUACGGCACGGCACAGUUCCGGGCAUGGAGUAUGGAUUGGGUUCCGUUGCAGUCCCGACACUAUUUAGCACUGUAGAGAAGGAAAUACAAAGACAACUUUGGAUUUCUUACAACGUAUUGAGUCUCUCGUCAUGGCUCUUGCUGUGUUGUUCUUAUUUCACGUCCUGUUUCUCGAGCUUGGUGUUUCCGGUUGCAAAUUUUGGUUCGGCAGUGUAGUGCUCAGGAGAGGGGACUGUUUCACGUUGUUCCAGGCAGACAGAGGCGGUUGACAACGAUUGUGAUAAUGUGUUUUUCUACUGGGAGAACAUACAGCAGUCAUCAGUUAUCUUUUCACAACUGUCUUCAGUAUUUCGAGGCACCUCAAGAAAUUAUCAAGGACAAACGAAUGUAGAAAAGAAGAAAUAUCGAAGUUAGUUGACAAAGGGGACGAAAAAUUGUGAGAUACAGAGAAAAAGAAGAUAAGAAGAAACUCGAUGCAAAUUACUUGAGUCUAAAGUAGGAGGGGAAAUCGUACUAUUCAUAUGAACAGUGUUUUAGACCACAUUUCAGUUUAUUUACAAGAUUGCCACUCAGAUGCUUUUAGCUUUUAACGAAGAUGCCAUCAGUUCGAAUGAUGGGAAUGCCCGUAUGGGGUUAACAUCACACGGUUGGGGGUAAAAGUUGUGUUUGGAUCAAAACUUAACUUUGGGCCCAAGCAAAAGAAUGCCCAAAAGAAGGCCUGAAGGAAGAGUCGGCCGAAGCCCAGCCGAGACCCAGAAAAGCAGGAAAGGGCCUCCUCUGACUUGGUGCAGCUCAUGAAGACCACUUGCCCACCUACCCAAAGGUCAAGUGGUAUAGACUGACCAGCUACACAGCCCGUAAAGUACUUUAUGGUGGCAUUACAUGUAAAAAAACUGAUGAGUCAUCACCCUCAAACCGCAUUCGGGCAAGGCUGUUGCUACAGGAGGACAUGCUGGGUUGUCUAUAAAAAAAGAAAGAGAAAUCAGGAUUAAGGACACUCAAUCAAACAAACAAAUGCAAGCACAAACUCUGCUCAAAAGCUAGAUUUGCCUUCAAAACGAAGUUGUAGUCAGCCCAAGCCUUCAUCCCUCGCGGGAUAACCUUUCCUUCAAACCUUUGUAAUAGCUCUGCUACCUUGUUCAACCUUGUUGUAGUAUCGAUUCACCUUUUGUAAUCUUUCUCCCUCUCUCAAAACUUUCAGACCUUUAACAAAACUACAAAGAUAGGAGCCUGCAAGACGAGCAGCCUUGCCUGAUAAGGUUUAACCUUGCCCGACCUUCUAUGCUUUGUAUUUUUUGUCUUUUCAUUCAUUAAGCCUAGUAAUAUGUUGUAUGAUCCCAGUUAUAUGCAAGUUAUUUCUAGCAAGAUGACCAUUAAAAAGCUUUCUCAGUACAUAGACCCGAUUUGAAUAGAUCUUCAGUAUUCAAAUCAGAUCUAAGUCAUAAGCCCUCGGGCAUGUAUAUUUGAUCAGUUAAAAGUCCUUGGCCUCCAGGCAUAAAAAAGAACCUUAUGUGGACUUAACCCAUCCACAACAAUCCUUGAUAAACGAGAAGUCCAAAGUUACUUGGGGCGCAAGUAAUCGACCUACCAUUUAGUUUUAUUUCUAUUAUAUGAUGAUUAUCAUAGAACGUUUAUGCAUGGAAUGGAUUCUGAUAGGAAGCCUCAAGGCCUACACCUAAGGCCCCACAAAGGCACCUAUUUGGGUUCAUUCCGUUCUGCGGUCUAGAGCGUUCUGAGUAGAAAGAACAAAUUCUGAUAGGAAGCCUCAAGGCCUACACCUAAGGCCCCACAAAGGCACCUAUUUGGGUUCAUUCCGUUCUGCGGUCUAGAGCGUUCUGAGUAGAAAGAACAAAUUUCUGAUAGGAAGCCUCAAGGCCUACACCUAAGGCCCCACAAAGGCACCUAUUUGGGUUUGUUCUAUCUCUCGGACGCAGGUAAUCAGAAGUAUAAUAGUUAUAAAACUCCUGCAAUCAAUGGAAUAAGUAUUAUGUAUUCGAGUACUGGUUUAGUAACCGAUGGGAAGCCUCAAGGCCUACACCUAAGGCCCCACAAAGGCACCUAUCAUAACUAACCCGGUUCCUCGGGCACAUAUAUAUAUACAUACAACUAAAACUCGACAUCCAUUUCAUAUCUGCCAUGCUGAAGAUGGCAGUGGCACGCCUGAGUACCUAAAAGUUAAUUUUGAUUGUGAGCCUCAAGGCCUACACCUAAGGCCCCACAAAGGCACAUUUCAAAGUUAACUUUGUCCUUUUCUUUCAGCCUUGCCCGACGAGCCUUGCCGACGAGUCUUGCCCGAUAAAGAUUCGCCUGACGAGACUUGCCCGACAAAGCCCAACCGUGAAGCAGAAGCCCGACAGCAGCCCUCAACCGACGCAAAACCUCCAGGGGAGCUGUGCAUUUCGCCGACCAGGAUGGAAGAAUGGACAGCCUACUAAACCGAUGGGAGCCUACUAAACCGAUGGGAGCCUCUAUGAUCAGGAGAGUUCAAAGGCAGCACAAAGCCUACAUGAAUUCUCUGAAGACCCCCGCAACAUCUGAAGCCUCCCAGAAUAAAAAACUGGAGAAGACAUCAUCUGGGGGAAGUAAUCAGCUCCGCUGGAGAAGUAAGAAAGAGGUGGAAAAUGCCAGCAGCAAAAAAGAAGGUGUGGGGAAUCAUGUACCGCAGAACCAGCACCCUGGGAAGUAUAGGAUCUUGAGGAGAGCUCAAGAAGAUCUGAUCAUGGUGCCAACCCCUGGAUGGAAGCCAAAGCCUACUUGCGUUGGAGCUGUUUCAUCUGAAAGGAAACCACCUUCUCUGCCAUUGGUAGAUCCUUUUGGUGAAGUUCCAAAACAAACACUAUAUGCGGGCAUGAAUCAACAGCAACAGGAGGGGGCACCAGAACCACUACUUCCAGCCGAUGCCAUGGCCUGGUUGGAUGAGUUUAUGGACCAGAUUGGGAGCAAGAAAGAAGAUUUGCUCGAGCCUAGUAAUUUCCAUAUCAACAUGACAUACGUAUUAUCUGCCACGUUUGGUGCCCGACCUGAUCAGCCAGCUACUAUGGAAGGUGAUUACUUGACAACUGAGCCAAUGAUGGCACAUGUCAAUAUAGAGGAAGUCAAAGAAGGAGAAUCGGGCAAGGCUGAAACUUCUGAAGCAUCCAAAAGUGGUCCUUUAAGGAUUUAUACCGAUGAAAUGGUGUUCAGCCGCCCGAACAUCUCGCUAGCCAACCAUCUGAAGCCCAUAUACGUUACAGCUCACCUGGAAUGUGUGCCCUUCAAAAGAAUUUUAAUAGAUGGUGGAGCAGCUGUUAAUGUGUUACCAGCCAAGCAAAUGAAGAAAAUGGGAAGAGGAACGGAGGAUCUUAUUCCGACAGACCUCACGGUCUCUAGCUUCUCAGGCGCUAUCACCAAGACCCAUGGGAUAUUGCCUUUAGAAGUGGAUUUGGGGUCUAAGCAAAUCAUGCUGGCAUUCUUUGUGGUGGACUGCACCUCCACUUAUGGAGCCUUACUCGGAAGAGAUUGGAUCCACCAAAGUCUGGCCAUACCCUCCACUCUUCAUCAACAGGUAGCUGUUUACCAUGAGGCGGGCACAGAAGGACCAGGUUUUUGGGAGAUGGUGGAGGCCGAAUCAGGGCCAUUUCUCCCCACAGCCAACGUUGCGGAAACAAGUUUCUACAACCCCAACGUAGGAAUCUUGAAAUGUUCAGGAGCUGAUGAGAACGGCCGCCCUACCAAUGUGACGACCCAAAAGCUUUUGGAACAAGGAAUGCUCCUCACAAGAGAUGAGUGAGAUAGACCUUGUAUCAUCCCAAAUCCCCUACACCAUCAAUGACUGGACAGAAGAAAAAAGAUCAGGUAAUGGCAGUCAGAUCCCUGAUUAAAAGACUGUUGGUGUAUGAGAAUGGAAGAAGGCAAGAAAGAGAGCUCUUGGACAAGGAAGAGCAGGAAUAGCAGGUGGGAGAUACGAUCUAGACGGGCCAGAAGACCUGCCCGAGAGCCCGGAGUUGGUCGAGUUUUUGUGUGCAGAACCGGAUAAGCCACCACCAGAAGUCCAGGAUCCUCUGGAAGUUAUUGCUAGGAACAAAGGAGGAUCCGAGACCAAUACAAAUUAGUGGUUUAUUGGGGGUUGAUGAUCGGGCAAAGGUUGUCGAUCUGUUGCGAGAGUUCAAAGACUGUUUUGCUUGGCAUUAUACUGAGAUGCCAGGGUUAGAUUCAGCCUUGGUGGAACAUAGAAUGCCCAUCAAGGAGGGAUAUAAACCAGUUAAGCAAGCACCACGAAGGAUGUCAAAGGAGAUAGAAGAAAAUGUCAAAGAAGAGAUCGAAAGGCUAGUAAAAGCUGGCUUUAUCAGACCGGCCAAAUAUGUAGAGUGGUUAGCCAACAUUGUACCCGUUUUAAAAGCUAUAACAAAAGCAGUACGAUGUUGUGUUGAUUACAAAAAUCUUAAUAGUGCUACACCAAAAGAUGAGUAUCCUAUGCCCAUGGCCGAUCUAUCCAUAGAUGCAGUAGCAAAACAUAAAGUCUUAUCUUUUAUGGAUGGGAAUGCCGGGUAUAAUCAGAUAAAGAUGGCUUCAGAAGAUAUACAUAAAACAACAUUCAAGUGUCCCGGUCAUGUGGGGGUAUAUGAAUAUCUGGUCAUGCCAUUCGGGCUCAAGAAUGCUGGUGCCACCUACCAGAGGGCAAUGAAUGUCAUCUUUCACGAUCUGAUUGGCCAGAGUAUGAAAGUAUACAUUGAUGACAUCGUAGUGAAGUCUAAGACAGAAGAGCAGCAUUUGGAAGACCUCAGACAAGCAUUAACAAGGAUGAGGAUCCACAAAUUGAAGAUGAAUCCAAAGAAGUGCGUGUUUGGAGUGAGAGCAGGCAACUUCUUGGGAUUCCUGGUGCAUCAAAGAGGUGUAGAAGUAGACAAGAACAAGUCUCGGGCAAUAAUGGAGUCACCGUCACCCACCAACAAGGUACAACUCCAGAGGCUAUUGGGCAAAAUCAAUUUCUUGAGGAGAUUCAUUGCCAAUUUAGCGAGCAAGAUCCAGCCGUUGACUCCUUUAUUAAGACUGAAAGAUAAAGAAAACUUUGAGUGGGGACCACCACAUCAACAAGCCUUUGACAGCAUCAAGGUCUAUUUAACUUCUCCACCAGUGUUGGUGCCACCUCAAAGGGGAAAACCCUUAAAGCUGUAUAUUUCUGCCUUAGAGAAGUCAAUCGGGAGUUUGCUAGCCCAAAAUAAUGAAGGCGGGAAGGAGCAGGCAUCGUACUACCUCAGUAGGAUUCUGACCGAGGUAGAAACUAGAUAUUCCCCAGUGGAAAGAUUAUGCUUGGCUCUAUAUUUCACUGCCAGCAAGCUAAGGCAUUACAUGUUACCUUGUCACGUACACAUCAUCGCCAAGACAGAUGUGAUAAAGUACAUGUUGUCAAAGCCAAUGCUAACAGGGAGGAUUGGGAAGUGGAUUCUAGCAUUGUCAGAAUUCAGUUUCCAGUAUGUACCCCAGAGAGCGGUCAAAGGCCAAGCAAUUGCUGACUUCCUGGCCGAACAUCAAGAAUCUCAAGACGAAGUAAUCAAUAUCCCAGGAAGCCUGGAGGUCACUAGCAUUUGGAUCCCGCUAAGAGAAGAUAUCUCGGGCAAAGAAGAUUGGGUCCAGCAAGAGAUAAGAAGAGUGACUGGUCUCUGGAUCACUCCUUGGAGGUUAUAUUUUGAUGGAUCUCACACUCAGAAGGCUUAAGAAGCAGGGAUUGUGAUUAUAAACCCUCAUGGGGUCUAUCAUUAUUAUUCAUUCCUCCUAGACUACCAAGGAAAUACUAAUAAUCGGGCAGAGUAUGAAGCUUUGAUAAUUGGUCUGGAAAUCUUGAUGGAUCUGGGGGCAGUAGAGGUGGAGAUCUUUGGAGAUUCAGAGUUAGUAAUAAACCAGCUAAAUGGGGAGUUCAAGUGCAGACAUAUUACCAUGGCAGGAUAUUACUUGACGGCUACGCAAUUACUGAGUUUCUGGGAUUCUGAGAUAUCAGUCAAUCAUGUUCCCAGGGAAUCCAACUUAGCAGCCAACGAGAUGGCACAACUAGCCUCAGGAGUGCCAAUACAGGAGAGAAGAUAUGGGGUAGAUGUCGAGAUCCAAAGAAGGAACCUCCCUUCUAUCUUAGAAAGGGGAUUCAGCCUGGAUGUAAUAGCUCUAGAAACCGAAAUAGAAGAUUGGAGGUCCCCUAUCAUUCGUCAUUUGAAGGAUCCCUCUUCACCUACAAGCAAGAAGAAUAGACAGCAAGCAACCAAGUAUGUCUUGUGGGCGAAGAACUUGCUAAGGAAAACUCCAGAUGGAUUACUAUUGAAAUGCUUGGGCCAAGAAGAAUCCAUGAGGGUAAUGGCCGAAGUACAUGAAGGGGUAUGUGGAGCACAUCAGGCAGGAACUAAGAUGAGGUGGUUGCUUAGAAGAUAUGGUUAUUUCUGGCCCGACAUGGAAAAAGAUUGCAAGUCUUAUGCCAAAGGUUGUGAAGAAUGUCAACGGCACGGACCUCUCCAGCAUGUGCCCUCAGUACCUUUAAAUCCAGUAGUCAAGCCUUGGCCUUUCAGAGGAUGGGCAAUGGACUUCAUCGGGCAAAUCUAUCCAGCUUCUAGUAAAUGGCACACUUUCAUAAUUGUGGCAACGGAUUACUUCACCAAGUGGGUGGAAGCAUCAACAGUAAAAUCCAUAACUUCGGCCGAGGUCAAGAAUUUUAUCGAGACCAAGAUUCUGCACAGGUAUGGGGUGCCCGAAACUAUAGUAACGGAUCGUGGGCCAUCUUUUAUCUCAAAAGAAGUUGAGGAGUUUGCAAGCAAGUACAAAAUAAAGAUGAUCCAAUCCAGUCCAUACUACCCUCAAUCAAAUGGCCAAGCAGAGGCCAGCAACAAGAUCUUGGUCAACAUCAUCAAAAGAAUGGUGGUAGAUAGUCCAGAAAAGUGGCAUGAAAGGCUGGGGAACACUUUGUGGGCAUACAGAACUUCCAAGAGGGCAGGAACAGGGACAACUCCUUAUGCUUUAACUUUCGGGCAAGAUGCGGUACUCCCUAUGGAGAUCAAUGUAAGUUCGGUCAGAAUUCAGAACCAAUUUGGGUUACAUAGUGAAGAAUACAUCGAAGCCAUGUGUCAAGGAAUUGAAGACUUGGAUGUAGCCCGAAUUGAAGCCUUGAACCAGAUUCAAGAAGGAAAGAAAGUUGUUGCCCGAGCUUAUAACAAGAAGGUGAAGAUAAAGUCUUUCAAAGAAGGAGAUUUAGUGUGGAAAACAGUCAUCCCGCUAGGAGCUCAGCUCAGGGGCUUUGGAAAGUGGAGCCCGACAUGGGAAGGUCCUUUCAUUAUUAGUCGAGUUUUGAAUAAAGGAGGAUACUACCUAGCAUACCUCGAAGGAAAUGGGCAGAAACAUCCCAUUAAUGUUAAAUUCUUAAAGAAAUACUGUCCUACAUUAUGGGAUGUUAGAGAUUGUUACAUUGAAGAGGGGGCAAAGUAAAGCAGGCGUCGGGAGUUUCAUAUGCAGUGUUUGUUCAUCAACCAUUCAAAGAAAACAAAAAGACAAAAGUUGCUGAAAUAAUUUUUAUUUCAUGUCGACAAAUUGGUGAAAUUAACAAAAGAUUCAAUUUCUACAUAUUACAUUUGAUUCUCUCUAAGUAUAGUGAUUUCUUCAGCUGGUUUUCCGAUGUCUUCAUGGAUGGAACCCGAUCAGGUGAUCGGGUUGUGCGGCCAACAUAUGCUUGGUAGAGGAUCAUCCGACAGAGCCACCACCAUAUGUGAUGGUGAAGCCUGACUUAUGACGGCAGCAAGCAGGAAAUCAAGCCUUCGUGAAGAACUCGCCUGACCAAGGGUGUUGGGGAUAGCAGGGUGUUCGACCAAUGGUGUUGGAGAUAGCAGUCAUUUGAUGAAACCCCCUUUUUUCUCACGAAAAGGGAGUUUUAGGAAACUCCACUCAAAAUCUGAAGAACCCAUUUCUCAGUUUUUUUUUUUCCGAGGAAGAUUAGAUGGUUUUGACAGGAGGGGUUCCAAGCCAGAAUUUAUAGGACCCAGAGGACAGUUCAAAGGUCGUGGGAAGAUCAAGAGACUCCGGGUGCCAUUAAUUUCAUCCAAAAAACACAAGUUCCAAGGGCAAAGAUGCAGCCGCAUGAAGAACUUUUCAAUUAAUAUUGGCGCCUGGAAUUCCAGGCUAAAUAUCAAUUGAAGGGGGCACUGUUUGGAUCAAAACUUAACUUUGGGCCCAAGCAAAGAAGGCCCAAAAGAAGGCCUGAAGGAAGAGUCGGCCGAAGCCCAGCCGAGACCUAGAAAAGCAGGAAAGGGUCUCCUCUGACUUGGUGCAGCUCAUGAAGACCACUUGCCCACCUACCCAAAGGUCAAGUGGUAUAGACUGACCAGCUACACAGCCCAUAAAGUACUUUAUGGUGGCAUUACAUGUAAAAAAGCUGAUGAGUCAUCACCCUCAAACCACAUUCGGGCAAGGCUGUUGCUACAGGAGGACAUGCUGGGUUGUCUAUAAAAGAAGAAAGAGAAAUCAGGAUUAAGGACACUCAAUCAAACAAACAAAUGCAAGCACAAACUCUGCUCAAAAGCCAUAUUUGCCUUCAAAACGAAGCUGUAGUCAGCCCAAGCCUUCAUCCAUCGCGGGAUAACCUUUCCUUCAAACCUUUGUAAUAGCUCUGCUACCUUGUUCAACCUUGUUGUAGUAUCGAUUCACCUUUUGUAAUCUCUCUCCCUCUCUCAAAACUUUCAGACCUUUAACAAAACUACAAAGAUAGGAGCCUGCAAGACGAGCAGCCUUGCCUGAUAAGGUUUAACCUUGCCUGACCUUCUAUGCUUUGUAUUUUUUGUCUUUUCAUUCAUUAAGCCUAGUAAUAUGUUGUAUGAUCCCAGUUAUAUGCAAGUUAUUUCUAGCAAGAUGACCAUUAAAAAGCUUUCUCAGUACAUAGACCCGAUUUGAAUAGAUCUUCAGUAUUCAAAUCAGAUCUAAGUCCUAAGCCCUCGGGCAUGCAUAUUUGAUCAGUUAAAAGUCCUUGGCCUCAAGGCAUAAAAAAGAACCUUAUGUGGACUUAACCCAUCCACGACAAUCCUUGAUAAACGAGAAGUCCAAAGUUACUUGGGGCGCAAGUAAUCGACCUACCACUUAGUUUUAUUUCUAUUAUAUGAUGAUUAUCAUAGAACGUUUAUGCAUGGAAUGGAUUCUGAUAGGAAGCCUCAAGGCCUACACCUAAGGCCCCACAAAAGCACCUAUUUGGGUUCAUUCCGUUCUGCGAUCUAGAGCGUUCUGAGUAGAAAGAACAAAUUCUGAUAGAAAGCCUCAAGGCCUACACCUAAGGCCCCACAAAGGCACAUAUUUGGGUUUGUUCUAUCUCUCGGACGCAGGUAAUCAGAAGUAUAAUAGUUAUAAAACUCCUGCAAUCAAUGGAAUAAGUAUUAUGUAUUCGAGUACUGGUUUAGUAACCGAUGGGAAGCCUCAAGGCCUACACCUAAGGCCCCACAAAGGCACCUAUCAUAACUAACCCGGUUCCUCGGGCACAUAUAUAUAUACAUACAACUAAAACUCGACAUCCAUUUCAUAUCUGCCAUGCUGAAGAUGGCAGUGGCACGCCUGAGCACCUAAAAGUUAAUUUUGAUUGUGAGCCUCAAGGCCUACACCUAAGGCCCCACAAAGGCACAUUUCAAAGUUAACUUUGUCCUUCUCUUUCAGCCUUGCCCGACGAGCCUUGCCCGACGAGUCUUGCCCGAUAAAGAUUCGCCUGACGAAACUUGCCCGACAGAGCCCAACCGUGAAGCAGAAGCCCGACAGCAGCCCUCAACCGACGCCAAACCUCCAGGGGAGCUGUGCAUCUCGCCGACCAGGAAACUUGCCCGACGGGAAUUCCUGAAGCGAACAAGUUAGGUGGGCAUUGUUGUCAGUUAGGGUUGCAUUCGGUGGGAUCGAUGGCUCGGUGUGGGAUUUGGUGGGAAUGCAUGUUGCUUGCAAAGAGGAGGAGAGAGGGAAUGAGGGAGGGGGAGGGAGAGAUAUGGGUUUGGUGAGGGGAAGGCAUGCGACUUGCAGAGAGGAGUGAGGGAGAGAGGAUGAGAGAGGGAAUGAGGGAAGGGGAGGGAGAGAGAGAGGGGUUUGGUGAGGGGAAGGCAUGCGACUUGCAGAGAGGAAGGAGGGAGAGAGUUGGAGAGAGAGGGAAGGAUGGAGGGGGAGGGAGAGAGAGAGGGGUUUGGUGAGGGGAAGGCAUGCGACUUGUAGAGGGACGGAGCGAAGCUUAAAAGCAACUGCAAAAAGUUCAAUGGACAGGGUCGCAGCAAUGGAGACACCUCGCUCUGAACCAUUUCCCCUCUCCUCAGGCGAAUGCUGAACAAAGUUUUGAAGGAACAAAAAGAAGAAGAGCUACACAUAAUAGAAUCCGAUUUGCAAGGAAAAGAAGAAAGCCAGCUUUUCAAUGAAAAAGCUAAAAUCAAUCCCUUCAACCUCCUCAUCGGCAGCGGCACCCACGACCACCAGGUUCACUUUUAAUUUAAUUUUAAUUUUAAUUUUUUGCUUUUUUAGUGGAUUAAAGAAUAUGAAACGAAUUAUAAUUUAAAAUGGGGAAAUUUUGUUGAUUUUUGCGUUCAGUGUUCUGACUUUUGAGUGAUCAUCGAGCUGUGAUGGGUUGGUGUUGGAUUUGAUUCAAUUGAGGUAAAAGCUCUGCAUGAUUGUGAUACGGAGAAAAUGCUAGAAUCUUACCUUCGAUCCAAAUAUCUGAUUUUUGUUACAAUUGCUAUUUUCAUUGCAGGAAAAUGUGGCGGAGACAAUAAUUCCCAAAUCCUCGAGUUUUAUAAAUGCAUUCCAAUUGAUAGCCAUGUCAAAUGAUCUCGAUUUGUCAGGUAUGUUCGAGGAACAGGCAAGUUUACAAGAAAUAGAUUUACUAAAAUAACUAAUCCUACUUUUUUAGCUUAUAACGAAUAAUGUUGAACUGUUAACUUAAUUUAGGAUGAGAAAUAGAAGACAACAAGAAUUGGACCCAAGCAUACCAUUACUGAAACCAUGAAGAAAAUAGAAGCGGCUGCAACAGAUGCGAGUAUUCUGUAGCAAGAACAAACAACUUCAGGGUACAUGAAACUUAUAUUCAAUCGUACUUCUUUAUCUGCUUAUCAAAGUUCCUUCCUGCCAACUAAUGAUGUAUUAUUUUUUCAUCAGAUGUAAAUGCAUGCAAAAAUUCCAAUGGAAACGUAAAUCACCAUAUCCAGGUAAAUCCGAAUUGUAGAUCAGACUUAUAUUACAAUUUGCUUUCUUUGUGAAAUUUUAUUGUAAUCUCUGGCUUUUGAAAUUCUAUAUGAAAUUGUGAAUGUCAUUCGGAAUCAAGUCUGGCCGAGUUCUUUACUAAAUAGUGCGAAAAUAUGCAUGAUGAAACUAAAUUACUUUUGUAUCAUCUAUAUUUACCUGUUAUCAUAACAGGAUUUAAAAUAUAGAAACAUACUGCUUAAUGUAUAAUUGAGUGAAAUGCUAGUUUACAUAGAUAUUGUGCUUAUUUGUUUUAGGUGGAUUACCAAAAGGAGCUCAUCAAGUAUUCUGCGAGCACGAUCGACCUUGAUCAUUUGGAUAUUUAAAGGAGCCAUUGAUAAAGGGAAGACGACGAGUUGUGAACCUGUGUGCCAAUUUUGCCAAUUUUGCAGACAAGCAGAAACUCUGGCACUUGCCUCUGUCCUAUCCUCCUCUCGCCGCCGUCUCCCUUCUCUCACCUCCGUCGUCUUACUCCUCCUUUCUCUGUCUCUGGAAUCCUAUCGUCAUCUUCCUCGCAUGCAAGGCUCUGGCCCUUUCAAUUGAAACCAAAACGUGUUUCAGGUGCCUAACACAACCUCUCACUACUCACUCACAUCAGUUGGUUUUUGUAAUUUGAACUUUUUUUUCUAAUAAAUUUGUAUGCUUUCUGGAUUUUUAUGGCAGUUUUGGACCUUAUCUUUUCUGAAUUUGUGUGCUUCUCUGGGUUUUUUAAUGGCAGUUCUGAGGAAGAGCAAGAAAAAGGAAGAACCAGUAUUAGAAGAUCUUCCCAAAGAGUACUGUGAUGAUGUGAGUGCCUUUAUUCUUUAACUUGGCCAAAUGGGUGCUCAAAUUUCACGUUUUUCUGUGAUUAUACGAGUAAAUUUAUGUUUUUUGUUUUUGGGUUUUGCCAAAUUCAAUGGUGGUAUUUAUGGGUUUGGUAUUGAUUUUCAGAUUAACAAUGACUUUGGGGAAAUUGAUUGAGUCUGCAUUCAAUGUAACUUUUCAUGCAGUUACAUACUGAUGAAAUAGAAUUCAAUUUUUUCAUUCCUUUUUUUUUAAAUGCAGUUACAUUUAUAUGAUGAUUUACAGCAUAUAUUUAUCUUUUAGAUUCUAAUUCUUCAUGCAGUCUAAGCCAUGAAGGAUUUGAUAAACCCACAAUUGAUAACAAUGUGCGGCGGCACCAACGGUUUUGGACAAGGAACAAGUAAGUACCAUUUUGUUUCAUUGUUUCAAAGUAUUAUGUAGAGAUUGCUUUAAUAUCUUGGCUUCUUUGCUGUUUGUGGGGUGUAUGAGAUAGGAUUUAGGAGAUCUGGUUUAGAUUUUGCAAAGAGAGUGUGUCCGAGAGAAAUGUGGGAGGAUUUAGGCGAGGGAUUUCAGGGAUUUGUUUAGGGUUUCUUUUCUGCGAUUUGCAGACAGAGAGAUGGGACAAGGGUGAGAGAGAGAUGGGAGGAUUUUCUGCGAGGGUAGAGGGAACGGGUAAGGGAGGUAUGGGUAUGGGUAGGGGAUGGAAAAACAUUUCGUUUUCCAUUUGCUUCCUCAAACCCGAGGGAUUGCUGCAAUUGCAGAGAGAGAUGGGGGUGUUCGUUAGGUCCCCUUUCAGUGUCACAUUUGUGCUUUGUCCACCCUUGAUUGUUGUGUGAUUCAUUCUCACGAACGUUCUAUGCACAAGGUUUCAUGUUAUUCCUUCCUUUUAAUUUUGAUAUUAUUGUGCUUAAUUUCUAUUUUAUUUUAUUGGGUGAUUAGAUUAACAGACUUUGGAUAUUUGGUAUAAUAAUUUCACAUCACGUGUUGCCCUUUUGCAUCACCUUAAUUGUUCAUCAGAUGCUAACUUUUAAUUAUGUUUUCUUUGGGUCAGUCUCCAUCUGGUACAUGUGUCCAUCCUUCUGGAGUGGAGCACUAUCUUUCUGACAGCAUAAAUGCUCUGAGAAGCUACUAUGGAGACAAGCAGUUGUUUACUCCGUUCUAGGUAUGUUUUUCUUUAGUAUUUUAGAGGGAUUCUUAACUAUUCCCCAUUGUAAUCUUUACCUUUGUAUCUAUCUCUCUCAAAAGACGAUGAGAGUAGCAACUGUUGCAAAGCAAAUUCUCAGAUGUAUAUAAGCAUAUACAUACAUUGGACAAAAACCGAAUCUUAAAUUGGGGCAGUGAGUUCUGCAACAUCUUGGUGCUGCAUAUAUUCUCACACUUUUAAAAGUUGUAUUUCUCAUAUACAUUGGGAAUUUUAAUUAGUUUUAUUUCAUUUUUGUAGGGCAAUUUAGUAGAUAUUUAGACAUAAAAGAAGAUGCGUGAAUCAAUACAAUUAACCUAAUAGUGAUUUGGUUCAGCGUAAAGACCAUUGCUAGGGCACUCAAGCCAUUUUCUUAAUUUAUGCGCAUAUAUAUUAUACGUAACCAGAACAUGUUUCCAAAGGAUGUUAGUUAGUGUUCAUGCUCUGCUGAUAUUUUAUUCUGUUCAUUUUGAUUUUGUUUUUCAGUUGUGGUUAUAGGAUUGUUUUGUCUCUCUUUUUUUCUUUUUUGUUUUCCCUCGUACAACUUUUCUAAAAUUGAACUGUAGUUCUCAAUUUGGUUCUUUGAACCGAGGCCAAUUGGGCUGUGCCUUUGGAAGGUCUCACUGCUAUUAAAGUUGAAUGGUGCUAACUGAAUAUAAUGCGUUCAUUCUUCGGUGUGUGUGAGUGUAUGUGUAUGCAGUCUAUGCGAGUGCAUGCAGUGCGGUUAGGUUCAUUCCCGCAUGGGUUUUCGUCUUUUUUUCGUUAAAUGGUUAGGUUCAUUCCCGUAUGGGAGAGGUGUGUUUUUGCCAUCAAAUUGGUAGAGACUGAUCUUAAUCAAAUAUCAUGCCAUAGUGUUAUUUUGUUUGCAUCUAUGGAACUAUAUAUUUACUUCGUUGUUGUUGACAGCUUCGCAUGUUCCUUCCAGAUAAUGCUGCCUUUUUGGAUUUCGUAUGAGUGUCCCGGGUCGGUUCUGGACCAACAAAAGAGGGAUGAUCGCUGUCAUUCGGACUGCAGGCGUCCACUUCAAAAUCCCGGUAAACACAUCCUUUUCUUGAUUUCAGGCCAUGCAAAAUUCAUGGUGAAAAAACUGAGCUCAUGUCGUUGGUUUGUGCCUCUGUCCUAUUUCUUAUUUAUUUAUUUAUUUUAUCAAUCCUUUUCCUUCUUGGUUCUAUUUGUUGCUGCUGGUUCCGAUAUUUCAUUGCCCUAUGUGUGCAUGAUAUCAGUGCUGCCACUUUUCAUAUUCUUAUCAAUGCUUACAUCUUCACUCUUUUCCUUCUGUUUCUUUUGCUUAACAUGGUUUCGGCUUUUUGAGAUUGUGUGUUUGAUUAACAUUUGAUCGUAUGGUGUUAGAUUUUAAAUUUGAUGUGAAUAAAUUCUGCCAGCGGGGAUUUUGGUCUCUGGAUUUUUCAUGGUGUAAUUUUUAUGGCAUGAUCCAUUGGUGUUGUGUGCAUUUUUAUCAACAAUAAUAAGCUUUUUCUCAGCAUUGCAAACAAGUUUUCUUAUAACUAAGAGACGAGUGCAUGGUGCAUGUGUCUUAAUUUAUUCAGGUUAAAUAUAUCUUAUUUAUGCAGUUAAGGUGGGUGCAUUCAAGUCCCGCAGCAACACGCGGGCAUAUUUUCUCGUUGAGACUAAAGGAGGUCUUAACGCCAAAUACUGUUCUGUAUAUUUACGAAUGGUUUAAAGUUUGGGUUUAAUUGGAUAAUCAGAGAGUAGUGCGUCAGACUAUGGAUAUUCAGAAACUGAAAGCAUAAUUCAUAUUCUUCUAACAAGUCCACGCAAAUAACCACAAUCACAAUGUUAUUUAUAACUGGCCAUGUAGAACGCAGUACAAAAGCACUAAAAGCGUCCAAGUGAAAGUACUUUCUUCUCAUGUAGUUUCAUUUAACUUAGUUUUGACAUGCCAAUCAGUCACACACUCAAGUCCUGAACGUUCGGGCUCAAUGGCUCCAAGAGAGCUUCCACUUCACUCUGAUUCACCUCCUCUAACCUUGACAGGUUCCACUUCGGAUUCUGCAUUGACAAGAAACCGAAGCCAAAGAUAAAGAUCCGUUCUGAUAUACAGAAAGUAAGAUGAUUAUAUAACUGUAGGUCUUGUAGAGGCGAUCUUAUAGCAACUCAGUCCACAAAGACGAUCUUAUAGCAAGGCGAUAUUAUCACAUCAGUCAACUUUUGUUGGUCAAGUAAAGCACAUGUUACUCACAGAAAAUGUGAAAUACUACAAAACAAAACCUAUCAAAAGGAUGCAACCAUGUGAUGAAAGAAACGAAAAGGUACGAAGUCCAGACUCACUGGAUAAUUCAUAAUUGGUUGUCAUUUUUCCCAAGCGCAGAUGCCAACUUUGGAGAAGUAAUUUUUUGUCAAAUAAAGUGAAAAAGGAGCACCCUCUCCAAGACCUUGAAGAGCUUUGUUAGCCCACUCCACUGCAAUAGAAACAAUUUGGUCGAAAAUACUUGACAGUGACAUACAAGCCUCUCAAUAGAAGAGUACGACAAACUUACCAGUAGCAUCUGAACUCAGCUGCUGCUUUUUAAGUUCAUCAAUUGUCUCAAGAACCGACUUAUUUACACCAAAUGCUGAAGUUAUUUGAGGCAAAAGCCUCUUGAGUUGCGUUCCAGAAUCUGGGUUGCUGCUGAAUUUGGCCACAGUUGUUUCAAUGUUCUGAAGGGGAUCCUGGGAACUGCAUCAACAAUGGAGUUGCUUUUAUCUCAACAAACGCAUUAGACAAUGUGAUGAUGCCAACUAAAGCAUCGGAAACGCAUAGCAAGAACAGUGCUCUGAAAUUUGAAAAGCCACUGCAAUGUAAUUGACAACAUUGACAAUCUCUGUCUGACAAGGCAAUAGUACCUCUGCAAUGAUCCGGUAGCGACCGGUGACCUGAUAGGCCAAUACCAAAGCCCACUGUUAUGUCACCCAUGAAGCUUAUAUAGGGCUUCUUGCACAGAGAUUUUGCAUAUUAGAGAAUACUCAGCAGUGGAUACCUGAAAAACCUGCAGCACAGAUAUCAUAUCGCUAGCCUCUGAAUCUUGAGAAUACUAUAAAUGGUAGCUUAUAAAAGAAAUGAAUCCUAUCCAACCAAUACAUAUCAUACUACCCAAGUCAAAGCAAAAUCAAGACUAACAAAUGAUCAGAUGUUGUAGGUUGCCCGAGAAUGCCAAACAUGAAAUUACAAAAGGAAAAAUCGUAUGUGUUGGACAUUAGUAAAUAAAUGAUGAAAGCACAAUCUUAGCAAUUAAAGAAAUGUUGAAAUUUUACAUGGGUUUUUGUAAUGUUGAAAUGUUUCCGGAUGCAAUAUGUCUUCAAAAUUCAAAACAAUUACUUACUGGAAAAUCAUAAGAAUCUGAAAGAAGUAUGAAAUGUUGACUUGCUGAUGAUGAAGCUGGAGGUAAUCUGUAGUCCAGGAGCUCAGAAUGUGAUGAUGAGGAUGAGUCUGAUGAUGACAAUGCAACACGACCUUGAUCGUGUCUCACCAUAGAACCGAUCUGGGUGUGACUUAAUCUUGACAGAAGAUGCUUUCACUUCAAAAUUUUUGCCUUUUCCCCUUUCUGUCAUCUGUAGUAAUUCUCAUUUGAUUACUGGGAUUACUAUUAUCAGAUGAUUCAUGGCUUGGUUCUGCCUCAUCAUAGAACCAAGCUGGAUGUGGGUCAGAAACAUAACCAGCACUAUUCAUAGCAAGCAUAUUUUCUUUCAUUGGCUUAUCCCACGCUAGAUUAACUCCUGUUCUCUUAACAGUAAAUAAAUAAUAAGGAUCCACACUUACAAAAGGUUCUUCAAAAAUUAUAUCAACUUUAUCCCCGCCUUGCAAAUUGAGCUUAUCGUUCGAUAGUUGUCCUAGCCAAAUAUAAUCAGGUUCAGGCAUGUCGUCUAUUUCUUCUCCGUCUAUUUCUUCUCCGCGUAUGGCUAUGCAGGCUCGCAACUCAGUACGCUUGGUGUGAUUUAUAACAGUAAUGUGAAGAGAAUAAUAAUUAUUUUUUGAGUGGUAAAAGCAGAAUAGAGUCAGGCCUUUAAAAUUACGAACACUCCGGGGAAUAUCAAAACUGACUUUAUUGCCAUUGUUGACAAACUCAAACCAACCAGGAACAUAAUUCCCAUGGAAGAAAAUGCCACCAAAUCCGCAAGAAGUCCAUCCCUAUAUAAACAAUGCAAGUGUCAUAUAUAUACAUGUACAUGUGCGUUUGUGCGUGCAUGCGCACGAUAGGAAGGCAAUUAAAAGAAAGAGGGAGAGAUACCUGUAGGAUGUUCUUCUUAAAAUUAUCUGUGAGAUUGGUGCACCUUUUCAUAUCAAUCAAUGUCAUGGAGGAUAAUGACUUAUCCAAGCCUGGAACCUCAGUGAGUUUGGACGAAUCACUUAAAUUCAGUUUUCUCAUCUUUGACAUUUCCGAAAAAUUGGGCAUUAUUUUCAAUGUAGGGCAACCAGGUGCCUUCAAGACUUCCAAAUUUGUUGGUAAAUUGGGGAUUGUAUGAAGAUUUCUGCAUUUACUGAGCUUCAGAGUUUCAAGCUUUGAAAGAUCAUUGAGGCUCGGUAGGCUACAAAAAGAAUUCCCUUUAAGAUUCAAAUCUUGUAAGGAAAUUAGACUCCCAAGAUCCUUAGGGAUUUUAUUAUCAUCUAAUUUGCACCAUGAGAGAUCUAACCGAGUGAGAUUGUUCAAUCUUACUAUGGAAGGUGGUACUCGUUUUAUGGCUGUGGAAUCUGCAUCAAGUAUUUUCAAUGAUAUCAUCUUCCCUAAAUCCUUAUGCAGUUUUUUGAAAUUUGAACAGAACGAAAGAAAAAGAGUCUCAACAGAUUUCGACUUAUAGAAAUCCCCUGGAAGAAAAAUAAGAUUGUCACAGAAUCUAAGGUUCACCAAAGAAAGUCUUUUAAGAUAACCAAUAGAGGGGUGAAUUCCGGACAAUUUAUUGCAGUAUUCCAAUAUCAACUCUUCAAGAUUUGGGACUUGUGAAAAGUCUGGUGAUUUAAUUAGGUCACUAGAAAAACUGAGAUCAAUGAUCUUCAACUUCUGGAGCGAGAGCGACUAAUGCACAAAACCAAAGAAAAAUUGAAAUUAAUAUCCAAAAAGAAAAUCUUAUAAAAAAGAAGGAAUCCAAAAACAAAUAGAAACAGAACAUUAUGACGUGUAAUUGAUUAUACCUUGGAACCCUGCCAAAACUGUACCAAUUUACUAUCGUGCAUCUGUAUAGCAACUAGUUUCUCUUGAUUUAAAAAGUCAUCUGGUAUGGACUGUAAAGGGAAUUUACUCCAACAGAACCAUAUUAACUCUUUGGGAAGAUGUUCGUAUUUUCCAUUGAGCUUAUUAGCGUAGUCGAGCCGAAGUAAUCUCAGUUUCUUCAUAUUGGCAAAUGCUUCUGUACUGAAACUAGUCUUGUCAGAGCUUGGUAACCCGGGAUAAGGGAUAUCUAGAGCAAGUCCUUCAACUUCUUCAGUUCCCUGUUAAAAAAAAAAAAAAAAAGUUUAAGUAAGAAAUAGAUUAUUUGCAUAUGUUUACAUGAUUUUGCAUAAUGAAUUAUACUUGCAUUCCCCCUUUGGGGUGACAAGCUCAUUCUGCCGCUUGCAAAUAACAUUUCUUAAUCGUACAAAUUUUCAUUGUGGAACCAUUCAAUUUCUUACUCUUAUAAUCAUUACAAAAAAUUUGAAUCAGAGAUCACUUAAUUUAGACAUCCAAAUGUAUCAAUAAAUGGAUAAUUCAUUAUUGAUAUGUUACUUAGGCAAAAUCACGUACUAUGAAUAAAUGCGAGUACUAUUGUUGGCUAAUUGAGCUUUCCUUGUGCAACUAACAUAUAUACACAUGAAUGUUGUCUAAUGUAUAAUAGACAUUUUGUUAAAGAAAAAAUGUAUAAUAGACAUACGUGGGUUAUAUAUGCUUUUCCUGUACAAUGCAUUAAUCCAAAAUUUUAUUGGGAAUAUACUUACAAAUUUAUUUGUUAAUACAUUGGUGACCUCUCGAGAAUUCCACAACCUGCUCCAUUUUCCAGGGUGACCGGGGGACUUUUCAGAAAUGAUUACUCUGGCCAUUUCUCGAAGCAAAUCAUGCAUAUACAAUAUGUUGCGUUCAACAGUUACAAGGCAUCGUUCACAGAGGACACUGAUUUCUAUUGUUGCAAAAAAUUCACAUCCAUCUAAUACUUUUGCGACAUAGUCCUUUUCCCAUCCAAUAAAGAAACAAGAUAUGUCAAGGAAAGUAGCCUUUUGUGUACGAUCCAGCUUUUCAAAGCUUACUCUUAGCGGUUUCAUUAUUCCUUCAUGAGGAAUUUUUUUUAAUUUCUCCAACUGACUUUUCCACUCUGUUGGGACUCUUUCAAUCAUAGAAGAACCUAAAACUUCAAGGGCUAGUGGCAAACCACCACAGUGAGAAACAACCUCUUUUGAGAGUUCAAGAUAUCCUUCAUUAGGACAACUAUUUCCAAAGGCAUGCCAACUAAAGAGUUUCAAAGCUUCUUCUUCAUUCAUUUCCUUAAGCGGAUAUGUCUCGUCCACUUUCAUGUUCACUUGCUUUAGUAAACGAUCAUCUCGUGUCGUUAUGAUAAUUCUACUUCCUAGGCCAAACCAAUCACGAUUUCCAGCUAUUGCAUUUAGUUGUUCCACUUUGUCUACAUUGUCAAUAAUGACAAGUACUCUUCUACUUUGGAGAUGAUGUUUUAUCAGACUGAUACCUUCAUCAACACUGGUUAUCUCACGCUUGUUCUGUUUCAAGAUGUUAGAAACAAGUUGUUCUUGCGAAACAACCAGAUCUUUUUCACUAACGUUGUUAAGGAAACUUUUGAAUUGGAACUCAUGAUGAAUUUUGUUAUAAAUGGCUUUGGCAGCUGUUGUUUUACCCAAUCCACCCAUCCCCCAAAUUCCAACCAUGCGAACAACAUUUGAUCCACCAUUUGAAAGAAAAGUGAUGAUAUCUUGAAUGCGAGUAUAUAUUCCAACUGGGUGCUUGGCCACAUGUAAACUUUCUGCGCUCGGAAGCCAUUCCGGGAUAAUCUUGUUAACAAUUUCUCUAAUAAGCUUUGCUUCGCACCUGAAAAAUUGAAUUGGUAAGCUUAGUAAGUAGGCUCAGUAUGAGCUAUUAGUAUAUUUCCUUGUUUCCUUCGCGCGCGUGUGUGCACACAAACUAUCUACUAUAGCUAGUAUGUGAUUUUGGGACCAACGUCAAUAAAAGAAACAAAUUCAUUCAUGGAUAUAUUAAAGUUUGGUGUAUCAAUUAAACUCCAAUUAUGGUUUAGGUUUUACAGGAAAUUGGAGAAAUGGUCCCUGAACUAUGAUUGAACUGUAGCUUUGGUUCUUAAACUAAAAAAUUCAAUAAAUCUUGUCCUUGAACUUAACAAAAUAUGGAGCAUUCAUCCCUCCAUGUUAACACCGUAAGAUUUUCUGUUAAUUUGAUGACGUCAUCUUUGUGGGCUCUAUAUUUUUGUUUACUAGAUGCCACGUGGCUUGAAAAUUCAAAAUAAAAGAAAAUAAAUACAAACAUAGAGAAAGAAAAAGAAAAAAAAAAUAUUUCAAUUAUAAAAGUUAACUCUCUCCAAUCCUCCCUUCCGCCUCCCCUCCUCCAAACCCCAGCCACACCAUUGUAGCACUUUCCCAACAGCAAAAACAAAGAAAGUUUAUAAUCCAAAUUUGGAACACAUCUCCCUUUGCAAACAAAUUCACAAUGACAUCCAUCCACGUUGUCUCGACAGGUAAGAUUCAAGAAAUUUGUGAGAUGUGGGUUUGGGUGACGGCUGUGGUCCAUGGGCUACAGGUUGGGGCCGGCUGGGGAGUGGGGAUUAGGGAUUUGGGGUUGGAAGUGGGAGGUUGACGGGUGUGAAUCAAAGAUUGAAGGUGAAGGGGUGGGCUGCGAGCCUGCGAGUGUUGGUGGGAUGAGGUACGCCUGCAAUUAUAUAUAUAUAUAUAUAGUAGACACUUUUAACUAAAAUUUAAAGGAAUUGGUUACGAAGGACUAAUGCUCCAUAUUUUAUCAAGUUCAAGGACAAAAUAUAAUGAAUUUUUAAUUUAGGAACCAAAGCUACAAUUUUCCUCAAGAUUUUAUAUGAGAGAUUAAGGUGUAUUAAUUAAGCAUGUUAAUUAGAGUAAUACAACUUAAAUAUUGAAAAGCACAAUGAUUACCUGCAAUUAUAUAUAUAUAUAUAUAUAUAUAUAUAUAGUAGACACUUUUAACUAAAAUUUAAAGGAAUUGGUUACGAAGGACUAACGCUCCAUAUUUUAUCAAGUUCAAGGACAAAAUAUAAUGAAUUUUUAAUUUAGGAACCAAAGCUACAAUUUUCCUCUAGAUUUUAUAUGAGAGAUUAAGGUGUAUUAAUUAAGCAUGUUAAUUAGAGUAAUACAACUUAAAUAUUGAAAAGCACAAUGAUUACCUCUUAUCAGUGAUUUGAAGAUGGUAGCCAGACAAAUUUGCAGCUUUUGUAAGAACCUCUCCCCACUGCUUUAUCCCUUCUUGUUUAGCUUCACGUUUCUUGUCAUCCUUUUCUUCACCGAUGCCCUCUUCGUGCUUCUGAAAUUCUUCAGCCAACUCUGCAGCUUCUCUAAGAGCCUCUGUCCACUGCUUUACCCUUUCUCGUUUUUCUUCACGUUUCUUGUCAUCUUUUUCUUUACUGAUGUUCUCUUCGUGUUUCUUAAAUGCUUGGGCCAAAACUCCAUUCUGCUUCCUGACAUGUGAAGGAUCAACGUGAUAGAAUAUUGGCAAAACAUGUCGCCCCAAUUUGUCUCUGCACUCCAUGAUCUUCACCAGCUCGUUAAGACACCAACUCGAAUCCGCAUACCUCUCUGAGAAGACAAUGAUAUAGAUCUUCGAUUUUUCGAUUGCCUGUUCCAGUUCUUUUUUUAUUUCUUCCCCUCUUUCUAGAUCGUCCUCAUCGAUAUACGCUUGAUAUCCCCUAUCUGUUAAUGCCGCGUGGAGGUGGUCCGUGAAGCCACUGUGUGUGUCUACACCGCUGAAGCUCAAGAACACGUCGUAAUUCCAAAGUUUUGACUUGGGGGAGGAUGAAGAGGAGGCUUCAUGGUUUGUCAUGGCGGUAUCCACUGUUAUGGCACUGCAGUGGUUCAGAUUAUGACUGAAAAAUGGCAGUAGUUGUGUUUGUGCUAUUGAACAGAUGAUCCUGAAACACCUAAACCCAAGUCAAGCUCCUUAAGUCAACAAGAACAAAGUUUAUAAUAUAAUAAUGUUGGCGUAUGGAAACGACAUAAUGUUGGCCAGAAGGUGCAGAGACAAACUUGAAUGCAAGCUUUCUGAAAUCUUCCAACCAAUACAGAUAAAAAGGUAACACCCUAGUCAGAAAUGAACUGAGGUGUUAGCUUUCUAAGACACCCAGAUGACAAAAUCAACAAAAUAGAAUGGAAAACUGACUUACACUUUUAAGGCAUGCUAGAAUCUUGAUCUAAAAUUGGUGGUGGGUCGAUUGUUGGUCACCAACUCUAAAUGAAGAAUUCAUCAGAACCUAGAAAAUUAAACAAAGAACUUUCCAAAAUCAACAUUUACUAAAAACCAUUUACUUGGUUAUCAUGCAAGAUGGCUUGCCAAAGAUUGAAUUAAGGAAUGCAAAACUUUACUUUUAUGAUGAUUUCCAAUGACAGCUAAAAGGUCAGAACCAAAUGAAAAUAAAAGUUAGGACUUCACAAAACCAAUUAAAAUCUAAUUCCAAAGUUACAAACACCCACCAAAUGAUUCCAGAUAAAGUUUUAAACUCAAGGUCAGACCCAAAUGAAAUUAAAAGUUAGGACUUCACAAAACCAAUUGAAAAUCUGAUUCCAAAGUUUCAAACACACACCAAAUGAUUCCGAAUAAAGUUUAAACUAAAAAACCCAACAGAAACAAAAGCAUUGGUGUGAAUUAACAGUAUCUAAUUGAAGAAACUAAAACAAAAGUAAAGUAAAGUAUAUACCUCAAAAUAUCAAGCAAUUAAGUUCUUCCUCCGAUGACCCAAAACUCUGAAAAUUCCACACAAAAAAAAAGGUAAAUCCAUUAGCAAUUCAUAGCUUUCAAAAUCAGCAAAAACUUGGGCAACAAUAAAGAUGCGUUGAGAACCAUCACUCUUUCUCCUUAUGUAUUUGAAAAGAUAUUUUAUAAGCAAUUUAUGUAGUCAUUCUGAUCAUGUUGCAUAUAAAUUCCUUUUCUACAGAGUUCAAAAAAAAUAGGGCAGUUUAUGGCAUCUGUUGAAUAACAUGGUUGAAAGAUUUAAAAUUGAUAAAUUCAAUUUUUAUGUGUAAAACUAUAACAUAUAGCUAAAGCUAUUGGGUCUAUAUAUCCAUAUCAAUCAUGUCGUAAUUGAAGGUUUAUCGAUGUAAAUAGAUGAUUUCAGUCAUGUGAAGUAUAUGCUGAAGUUUGGUCUAAGUUAGAUAAAAAUUGACCAAAAUCUUAAUAAGAGACUCUUUUAGCUUUUAACCAAAAAAUGAGCACCACAAUACUACACUUAUAAGUUUUAUCAUGCACAAAAUACAUAGCACUGAUUGCUACUUUUAGAGCAAGAACAAUACUUUCCAAGAAAACAACAAAACACUCAAAACCCAGAAACAGAAACACACUUAGGACUCCAACUCCUCAAAAACAUGAGAAAGAGAGAGAGUGUGUGCGAGGAGAGAGAAUAAAAAACCAUAUUAAUUUUCACACAAACUCAAAAUUGCUUAUAAAAUUACAAAUCAAAACAAAUGAAAGCAAAUCCAAAUUGCCCUAAAUUAAAUCUGAUUAGUUAAACGUUUGUUGCCCUACAAAUGUCGUUACACCCGACACAACUUGCUUUGAAGUUGAUAUUUUGGUCAAUCCAGGGAAAAAGGAGUUAUUGGUUUUGGAGCGGUUGUCAUGGAGAAUACCAUCUCCCUGUUGAAUGAUCUAAAAAAGGACUUACAGCUUCUGCUGGCCAUAAUAAGGCCCUUCUCUCCAGAUUUUCUCAAUAACUUUCCUUUUCGUAGCUGGUAAGAUUGCAACUCCAAGAAUUGCUCUGAAGAGAUAUACAAAAAAAUCAAACUAAAACUAAGCUAUUGGAAGAAAUUUAGAAAACACAAACAUCACUACAACUCAGAUUUAAAGUCAACAGAAACCAAAUGGUAGAAGUUGAAAAAAUACAUGGUCAUGAAUCGAGAACUUCAUCAAGCUACAACAACAACAACAACAACAAAGCCUUUUCCCACUAAGUGGGGUCGGCUAUAUGAAUCCUAGAACGCCAUUGCGCUCGGUUUUGUGUCAUGUCCUCCGUUAGAUCCAAGUACUCUAAGUCUUUUCUUAGAGUCUCUUCCAAAGUUUUCCUAGGUCUUCCUCUACCCCUUCGGCCCUGAACCUCUGUCCCGUAGUCACAUCUUCGAACCGGAGCGUCAGUCGGCCUUCAUCAAGCUAACAGCAAUAAAAUCUCAUAUAAUCUGUCAAAAACCAAAAAAGAGAGAGAGGUAAUUUCAAGACCUUGUAAUGCCGAGGCCUCGUACAAUUGUAGUAAUAAUAUAUGGUUGAUGCACCUGUUGCUCAAUCAAAUCCUUUGUCUGGCUAAAAAAAAUAAAAAUCUAUAAAUACAUUCAUGUCCAAUUUAUGAGAAAUCAUGGGAAAGCAAAUGCACUGAUAACGGAAUCAUGAAUAUGAAAAACUUGCCAAAAAGAAAAAGAAAACUUCUUAUAGUGUGCCAAGAACAUCCUCCUACUCCUAGCAAACUUUUUAUGGCAUUAUCCACUUCUCAAUUCAUAAUUCAACCACUAACUCAAAGUCUAUAGUGUAUGAAAAAGUGAUAUCUUAGUUGAUCACGAUGAUAAUUAAGCAGAUUAAAUGACAACCCAUAAAGCAUACAAAUUCAGAAAAGAAAAGGUUCAAAACUGCCAUAAGAAAACAUAGAAUAUAUAAACGGGAAAUCAAAAGAAGAGAGGCGAAAAAGGAAGAAAAAACCAAACAAAAUUAUUAGGUUUGGGAUAUACCUUUAUCUGAAACGCCACAAUCAUCAAAGUCAAACAUAAACAAUCCAAAAAGUUGUGGAAAAUAACAAUAAAUGCUCAACGAAAAACGAAAGAAACGUAGAAUAAGUUUACCUGUCCUCCCCCUAAUAAUACAAUUCACCACUUAUAUUCUCGUCAUCCUCUUCAGCCUGAAAAAUUUAGUAGAAAUAUUCAAUGAAGGCGCUUAAUGGAGACAGUAAUAUUAGCAAUGGAGGAAUUGAAUUGAUAACUAAAACUGCAAGACCAAUUGACUACGAUAGGUUCAAAACAGAAACUCAUCUGUUAGAUGUCUCAUCUUUAGGCAGUGCCUUGUUCUUUUCUUUUUUUUGUUCUUUUUUUUUUUUUGUUUUUGGUUGCACGUCUUGUGACGUUCAUGUAAAUGAACAAAAUUGAUACUUUUGACACAACCAACAAUGGAGAGGUAAAAAGUUAAAAACAGAAGGAAUGUCUUUUGUUAUGUAAUAGAUUUUGCAAGUCAGAAAUUCUGUUCGAGAAUUUGCAACCCAGAAAGUCCGCCAGCAAUUAUUAACAAUCACAGAUAAGCACCGAAUGAAGGCCAAUCUAAUAAGCCAAAAUAUGUAGGGCACUAAAGAAAUUAUUGCCCAGUAACAAAUGAUAGAUAAGCACAUGUGAAACUAAAGAAAUUUUUCCUUACUAUCAACUCCAAAAAAAUAACCUAUACAAUUCAAAAAAUGUUGAUACAUGCCUGAAAUUGGUAUUUGAACCACCAACUACCUCCGUGAAUAUGUUUGUUUGCUUAAUGGUUUGCGUUGAAGUUGUGAAAGGAAAUGCAAUUUCUUAAAAGAAGGAGAAUGCAGAGACAAAUACAGAAUGGUUCACGUGGCCACCCUCAAAACAAUAAUGUCGUAUACAUUAAGCCUGCCAAUUACUAAAAACAAAACAUUUUGCCAUGAGGAGAAGUAAGAACAUACCGAAACUUGUUUGCAAAUAGAUGAGAAAAAUUAUACCUCAAACAGAUGGGAAAUUUAUUAGGAAAGAUAGAUCAGCCCACAUGUGUGUAAUCUAUAUACAAAAAACCACUCUCUUCAUUAGCCAAAUCGUUUCAUAAAUCCAACAACACAUAAUUAUAUCUUGAACAAUGCCAAUUAAUGAUUUCCCAUUUACUUAAGCCGGACAACAAAGCCAAUGAACUGAUGAAAGAGCGAAAAAGAGAAACAAAAAACCUCAAUUAAGCAAUUAAAUGGAGUAUUACUUGAUAGAGCUGGAAAUUACCCAAUUCCUCAGAGAGAGGAUCAAGAGUGACUGAUGAGAGUGCAGAGAAACGAAUUAUUGAGAAAUUCAAGUUCUGAGCUCAAAGUUGGGGCCUCCACUUUCCAACUGGGGAAGAAAUAACAGAGAAAACACAGAGAGAGCCAAUCCACCAAAAAUAUUAAUCAAAUGGGUUUCUUCUAAUUCAAAAUUUGGACCACCCAAUUUCCGAUGAAGCAAUAACCAUUCAAAAUUCCAACAGAUUGAAGCCCUCACAGACUACAAAUUAUCAAUACCCAGCAAUAAAAAAUUUGAAAACAGUAAUAAUGAAGGAAAAAGAAAUUAAAGCUGCGAGCCAUUCUCUAAAUCUCAGGCACCAAUCCAAAUCACCAGUAAUUUGCACAUAAUGAUAAGAAUCUAGCGGUAUUUCCAUUGUUUAAAAACCCAAAUUCAAGAAAUCAUGAAAAAUGGAAACUUUAUUUGGAAAUUGAAGCUUUACCUGCAGAUCAGCAGCAGCAAACGGAAUCCAACGGCAUGUACCUCAAAAGUGAGAGAGAGAGAGAGAGUUGAGAGAUGAGUGAGAGAAUCGAUAAACAAAACCCCCCAAAAUCACAAAAGGAAAAUUGAACAGAAAACAAAUUUGCAAAUCCAAAAUCACAAAAACGAAAUUGAAACACCCACACUGAGAAAGCUGCAAUACUCACCAGGAAGCUAGCUUUUCUGGGUAAAAAAAUUGUUCGAAUCGAAUUGAAGAACCGAGGAAAAUUCUACUGGUUCAGUGGUUUUUCCAGCAAGAAAGCACCUUGUUUGUAAUUCGUGAGAGGUUGGACGGCGAGAGAGAAAAACGUAAAGGAAAGGAAAAGCGGAGAAGAAGUCACGAUUAUCGACGCGUGGGUUGCAUUCCACUGUGCCAAGUUCGAAAAUGAACGGGGAAUGGGGAGCUUGGCUGAGGGAGACAGAAUUCGAGAAGCAACGUUCUGAUUUUUUUUUUUAUAUGAGAGAGGGAAAGAGGAAUGAAGAGAAUCGACAAGAGGAGGAACCAUUUUAAGCGAUGAUGGACGCGUGGGAAUUGAGGGCAAAUUUGCCAUUUUGCUGUGAACCCAAAAGUCAAGACUUGGCUUGGUUUAUAUAAUUAAUCAAUAAUAUUUCAUAACAAGAGCUAGGUCCAUAUAUUAUACAAGGUUCUAAUAUAAUAGAUGUUGUGGCUAGGCGAGGCUUAUUGUCUAUGCGAAUUUAAGUAAAUUUACUCUAUAUUAAAUAAAUAAAUAUAUUUUUACACUUAAAAUGACACAUAAUUGUAUUGUGAUAUAUAAAUUAUAAAAUAAAAUGAUAUAUAUAUUAUAAAGUAUUGGAGACCCAAAUGUGAAAUGACAACUAUAAACAAUUAUUCAAGGUGGACGGUAAAUGAUUCAGCCAUUUACAAGAUUCAAAACGUAGGAUCACGAUCUACUGGAUGAUUGUAUUAACUAUUAGGCGGUGCUCUAAUAUAAUACAUCCAAAUGGGGGUGGACCACAUAAUACACCCAAUAGGUCGUUUUAAGCUACUCCACUGCUAAAACUAUUGCAAAAUGCGCAUUAGGAUUUAUACUUCUAUUAGCUACGCCUUUCCUUACUAGGCAAAUGAACCAUAUAGUACACCAAGAUGGAUGUUAUACACGUUGGAGUUUGAGCAGAAUUCUUUUUGUUAUCAUGUCUCACAUUGCUAGAAUUGAAAAGUUCAUAAUAUAAUAACAUUCACGUAUGAACUUGAGAAACAACAUACUACUGGUUGGCCUGGAAGGUGCAGUGAAGGAGAGGAAAGAAAGUAACAAACACGAAAGGAUAAGGACUAUCCAAUAGAUUAUAAACAAUGACUUCUUGGGGGUGAUUACAGCUAUUCAACCAUCAAUAAUGCAUUAUUUUAGUUUGGAAUUUGGAAGCAUUUGAGAAGUAACAUGACAACAACCACAUAAUAAACAAAGAUGAUUAGAAAAAAGACCCGAAUGUGAAAGAAUAAUUAAAAACAAUUAUUCAAGAUUAGUGAUAAAUGAUUCAACCAUUUACAAGAUAUGAACUUAGAACAACAAUCUAUUAGAUCGUUGUAUUAAUUAUUAAGUGGUGCUCUAAUAUAAUAGAUCCAAAUCGGAACGGACCACAUAAUACACCCAAAUGGAUCAUUUUUAGGCUCCACUGCUAAAAACUAAUGCACCAUGGGCAUUAGGAGUAGACUUUUAUAGCUAUCUUUCCUUACUAGUCAAAUGAACCAUACAAUACACCCAAAUGGAUGCCAUCAUGCCAUAUAUAAACAAUGUUUUGAAAGGACAAGGUAGCUAACGCUGUCUUUUUAUAUAUGUAAGCAACAACCCUAAAUGAAUCUUAUUGGAGCUAAUUAACUAAUGUAUUUAUUAGACAGUUGGAUUCCUUAGCAAGGGGUUAACUAUUUUUGUUUAGAUUAGUAGUCAGGUGGUAAUUAAUUAGUCAAAUGAACCAUAUAAUACACCCAAAUGGAUGUGCAUAUAUAAACAAUGUUUUCGAAGGAUGAAAUGACUUUCUUGCCGGUAUGGGGGAAGAGGAUUGCGCGAAAAUUUUCGCACUAAUCUAAAUAUUGUGUUUCAAGCUUUGAAAAACCAUUGAAGCUUUGAAAAGUUUGGUGAUUUUGUUAGGUUAUGUGUAUGAGUGACAUUAAUAAUUUUCAACUUCCCAAGCAAUUGUUACACAAAAUUAAAUUUAAAAUCCAAGAGGCCGUGGUUACAGCUAUUCAACUUUUGUAGAUUUUCCGGUUUUAUGAGAUUGGCAUUCUUUUUCAACACAACUUCUAUUGAGUUCAUAUAAACUAUUAUAUGAAGGAGAAAUGGUAAAAAGACUCCCUCAAAAUCCCAAAUGUGAUAGGAGAAAAGACACAAAUAUGAAACAAUUAAAAACAAUUAUUCAAGGUGGGUAGUAAAUGAUUCAGUCAUUUACAAGAUUCAAACAUGGGACCACGAUCUACUGGAUGACUGUAUUAACUAUUAGGCGGUGCUUUGAUAUAAUACAUCCAAAUGGGGGUGGACCACAUAAUACACCCCAAUGGUUCGCUAAAAACUAUUGCAAAAUGCGCGUUGGGCUUAUACUUCUAUUAGCUGCGCCUUUCCUUACUAGGCAAAUGAACCAUAUCCAAAAUGGAUGUUAUACACGUUAGAGUUUGACCAUAAUUUUUUUCGGUUAUCUCAUUGUCUCACAUUGCUAGAAUUGAAAAGUUUUAAUAACGUUUGUGUAUGAACUUGAGAGACGACAUACUAUCGGCCGGCGGGGAAGGUGCAGUGAAAGAGAGGAAAGGAAGAAAGAAGUCAACACGGAAUGACAAAGACUAACCAAUAGGUUAUAAGCAAUUACUUCUUGGGGUGAUUACAGCUAUUCAACUAUCAACAACGCAUUAUUUUAGUUUGGAAUUUGGAAGCAUUUGAGAAGUAACAUGGCAACAACCACAUACUAAACUAAAGUGAUUAGAAAAAAGACCCAAAAUGUGAAAGAAUAAUUAAAAACAAUUAUUUAAGAUAAGCGAUAAAUGAUUCAACUAUUUACAAGAUAUGAACUUAGAACAACAAUCUAUUUGAUCGUUGUAUUAACUAUUAAGUGGUGUUCUAAUAUAAUAGAUCCAAAUGGGGACCGACCAUAUAAUACACCCAAAUGGACCAUUUUUAGGCUCCACUGCUAAAAACUAAUGCAAAGUGGACAUUAGGAUUAAACUUGUAUUAGCUAUCUUUCCUUACUAGUCAAAUGAACCAUACAAUACACCCAAAUGGAUGGCAUCAUGCCAUAUAUAAACAAUGUUUUGAAGGGACAAGGUAGCUAACGCUGUCUUUUUAUAUAUGUAAGCAACAACCCUAAAUGAAUUUUACUGGAGCUAAUUAACUAAUGUAUUUAUUAGACAGUUGGAUUCCUUAGCAAGUGGUUAACUAGUUUUGUUUAGUUUAGUAGUCAGGUCGUAAUUAAUUAGUCAAAUGAACCUGCAUAUAACACACGCAAAUGGAUGCCAUAUAUGCAUACUAUUUUUGUUUAGUUUAGUAGUCAGGUCGUAAUUAAUUAGUCAAAUGAACCUGCAUAUAACACACCCAAAUGGAUGCCAUAUAUGCAUAUAUAAACAAUGUUUUCAAAGGAUGAAAUGACUUUCUUGCCGGUAUGGGGGGAAGAGGAAAGAAACUAGCACGAAACUGCAGACCCUAUCGAUCCAUUAUAAUAAAUUUCAAUGGUCCAAGUUGUAAGUUAAUUGUGUAACGUAAAAACUUAUUUACAGUUAUCAACUUAACCACGUACAUGUGGAAGACAUUAUCUCAGAAAACUAGAAAGUUCAAUUGCAACUCUACACAACUGAAAGCAAGGCUCGCUCAAUAGGGCUUGAGUUUUUUUGUAAACUUGCGUAUUUUUGUAAACGCAUCACAUAGUAGUUAAAACAUCCGGCCGUAAAUAAAGGGUUUGAGUGUCACAUCCUAGCUCGGGGCAGACCACUUCCCGGGCUCACUCCACUACCGUAGCAUGAUAUUGUCCGCUUUGGGCCCCGACCACGCCAUUACGGUUUUGUUUCUAGGAACUCACGAGCAACUUCCCAGUGGAUCACCCAUUAUGGGAGUGCUCUGGCCACCUUCUCGCUUAACUUCGGAGUUCCGAAGGAACCCGAAGCCAGUGAGCUCCCAAAAGGCCUCAUGCUAGAUAGGGAUGAGAAUAUACAUUUAAGGAUCACUCCCCUGGGCGAUGUGGGAUGUUACAAUCCACCCCCCUUAGGGGCCUGACGUCCUCGUCGGCACACUUCCGGCCAGGGAUUGGCUCUGAUACCAUUGUCACAUCCCGGCCCGGGGCAGAACACUUCCCGGGCCCGCUCCACCACCGUAGCACGAUAUUGUCCACUUUGGGCUUACCAUUCCCUCACGGUUUUGUUUUUGGGAACUCACGAGCAACUUCCCAGUGGGUCACCUAUCCUGGGAGUGCUCUGGCCCCCUUCUCGCUUAACUUCGGAGUUCCUACGGAACCCGAAGCCAGUGAACUCCCAAAAGGCCUCGUGAUAGGUAGGGAUGAGAAUAUACAUUUAAGUAUCACUCCUCUGAGCGAUGUGGGAUGUCACAAUCCAAUUGUAACAGUGUCAUGAUCAGACUUGUAAGACUGUCUUUAAUAAGAAGUUGUUGCGUUUUGUCAAAACUAGGUAUGGGCAACGGUUAUGGCGGGCGGGUAACCGCGGUUAAUUAUCCAUAACCGUUUAUUCUCAUACAUGCAUAACUGUUUACCCGUUGGGUAAUUGUCUAAACGGUUAUACCCAUACCCAUAACCGUUUAUAAACGGUUAACCAUAACCAUAACCGUGUACCCAUUUAACCGUAACCGUUUAGUACCCAUUUACCCAUUUAUCAUUUUUAAACCCGUUUAUCCUUUCUUUUUUACCAUUUACUCAUUUUUCACGCAUCUACGUGUUUUUUUAACAACUUGAAAAUUAAAAAAGAAAAAUUUGUCAUAAUUUUCUUUUUCUAACAAUUAAACACCGUUGUAGUAUUCAUCAUACAUUUCCGUAUUUUAAUUUUUAAGUCCUUAUACCAUUUCAAUAAUUGAAAUAAUAGUUUACAGACAAUAUUUUUAAUUGUUAGCAAUGAAGGUAAUAUAAAAUUUGCUAAGUAUUCUUUGGUUACGAAAACUGUUAAAAGACAGUAUUCUUGGGUUAUUUAACUCAGAAUGUAUAAUAUAUAUAAUGGACCAUGAAAUUUAAAGUGGUUAAGGAAAACUAUAUUAUAUUAGCUAUAGAAAUCAUGCACUAUAGUCAAUAGCAUUGAUCUAAGUUUUGUCCGAUAGUGAACAUGGUUUGUGUUAAUUUUACAUAUAUAAAAUAAAUGGGUAAAUGGUUACCCGUUUAUAACCACGGUUAAUACCCAUACCGCCCAUUUAAAUUUCACGAGUAAACGCCCAUAACUGUAACCGUGAAAUUUAAAUAGGCGGAUAACCGCAGUUACCCAUAACCAAUGAGUAUUUACCCAUCCCUAGUCAAAACCGGUCCAUCUAAUUACAAAUUGUAACCAUAUUAGUUGAGUGCAUAUGCUACAUCACAUUUAGUGAAUAUUCAGUACGGGUGACACAUGGUCAGACUUGUAGGUUGUUCAUUAAGAAGUUAGUUACCACGUUCUCAAGAGUGGAGCUAGAGGGGAGCACUUCCCUACCAAAGUGUUUUCCUUCUCCCCUUUGCAAGGGAUUUGUGUCACUAUUAGAUAGGAGAUUCAAACACAAGACCUUCAAUUGAGAGGUAAACGCUUUUACAAAGCUUCUACGAGCACCUUCUUGUUUACCAAACUUAUUGAGACUAAAGGAGGUCUUAACGCCAUUUUGGCUAAUACUAUUCUGUAUAUUUACGAAUGGUUUUAAGUUUGGGUUUAAUUGGAUAAUCAGAUAGUAGUGCAUCAAACUAUGGAUAUUCAGAAACCGAAAGCAUAAUUCAUAUUCCUCCAACAAGUCCACGCAAAUAACCACAAUCAGAAUGUUAGUUCAUAACUGGCCAUAUAGAACGCAGUACAAAAGCACUAAAAGCGUCCAAGUGAAAGUGCUUUCUCCUCAUGUAGUUUCAUUUAACUUAGUUUCACAUGCCACUCCGUCACACACUCAACUCCUCAACGUUCGGGCUCAAAGCAUUCUUUAUCCCUUCUGCACGAGAGACAAUAAGUUUAAAGUUCUUGUGAUGAAAUCAUGUAAAACAUUCAGAAAUCUUGAUUUAACCCUUUAUCAAGAUCAUAGGUUGUGUCAUCUCAACUUAUAUCUUAGGUCUUAUGAGUGCUCGUAAUACACUAAUAUGACACUUGUUUUCUGGCCAGGACAGAAACAAAAUCAUGCAGGAAAUUGUCAUGACAACUUCAGUGUAAAAUAAAGGUCGUACCCAGUGCACAAGGCUCCCGCUUUACGCAGGGUCUGGGAGAGGUGAAUGUCGGCUAACCUUACCCCCAUUUAUGGAGAGGCUGCUCCCAAACAACUUCAGUGUAAAAUGCGACCGGAAAAACACUAAACAAGAUUGCUAUGCUCUCUUAGUGUAAACCUUAACAACAAAGACUAUACCGUAUCUGUCACAGUGAUAUGCGACCAUAAGCCCAACUCCAAGAGCUUUGAAGGCUACAAAUCAAAAGUUACAUGCAGUGACGACAUAAUCAUGAAAAAAUACAAUCAUAAAUUAAAGGAAAACAUACCGACUUCUAGUUCUGGCAAUUCACUAUUGGGCCAUAUAUUUGAACCACAGUAUGAUGGAUACCUACAAUACAGAUCACAAAUAAAAUCUGAGCAGACACAAAGUAUUAUGUUCUGUUUACACAAAAUCUGUAAGUUCUCAAAUAGGAUAAAUAAAGAUAAACAUAUCCCAGCAUAAAGACGAUUUGUCCUGGCUAAUUCUAAGAAACCUUGUAUCAAAUGUAUGAUAGUUAUUCAUAACUAACACAAACAAUAGUUUUGCCGAACAUUUCUGGUCUGAGCCGUAUACUGUGUGACCUCAGACAAAACAGAUCCCACAUGGACCCAGAUUAUGAUUGAUGUCCCUAUAGACUUUUACCUUUGAAUUAGAGAUUCAUCUGUUGUAGGGCUUCCAAUAUUGGAUUUGCAUAAAACGAGCCUUUUAACGUAUCUGCAAAACCAGAACAGAAACGGAAAAUGAAUGAUCCUACGUUCUUAGAGUUUCCAAAGAAACAAAAUUUAAAACAAAGAACAUAAAGUGAUACCAGGCUUUCCAGAUUCCAGCUUCUCUUUUCCAUGACUCCAUCCAAAAUUGUACCUAAACAUGGAUGGCAGGUAAAAAGAAGAUAAGCAAUAAGACUUUGUAAAGAUUCCCAAGAAAAGCAAUAAAACUACGUAAAUAUUAGUUAAUAAUGCCAAGACCAUAGUCUGUGACAAAUCCAAGAGUUGAGAUGAGACUAUCUUUCAGGCAGGAAUUUUUGGAAUUUUUCUCUAUUGGGACUAAAAUGAAAGCAUAACAAUGGGACUAAAAUGACUUAGCUACUAUGAGGAUCUUCAAGUUCCUUCUUCACCUCUUCGGGCAGAUUGGCUAAUCUAAUAAACGAAAAGAAAACUCCCAUGAGCAGUGCUAUAACAAACUAUCUUCCUAAAUUCAUUAUGAAUUGCAGUUAAAACUUAAAAUGAACAUGAAAAUCCUACGUAGAAGGGAUAUACCUAGGUGACAAGCCUAGAAGAUUCUCACGCAAGGAAGAAUAUCCCGGAACCUACUGCCAUUAAGGUUGUUAUUAAUAUCAAUUCAUGUAUAUUUCCGCAUGUGUCAUAUUAUUAAGUUAGACAGUGAAAAAUAUAUAUCGGAUGUUAUGAGAAUAUGUGUGGCUGUCAAGCUUGACACGUGAAUAACAUGCUCUCUACUACUUUAUUACACUGUGAAGAUUUUAUCCAAAAUUAAUUGACGAUGAGCGAAUAAACUGAAAGAUUAUGCGCUACUUUGAUUAUGCAACGAGUGAAGAGGCAAUUUACGCCAACCUCCAGUCAAGAAUUUGGACUCACAAUCACUAGCCAAUAUGCUUUUUUCUCACAUUUCCCCUGACACGGCAAGUUCAUUGUUCAAUAUUCUGGUUCUGGUGUCCUAUGACCCUGACACGGCAAGUUCCACUUUUUGUUCAUUUUCUUGACGAAACCAUCACACUUACCCUUACGGCACGGCACGGUUCCGGGCAUAGAGCAUGGAUUGGGUUUCGUUGCAGUCCCGACACUACUUAGCACUGUAGAGAAGGAAAUACAAAGACAAGUUUGGAUUUCUUACAACGUAUUGAGUCUCUCGUCAUGGCUCUUGCUGUGUUGUUCUUAUUUCACAUCCUGUUUCUCGAGUUUGGUGUUUCCGGUUGCAAAUUUGGUUCGGCAGUGUAGUGCUCAAGAGAGGGGACUGUCUCACAUUGUUCCAAGCAGACACAGGCGGUUGACAACGAUUGCGAUAAUGUGUUUUUCUACUGGGAGAACAUACAGCAGUCAGCAGUCAUCUUUUCACAACCGUCUUCAGUAUUUGGAGGCACCUCAAGAAAUUAUCAAGGACAAACGAAUGUAGAAAAGAAGAAAUAUCGAAGUUAGUUGACAAAAGGGGCCGAAAAAUUGUGAGAUACAGAGAAGAAGAUUAGACGAAACUCGAUGCAAAUUUUAAGCUAGAUUAGUUAUUUUUCAUUAACGAGCGAUACAGAGAAGAAGAAACAGCUGCAUUUGGAGAAAGCUGCUUUAGUUGCCUAGUUUGUAACAUUAGCUUUCUGUAAUUCCGGGGAAGAAACAGGAGUAAAAAAAAAACACAAUCAGGCAGUACCAAAAAAGAAAAAUGUACAAUUAGGAACAAUCGCCACUUCUCAAACUUUGUAGUAGAUCCAGGUAUCUGAUGGACUCGGGGCUAAUGUACCUGCAUUAACAAGAAACAAAAAUCAGAUUUGUGGAAGGGAGUCACAUAGUGGUUAAAAUACUUGGCCGUGCAUGAAUGGUUUGAGAUACCAUCAUAGAGGCAUCCUCCAGGUGUGAGUUUCUCUCGUAUCUGAUCACUUAUUAUAAGAAUAUCAGUAGUGAAAGUGAAAUACCCGUGUCGGGAAAGGAAGUCAAUGAUGACAAAAGAGCAAUUUGGCUUGAAAUAUUGUGUCCUCCGUAUGAUGCUUGCAACAUGCAUCACCGAAUCCACUUGAAGCUCUCCACCUCUCCAUCUGUUAAAUGUUUCAUAAGCAGCAUUGUUAAAGUUCUCUCUAUUUGGGGGGAUAUUGCAGAUGGUUUUGAAUGAAGAAAGGCAAAAAUUCAUGCAGAAGGCAUAAUUUACAACUAGUUUUGUAAAAGCUAAGCUCUAAAGGUCUCACCUUGAUUCUUUGGCACAAAUAGCUAAAGUUUUGAGAUGGGACAAAAUGGGUCCCAAGACCCACAUACAGCGCAUCCGAUGGUGUUGAAAUCCUUUUCCCAGUAAGUCAAAGAUAAGCGCCAAGAAAGACAUGACAGUGUUAAACUUAAAACAAAUACAGAACUAAGAAUUGAUGCAUGAAUCAAACAGAGAAAUGGUACAGGCCAUUCUCUUUAUAUUCUUAUAAUCUAAACAUUUCUCCUUAUCAACACUGGAAAAACAGCUUGCUUCAGUCAUAGGAAAUAAAUUGCGCCUGGAGUAUAGAAAAGACAUACCUACAGAUCCUCCUCCUGGACUCUUUGCCGCUAUACGUGAAAACCCAACAUCUGGGAACAAACAAAUUACAUUCUCUGCCAUAGCAAGAACAGUCCUCUGAAAUGUAUCCAUACAAAGUUAAGACACAAAAAAUUCAAAAAGGCAAUGUAAUUCACAACAUUGACAAUCUCUGUCUGACAAGGCAAUAAUACCUCUGUAAUGAUCUGGUAGUGACCGUGACCUGAUAGGCCAACACCAAAGCCCAUUGUUAUGCCAUCCAUGAAGAUAGGGCUUCUUGUACUCAGAGAUUUUGCAUAUUAGAGAAUACUCAGCAGUGAAUACCUGAAAAACAUGCAGCACAAGUAUCAUACCGGUAGCCUCUCAAUCUUAAGAAAUGGUAGCUUAGAAAAGAUAUGAAUCCUAUCCAACCAAUACAAAUCAUAUUACCCAAGUUCAAGCAAAAUCACGACUAAACAAAUGAUCAGAUGUUGUAGGUUGCCCGAGAAUGUCAAACAUGAAAUUACAAAAGAAAAAAAAACAAUCGUAUGUAUUGAACAUUAAUAAAUACUUGCUGAAAGCACAAUCUUAGCUGCAAUUUAUGACAUUUAUACGAGAUUGAAUAGCCAAAGCAAUUAAAGAAGUAGCAGAACUCAUAUAAGUGAUUUUCACUUUGAACUUUUAGGCUUAUCAGCAAAUACAUCAUUACGAUUCUAACGCAUGAAUUUUGUUAAAAGGGGCUUGCUUGCUUGUAUUAAGGCUUAAUCAUCAAUGAUUUUGCAAGGGUCAAUCGUCUUGCUAGUUGUAAAUCCAUGCACUAUGAAAAUUACCAAAAUUACAUCUUAUAUGGUAGAGAAGGAAGUCAUCUUAUAUUAUCUGGAUUUUAGAAGACGGUGUAAGGUUAUAAGUCUGUUAUUCUAUAUAGUUUAAAGGACACAAUUAGACAACAAUCAUAUUCGGUGGUUGGUUUUUGGCCGUGAUCUGCUUCACAUCACCGCCCGCAGGUAAUCUAAAUCUGGGUUAUUACUUAUCAAUGAAUCAAAGUGCCAACUUAUCGGACACCAACUAUCUCUCUAUGGCAAAAAAAUAACACAAAAAGGAACAAUGAAGUGAAACAAUAAACAACAUGACAUGAAACAGCACAAACAUCAAAGACCAACAAUCUAUCACAUAAGCACCUAAACAAGAAACAACUUUAGUUCAAAGCAAAGCGUAAUGUAGAAACCUUCAGCACAAGAGGCGUGUUUUUGUCCUUUUGAAUUUCGGCAACAACAACUUUAAUAUCCUUACCUGCAUUUACCAUGAUUGGUCACUCUCAAAACCUUACCUAAGAGACCCAAAAACCAAAAUAACUGCUAAAAGAGCUGAACAUACAUAUCUAGAAAAACUUAUUCAACUACAUGCUAAAAUGGAAGUGUAAAAUUGCCAGGAAAGAUAAGAAACUAUUCAAAUACGAGUUCUGGGCGUUACCGCCACAAAAGGCACGAGCCGAGCGGCUAUCAACAAGAACACACUUCACAUUUGGGUCAGAUUCCCAUUCAUCCAGAUAGCUCUUGUAUUUCACAUCCAAAUCUGCAUUUUCCAACAAUUCCCACUUAAACAGAAACACAAAAUUCUUCCAAAAAGAGCUAACUUCUUUGAAAUUUGAAUCCAACGUUUCGUCUUAUAACAAAUGCAAUAACAUAGAUUUGUAAUCAAUACGAUGCCAUAAAGUUCAAGCUCAAAAAUUCAAAUCAUCUCCAAAUCAAAAGCAAUUACAGAUAUAUACAUAUAUACAUAUGCGUGUGUGUGUUUAUCUACAUACCUAGGUUUAUGGCGUUGAGAGCUCGGGGGGCGACCGAGGGUGAUGACGGCGACGCCAAAGGUGCGGAGAAGGCGAGGGGAUUUGGAGGGUUUUGUAAAGAGGGGAUUUGCUCAGAAUUUGGGUCGCUCGUCCCUCUUAUGAGAGUGAUUCAAAAAUCGAAAAAGUUGAAAUUUAUUGAUUGUGAUCUGACUCAAACAUGUGAUGAUGACGAUGCAUCACAACCUUGGUUGUGCCUCUGGAUCAAAAUCCUGUUCCAUCAAAUUCGUGCUCAUUUUCCUUCAUAGGUUUGUCCCAUACUAGAUUAACCCCUGUUCCCUUAAUUGUCACAUUACCAUAUUUACUGUAUGGCUCUGGCAUUUCAAAAGUUAUAUCAACUUUAUCCCCGCUUUGCAAAUUGAGCUUAUCAUUCGAUAUUUGUCCCUGCCAAAGAUAACAUUUUCCAGAUACAUUGCACAUUUUUAUAACCCAAUCUUCUUUGCCUAUGUAGGUCUGCAACUCAGUACGCUUGGUAUUAUUUAUAUCAAUAUUGGCACGAGGAUGACAUUCUCCACAACUGGCAUAAGGGCUUCUUGACUCAUUAGUAUUUGAGCAGUAAAAGCAUAAUAGAGUCAGUCCUUCCAAAUUACGACCAUCACUCGGGAGGAUAUCAAAACUGACUUUAUUACCAUCGUUGACAAACUCGAACCAAUCAGGAACAUAAUUCCCAUUGAGAAAAAUGCCAUCACUUGGGAGGAUAUCAAAACUGACUUUAUUACCAUCGUUGACAAACUCAAACCAAUCAGGAACAUCAGGAACAUAAUUCCCAUUGAGAAAAAUGCCAUCACUCGGGAGGAUAUCAAAACUGACUUUAUUACCAUCGUUGACAAACUUGAACCAAUCAGGAACAUAUUUCCCUUUGAAAAAAAUAUCCGCAAGAAGUCCAUCCCUACAUAUACAGUGCAAGUGUCAUAUUUAUAUAUAUACACACACACAAUGUACAUGUGCGUUGUGUGUGUGCAUGUGCGCAAUAGGAAGACAAUUAAAGAGAGAUACCUUUAGGACGUUACUCAUAAAACCAGCGGUGAGUUUGGGGCAGUACCUCAUAUUAAAAUGUCGUGGAGUUUAAUGACUUAUCCAAGUCUGGAACCUCAGUGAGUGCGCGUGAAUCACAUACAUGUAGCUCUCUCAUAUUCGACAUUUUCGAAAAAUUGGGCAUUGUUACCAAACGGGAGCAAUCAGACGCAUACAGAAAUUUCAAAUUUGUUGGUAAACCAUAGAUUGUAUGAAGGUUACGGCAGUAAUUUAACUGCAAACGUUCAAGCUUUGAAAAACCAAUGAGGCUGGGUAAGGUAUGAAAAUCAUUACAUGUGAGACACAAAUCUUGCAAAGAAAUUAGACUCCCAAAAUCUUUUGGGAAUGCAUCAUCGCUUAAGCGCUGGAAUGAGAGAUCUAAAUUUCUUAAAGAGUCUAAGCCGUGUAACGAAUUGGGAAAUUGUGUGACAUGCCCCCUUAAAAUGAAAUCAGUGGUAAACCAUGAUUUCCGUAGAAAUAAAUGAGUGAGAUUCUUCAAUCUUACUGUGGAACGCGGUACUUGUCUUAUGGCUGUUUCAGACGCUUUAAGUACUCUCAAUGAUAUCAUCUUCCCUAAAUCCUCGGGCAGUUCAUUGAAUCGCCUACAAAAAUCAAGAACAAGAGUCUGAACGGAUUUGGACUUGUAGAAAUCCCCAGGAAGAGAAAUAAGAUUAUGGCAGCAUGUGAGGUUCACCAAAGAAAGUUUUUUAAGCUGACCAAUGGAGGGGUGAAUCUCGAACAAACUCUCACACCUUCCCAAUAUCAACUCUUCAAGACUUGGGAGAUUUGAUAAGUCUGGUGAUUUUUUUAAGUCACAGCAAUUACUGAGAUUAAGGAUUUUCAAGUUUUCAAGCGACUGUUGCACAAAAUCCAAAAGGUCAUACCCAGUGCACAAGGCUCCCGCUUUACGCAGGGUCUGGGAGAGGUGAAUGUCGGCUAGCCUUACCCCCAUUUAUGGAGAGGCUGCUCCCAAGUCUCGAACCCGAGACCUACCGCUUAUGGGCGAAGGCAUUUGUCAUCGCACCAAGUGCGACCUCUUUGGGGAAAUCCAAGAAAAAUUAAAAUUAAUAUCCAAAAGGAAUAUCUCAUAAAAUAAAUAAAUAAAUAAAUAAAUAAAGAGAGAAGGAAAUCCAAAAACAAAUAGAAACUUAACAUCAUCAUGUGUAAUCGAUUGUACCUUGGAGCCCUCCCAAACUUGUACCAGUUUGCUAUGCUUUAUCUCUAAAAUAACUAGUGUUCUUGGUUGAUCAAAGAAGUCAUCUGGUAUGGACUCUAAAAGGUAUCCUUCCCAACGCAACCAUACUAACUCUUUGGGGAGAUGUUUGUAUUCUCCAUUGAGCUGCACGUUCUGGAGCAUGAGCAGUCUCAGUUUCUUCAUAUUAGCAAAUGCUUCUGUACUGAUACAACUAGACUUUAAAGGGAAUUCUCCACGGAGCUGCACGCGGUGGAUCAGUCCCAGUUCCCUCGAAUUGGUAGGGAAACUUACAACAAGUCCUUCAACUUCUUUAGUUCCCUGUUAACAACACAUUAUACUGGGUAAGAAAAGGAUUAUGUGCAUCUAUUUUACGUGAUUUUGCUAAUUGAGCUUCUUAAUGCAAAUACAUAUAUUUACACAUGAAUUUUUUAAUGUAUAAUAGGCAUACGUGGGUUACAUAUAUGCUUUUCUUGUACGAUGCAUUAAUACAAAUUUUUUUUGGGAAUCUACUUACAGAUUUAUUUGUUAGUACAUCAUAGACAUCUCCAGGGAUCCACAACCUGCUCCAUUCUCCAGGGGGACGAGUGGAUUUUUCAGAAAUGAUUAAUUUGGCCAUUUCUCGAAGCAAAUCAUGCAUAUUCAACUUCUUGUCUUCAACAGUUAUAAGGCAUCGUUCACGGAGGUUACUGAUUCCUAUUGUUGCAAAAAACUUACAUUCAUCUAAUAUUUUUGCGACAUCGUCCUUAUCCCAUCCAAUAAAGAAACAAGAUAUGUCAAGGAAUAUAUCCUUCUGCGUAGGAUCUAGCCUUUCAAAGCUUACUUUUAGCGGUUUCAUUAUUCCUUCAUCAUGAAAUUUUUUCAAUUUCUUCAAUUGACUUUUCCACUCUGCUGGGGUUCUUUCAGUCAUAGAAGAACCUAAAACUUCAAGGGCUAGUGGCAAACCACCACAGUAAGAAACCACCUCUUUUGAGAGUUCAAGAUAUCCUUCAUUAGGCCAACUAUUUCCAAAGGCAUGCCAACUAAAGAGCAUCAGGGCUUCUUCUUCAUUCAUUUCUUGAAGCGGAUAUGUCUUGUCCACUUUCAUGUUCACUUGCUUUAGUAAACGUUCAUCUCGUGUCGUUAUGAUAAUUCUACUUCCUGGGCCAAACCAAUCACGAUUUCCAGCCAUUGCAUUUAGUUGUUCCACUUUGUCUACAUUGUCAACAAUGACAAAUACGCUUCUACGUCGGAGAUGAUUUUUUAUCAGACUGAUACCUCCAUCAACACUGGUUAUCUUAUUAGACUCGGUCUGUUUCAAGAUGUCAGAAACAAGUUUUCUUUGCAAAUCAACCAGAUCAUAUUCGCUAACGUUGGCAAGGAAACUUUUGAACUGGAACUUAUGAUGAAUUUGGUUAUAAAUGGCUUUGGCAGCUGUUGUUUUACCCAAUCCACCCAUCCCCCAAAUUCCAACCAUGCGUACAUCUGAUCCACCAUUUGAAAGAUAAGUGAUGAUAUCUUGAAUGCGGGUAUAUAUUCCAACUGGGUGCUUGGCCACAUGUAAUUUUUCUGCGCUCGGAAGCCAUUCCGGGAUAAUCUUGUCAACAAUUUCUCUAAUAAGCUUUGCUUCGCGCCUGAAAAUUGAAUUCGUAAGCGUUAGUGGGACUCAAUGAACAGUAGGAGCUAUCAGUACAUAGACAAUUGUCUUUACUUCAUAAAAGAAAGAAAUUCAUUCACUAAAAUGUUUCAAAACUUGAAAAGCAGGUGAAUGAUUACCCAUUGUUAGUGAUUUGAAGAUGUUGGCCAAACAAAUUUGCAGCUUCUGUAAGAGCCUUUCUCCAUUGCUUUACCCUUUCUUGUUUAGCUUCACGUUCCUUGUCAUCUUUUUCUUCAUGGAUGCCCUCUUCGUGCUUCUGAAAUGCUUGAGCUAAAUCUCCGUUCUGCUUCCUAAUGUGAAGGAUCAACAUGAUAGAAUAUUGGCAAAACACGUCGCCCCAGUUUGUAUCUGCACUCCAUGAUCUUCACCAGCUCGUCAAGACACCAACUCGAGUCCGCAUAACUCUUUGAGAAGACAAUGAUAGAGAUCCUCGCCUCUUUGAUUGCCCGGACCAGUUCCUCUUUUAUUUCUUCCCCUCUUUCUAGAUCGUCCUCAUCGAUAUAAGCCUGGUAUCCCCUGUCAGUUAAUGCCGCAUGGAGGUGGCCCGUGAAACCAUUGCGUGUGUCUACACCGCUGAAUCUCAAGAACAUGUCGUAAUUCCAAAGUUUUGACUUGGAGGACGAUGAAGAGGAGGCUUCGUGGGUCGUCAUGGCGGUAUCCACCGUUAUGGCACUGCAGUGGUUCAGAUCACGACUGAAAAAUGGCAGUAGUUGUGCUCAUGCUGUCGAACGAAUGAUCCUGAAAUACCUAAAACCCAAGUCAAGCUCCUUCAGUCAACAAGAAUAAAGUUUUAAUAUAAUAAUGUUGGUGUAUGGACUUGAGAAACGACAUAAUGUUGGCCGGAAAGUGCAGAGAAAGAGAGAGGAAAAGAGGAACAAAAGGAGAAAGACUAUCCAAAUGAUUCUUGGCUGUGAUUACAGCUAUUCAUAGGAGAAACAACGUACAUAUUUUCAUAGGAGAAACAACUUGCCCAUCUUCAUAUAUAAUACAUUUCAACAGACAUAUUUUAAUAGGAGAAACUAGGGGUGGGCAAACGGGUCCAGGAACCGCAGGUCGGGGCGGGUAAUGGCGGUUCAGGGCGGGUACAGGCCGGGUCUUAUUUUUUUAAAGAAGAAACGGGGUGGGGGCGGGGAGGUGGUAUUUAUGGGGCGGGUCGAGUUCAAAUUUGUACAAGCAUGGGGCCCCGGGCCGACCCGUUCCUAAAAUGGACUGAUUGGAACCUGGACAAUAUGUUGUGGGCUUACUACACAAGGCAAUGGCCCAUGUGGGCUUACUGCUCGAAUACUCUAGAAACUAUGAUCCGACUCCUAUCUCUCCUGGAUCGAUCCCCAAAUCCCACUACUCUCUCUCCUCGUCGGCAUCACCGAACACAGAACCACCGAUUCACCACCAUCGUCACCCAUCACCGCCGUGGCGACCAUCACCAUCGCAGACGCUAUUAACCGUUAGUUUCACCCUAGGUCUCCCCUAUGUCUAUCACUCAAGUCCUCGAUCGUUUCUCUCCCGCGUGCGUCAUUCCCUCCACGGUUCUUCCACUACACUCUGUCACUCUCCGUCACUCUCCGUCAGUCACCUCCUCCACCACCCCGACAUCAACCCCGUCGCGAGUCUGGGCCCUGGCGACCACCACGACGAGCCAGCAACCUCGAUUGUCUUCCUCGAGUCCUCGAUGGCAUCCCAGAUUUAGAGAACUUUAGGGUUCUCUUUCUCCCUCCCACCCCUCGAAUCGACUGCGUCGACAUCAAAUCAGCCACCACACGAGUCACGAGGCUUCAAAUUCGGCUGGUGACUGCCCAAUCUGGUGCGACUCAACCGAUUCCGAGCGCUCUUGACUCUGUCGACGAAGAAGAAGAAGAGAAGAAAAAAAAAAAUAACCCGUGGACCCGGGCCGGGUUAGGUCAGGUUUCUGUGUUAAAAUUAGUUGUACCCGCCCCUGCCCGACCUGUUUCUUUUAAACCUGGGUCCGGCCGGUCCCUUCAAAAUUGGGCCCGGCCCUGGGCCCGGCCCGGCCCAUGCCCAGCCCUAGGAGAAACAACUUUAGUUUUUACUAGAAAUUUUUACCCACACGUUGCUACAGGAUUUGAAAUUGUAUAAAAGAUUAUCUUUGAAAUAUAUAAUAGAUUGUGUGAUUGAAGAUUAAUACUAUUUACACUGAAAACGUUGGGAAAAGUUUUACAUACAAAAGAUUUUACAAUACAAUCCACAUACAAAAGAUGGUAAAUUUUUUUCUAUCUACAUGCAUUAUGUUAUGGAAUGAUAUAUAUAUAACUAAGUUCCAGAAUACGUAAAUUUCAUAAUUUCGAAUUUUUUUGACAAAUUAAUCAGAUUCAACUGUGGGAUAGAAAGGUCGCCUAUAAAGUUGUGAAGUCGUGGAAGCAUAAAGGACAAAUAACAAAUGAGUUUUGAGAAAUUAUUCCACAAAAGUCAUUUUGCAAAAUGCAAAUGUAUUAAAGACGAUUGGUACAAGAUUAGUAAUCAUAAGUAGUGUAACAACAUCAACAAAAUAACUAUAAACCAUAGUUGAACAUAAUUCAAAUUUCGUUUGCAAAAACAAAAGAAAAAGAAAGAAAACAUACUUACAAUAAUUCAGCCUUUAAUCCUAAAGUCCUACUCAAAGAUCCAAACUUGAAUGCAAGCUUUCUGAAAUCUUCCAAACAAUACAGAUAAAAAGGUAACACCCUAGUCAGAAAUGAACCAAGGUGCGAGCUUUCUUAGAAACUCAGAUGAAAAAAUCAACAAAAUAGAAUGAAAAAAUGACUUACACUUUUAAGGCAUGCUCGAAUCGUGAUCUAAAAUUGGUGGUGGGUCGAUUGUUGGUCACCAACUCUAAAUGAAGAAUUCAUCAGAACCUAGAAAUUUAACAAAGAAUUUUCCAAAAUCAACAUUUACUAAAAACCAGUUACUUGGUUAUCAUGCAUGAUGGCUUGCCAAAGACUAAAUUAAGGAAUGCACAACUUUACCUUUAUGAUAUUUUCAAUGACAGCUAAAAGGUCAGAUUCAAAUGAAAAUAAAAGUUAGGACUUCACAAAACCAAUUAAAAAUCUAAUUCCAAAGUUACAAACACCAACCAAAUGAUUCCAGAUAAAGUUUUAAACUCAAAGUCAGACCCAAAUGAAAUUAAAAGUUAGGACUUCACAAAACCAAUUGAAAAUCUGAUUCCAAAGUUCCAAACACCCACCAAAUGAUUCUGGAUAAAGUUUAAACUCAAAAACCCAACAGAAACAAAAACCCAAAGUUCCAAACACCCACCAAUUGGUGUGACUUAAUUGUAUCUAAUUGAAGAAACUAAAACAAAAAUAAAGCAAAGUAUAUACCUCAAAAUAUCAACCAACUAAGUUCUUCCUCCGACAACCCAAAACUCUGAAAAUUCCACACAAAAAGGGUAAAUCCGUAAGCAAUUCAUAGCUUUCAAAAUUAACAAAAACUUGGGCAACAAUAAAGACACGUUGAGAACCAUCACUCUUUCUCCUUGUGUAUUUGAAAAUAUAUUUUAUAAGCAGUUUAUGUAGUCAUUCUGAUCAUGUUGCAGUUAAAUUCCUUUUCCACAGAGUUCAAAAUUAUAUGGCAGUUUAUGGCAUCUGUUGAACAACAUGGUUGAAAGAUUUAAAAUUGAUACAUUCAAUUUUUAUGUGUAAAACUAUAACAUAUACCUAAAGCUAUUUGGUCUAUAUAUCCAUAUCAAUCAUGUUGUAAUUAAAUGUUUAUCGAUGUAAAUAGAUGAUUUCAGUCAUGUGAUAACAUGUUUCUUGUUAGUAUACGCUGAAGUUUGGUCUAAGUUGGAUAAAAAUCGACCAAAAUCUUAGUAAGAGACUCUUUUAACUUUUAACCAAAAAAUGAGCACCACAAUACUACACUCAUAAGUUUUAUCAUGCACAAAAUAUACAACACUGAUAGCCACUUUUAGAGCAAGAACAAUACUUUACCAGACGAAAACAACAAAACACUCAAAACCCAGAAACAGAAACACACUUAGGACUCAAACUCCUCAAAAACAUAAGAAAGAGAGUGCAUGAGGAGAGAGAAUAAAAAAAAAUAUUAUUUUUCACAAACUCAAAAUUGCUUAUAAAAUUACAAAUCAAAACAAAUGAAUGCAAAUCCAAAAUUGCCCUAAAUUAAAUCUGUUUAGUUAAAUGUUUGUUGCCCUUCAAAUGUCAUUACACCUGACAAUUGCUUUGAAGUUGAUAUUUUGGUCAAUCCAGGGGAAAAGGAGUUAUUUCUUUUGGAGCAGUUGUCAUGGAGAAUCCCAUCUCCAUGUUGAAUGAUCUAAAAAAUUACUUACAUCUUCUGGUGGCCACAAUAAUUUAGGAGGCCCUUCUCUCCAGAUUUUCUCAAUAACUUUGCUUUUCGUAGCUGGUAAGAUUGCAACUCCAAGAAUUGCUCUGAAGAGAUAUAUACAAACAAAAUCAACCUAAAACUAAGCUAUUGGAACAAAUUUGGAAAACACAAACACCACUACAACUCAGAGUUAAAGUCAAUAGAAACCAAAUGGGAGAAGUUGAAAAAAUAUAUGGUCAUGAAUCGAGAACUUCAUCAAACUAACAGCAAUAAAAUCUCAUAUAAUCUGUCUAAAACCAAAAGAGAGAGAGAGGUAAUUUCAAGACCUUGUAACGCUAAGGCCUCGUACAGUUGUAGUAAUAAUAUAUGGUUGAUGCACCUGUUGCUCAAUCAAAUCCUUUGUCUGGCUAAAAAAAUAAAAAUCUAUAAAUACAUUCACGUCCAAUUUAUGAGAAAUCAUGGGAAAGCAAAUGCACUGAUAACGGAAUCAUGAAUAUGAAGAACUUGCCAAAAAGAAAAAGAAAACUUCUUAUAGUGUGCCAAGAACAUCCUCCUACUCCUAGCAAAUUUUUUAUGGCAUUAUCCACUUCUCAAUUCAUAAUUCAACCAGUAACUCAAAGUCUAUAGUGUAUGAAAAAGUGAUAUCUUAGUUGAUCACGAUGAUAAUUAAGCAGAUUAAAUGACGACCCAUAAAGCAUACAAAUUCAGAAAAGAAAAGGUUCAAAACUGCCAUAAGAAAACACAGAAUAUAUAAACGGGAAAUCAAAAGAAGAGAAGCGAAAAGGAAGAAAAAACCAAACAAAAUUAUUAGGUUUGUGAUAUACCUUUAUCCGAAACGCCACAAUCAUCAAAGUCAAACAUAAACAAUCCAAAAAUUUGUGGAAAAUAACAAUAAAUGCUUAACUAAAAACGAAAGAAAACGUAGAAUAAGUUUACAUGUUCUCCCCCUAAUUAAACUGGAAUACAAUUCACCACUAAUAUUCUCGUCAUCCUCUUCAGCCUGAAAAAUUUAGUAGAAAUAUUCAAUGAAGACGCUUAAUGGAGACAGUAAUAUUAGCAAUGGAGGAAUUGAAUUGAUAACUAAAACUGCAAGACCAAAUGACUACAAUAGGUUCACAACAGAAACUCGUCUGUUAGAUGUCUCAUCUUUAGGCAGUGCCUUGUUCUUUUUUUUUCUUUUUUGUCCUUUUGAAUUUCGGCAACAACAACUUUAAUAUCCUUACCUGCAUUUACCAUGAUUGGUCACUCUCAAAACCUUACCUAAGAGACCCAAAAACCAAAAUAACUGCCAAAAGAGCUGAACAUACAUAUCUAGAAAAACUUAUUCAACUACAUGCUAAAAUGGAAGUGUAAAAUUGCCAGGAAAGAUAAGAAACUAUUCAAAUACGAGUUCUGGGCGUUACUGCCACAAAAGGCACGAGCCGAGCGGCUAUCAACAAGAACACACUUCACAUUUGGGUCAGAUUCCCAUUCAUCCAGAUAGCUCUUGUAUUUCACAUCCAAAUCUGCAUUUUCCAACAAUUCCCACUUAAACAGAAACACAAAAUUCUUCCAAAAAGAGCUAACUUCUUCGAAAUUUGAAUCUAACGUUUCGUCUUAUAACAAAUGCAAUAACAUAGACUUGUAAUCAAUACGAUGCCAUAAAGUUCAAGCUCAAAAAUUCAAAUCAUCUCCAAAUCAAAAGCAAUUACAGAUAUACACAUGUAUACAUAUGCGUUUGUGUGUUUAUCUACAUACCUAGGUUUAUGGCGUUGAGAGCUCGGGGGGCGACCGAGGGUGAUGACGGCGACGCCAAAGGUGCGGAGAAGGCGAGGGGAUUUGCUCAGAAUUUGGGUCGCUCGUCCCUCUUAUGAGAGUGACUCAAAAAUCGAAAAAGUUGAAAUUUAUUGAUUGUGAUCUGACUCAAACAUGUGAUGAUGACGAUGCAUCACCACCUUGGUUGUGCCUCUGGAUCAAAAACCCACCAUCACCAUCAAAAUCGUGCUCAUUUUCCUUCAUAGGUUUGUCCCAUACUAGAUUAACCCCUGUUCCCUUAAUUGUCACAUUAUCUAAUGUAACGUAUGGCUCUGGCAUUUCAAAAGUUAUAUCAACUGUAUCCCCGCUUUGCAAAUUGAGCUUAUCGUUCGAUAUUUGUCCCUGCCAAAGAAAACAUUCUUUAUAUACAACAUCGCGCAUGAGGUUUUUUCUUUUUUUGGCGUAACAAUCGCGCAUUUUUAUAACCCAAUCUUCCUUGCUUAUGCAGGUCCGCAACUCAGUACGCUUGGUAUUAUUUAUAUCAAUCCUGGCAAGAGGAUGACUAUCUUUACAUCUGAUAUAAGGGCCGAACUGAGAAGGACUUGAGCAAUAAAAGCAUAACAGAGUCAGCCCUUCAAAAUUACAACCAUCACUCGGGGGGAUAUCAAAAGUGAUUUUAUUACCAUCGUUGACAAACUCGAACCAAUCAGGAACAUAAUUCCCAUUGAGAAAAAUGCCACCAUAUCCGCAAGAAGUCCAUCCCUAUAUACACAGUGCAAGUGUCAUAUAUAUAUACAUGUACAUGUGCGUUGUGUGUGUGCAUGUGCCCAAUAGGAAGACAAUUAAAGAGAGAGAUACCUUUAGGACUUUCCUCAUAAAAUCAGCGGUGAGUUCGGCGCAAUACGUCAUAUCAAUCCAUGUCAUGGAGUUUAAUGACUUAUCCAAGUCUGGAACCUCAGUGAGUGCAUGUGAAUCACGUACAUUUAGCUCUCUUAUAUUCGACAUUUUCGAAAAAUUUGGCAUUGUUAUCAAACGAUAGCAACGAGACGCAUCCAGAAAUUUCAAAUUUGUUGGUAAACCAUAGAUUGUAUGAAGGUUAUGGCAGUAACCUAACCACAAAUUUUCAAGCUUUGAAAGACCACUGAGGCUGGGUAGGGUAUGAAAAUCAUUAGAUGAGAGAUCUAAAUUUCUUAAAAAGUCUAAGCUGAGUAACGAAUCGGGAAAUUGCAAAUGAGUGAGAUUCGUCAAUCCUAGAGAUAAAUGAGUGAGAUUCUUCAAUCUUACUGUGGAACGCGGUACUUGUCUUAUGGCUGUCUCAUAUGCUUUAAGUACUCUCAAUGAUAUCAUAUUCCCUAAAUCCUCGGACAGUUCACUGAAUUGCCCACAAAAAAUCAAGAACAAGAGUCUGAACGGAUUUGGACCUGUAGAAAUCCCCAGGAAGAGAAAUAAGAUUCUUGCAGCCUGUGAGGUUCACCAAAGAAAGUUUUUUAAGAUGACCAAUGGAGGGGUGAAUCUCGGACAAACUCUCACACCAUUCCAAUAUCAACUCUUCAAGACUUGGGAGAUUUGAUAAGUCUGGUGAUUUUUCUAAGUCAGAGCAACCACUGAAAUCAAGGAUUUUCAAGUUUUUAAGCGACUGUUGCACAAAAUCCAAGAAAAAUUAAAAUUAAUAUCCAAAAGGAAUAUCUCAUAAAAUAAAUAAAUAAAGAGAGAAGGAAAUCCAAAAACAAAUAGAAACUUAACAUCAUCAUGUGUAAUCGAUUGUACCUUCGAGCCCUCCCAAACUUGUACCAGUUUGCUAUACUUUAUCUCUAAAAUAACUAGUCUUGGUUGAUCAAAGAAGUCAUCUGGUAUGGACUUUAAAGGGCAUUCAUUCCAACACAACCAUAUUAACUCUUUGGGGAGAUGUUUGUAUUCUCCAUUGAGUUGCACGUUGUAGAGCUGGAGCAGUCUCAGUUUCUUCAUAUUGGCAAAUGCUUCUGUACUGAUACUUGGAGACAGAAGAUCAGGGAAACCUACAACAAGUCCUUCAACUUCUUUAGUUCCCUGUUAACAACACAUUAUACUGGGUAAGAAAAGGAUUAUGUGCAUCUAUUUUACGUGAUUUUGCUAAUUGAGCUUCUUAAUGCGAAUACAUAUAUUUACACAUAAAGGUCGUACCCAGUGCACAAGGCUCCCGCUUUACGCAGGGUCUGGGAGAGGUGAAUGUCGGCUAGCCUUACCCCCAUUUAUGGAGAGGCUGCUCCCAAGUCUCGAACCCGAGACCUACCGCUCAUGGGCGAAGGCACUUGCCAUCGCACCAAGUGCGACCUCUGAAUACAUAUAUUUACACAUAAAUGUUUUUAAUGUAUGACAGCUAUACGUGGGUUACAUAUUUGCUUUUCUUGUACGAUGCAUUAAUACAAAAUUUUAUAGGGAAUGUACUUACAGAUUUAUCUCUCAAUACAUCAGUGACCUCCUGCUGGUUCCACAACCUACUCCAUUCUCCAGGGUGACGAGGGGAUUUUUCAGAAAUGAUUAAUUUGGCCAUUUCUCGAAGCAAAUCAUGUAUAUUCAACUUGUUGUCUUCAACAGUUAUAAGGCAUCAUUCACGAAGGACACUCAUUCCUAUUGUCGCAAAAAAGUCACAUCCAUCUAAUAUUUUUGUGACAUAGUCAUUAUCCCAUCCAAUGAAGAAACAAGAUAUGUCAAGGAAUAUAGCCUUCUGUUUAUCAUCUAGCCCUUCAAAGCUUAUUCUUAGUCGUUGUAUUAUUUCUCCUUCAGGAGUUGUUUUCAAUUUUACCAAUUGAUUUUCCCACUCUGCUAUGGUUCUUCCAAUUAAAAAAGUGCCUAAAACUUCAAGUGCUAGUGGCAAACCUCCACAGUAAGAAACGAUCUUCCUUGAGAGUUCAAGAUAUCCUUCAUUAGGCCAACAAUUUCUAAAGGCAUGCCAACUAAAGAGCUCCAGAGCUUCUUCUUCAUUCAUUUUAUGAAGCGGAUAUAUCUUGUCCACUCCAACUUGGCGUAGUAAAUGUUCAUCUCGUGUCGUUAUGAUAAUUCUACUUCCUAAGCCAAACCAAUCACAAUUUCCAGCUAUUGCAUUUAGUUGUUUCAUUUUGUCUACAUUGUCAAUAAUGACAAGUACGCUUCUACGUUGGAGAUGAUAUUUUAUCAGGCCGAUACCUUCAUCAACACUGGUUAUCUCAGGCUUGGUCUGUUUCAAGAUGUCAGAAACAAGUUUUUUUUGCGAAACAACCAGAUCUUUUUCACUAACGUUGUCAAGGAAACUUUUGAAUUGGAACUCAUGAUGAAUUUUGUUAUAAAUGGCUUUGGCAGCUGUUGUUUUACCCAAUCCACCCAUCCCCCCAAAUUCCAACCAUGCGAACAUCAUCUGAUCCACCACUUGAAAGAUAACUGAUAAUAUCUUGAACGCGAGAAUUGAUUCCAACCAGGUGAUUGGCCACAUGUAAUUUGUUUGCUCUCCGAAGCCAUUCCGGAAUAAUCUUGUCAACAAUUUCUCUAAUACGCUGUGCUUCGCAACUGAAAAUUGAAUUGGCAAGCUUAGUAAGCUCAGUAGGAGCUAUUAGUACACAAACAAUUUUCUUUCCUUCGUGUGUGUGUGUGUGUGUGUGUGUGUGUGUGUGUGUAUACACACUAACUAGCUACUAGCUAGUAUGUGAGUUUGUGAUCAACUUCAAUAAAAGAAACAAAUUCAUUCACUGAUAUAUUAAAGUUUGGUGUAUCAAUUAAACUCAUUAUGGUUUAGAUUUUAGAAGAAAUUGGAGAAAUGGUCCAUGAACUAUGAUCGAAUUGUAGCUUUGGUUCUUAAACUAAAAAUUCAUUAAAUCUCGUCCCUGAACUUAACAAAAUAUGGAACAUUGGUCCCUCCAUGUUAACACCGUAAGAUUUUCUGUUAAUUUGAUAACGUCGUCUUUGUGGGCUCCAUAUUUUUGUUUAUUAGAUGCCACGUUGCUUGAAAAUUCAAAUAAAAGAAAAUAAAUACAAGCAUUGAGAAACAAAGAGAAAAAAAAAUACUUUAAAUUAUAAAAGUUAACUCUCUCCCAUCCUCCCUUCCGCCUCACCUUCUCCAAACCCCAGCCACACCAUUGUAGCACUUUCCCAACAGCCAAAACAAAAGAAAAGUUCCUCAUCCAAAUUUGGAACACACCUCACCUUGCAAACGACUUCACAAUGACAUUCAUCUACGCUGUCUCGAAAGGUAAGAUUCAAGAAAUUUGUGGGAUGCGGGUUCGGGGUUCGGGUGAAGGCUGUGGUCCGUGGGCUAAAGGUUGGGGUCGGCUGGGGAGUGGGGAUUAGGGAUUGGGGGUUGGAAGUGGGAGGUUGACGGGGUGGGAAUCAACGAUUGAAGGUGAAGGGGUGGGCUGCGAGCCUGCGAGUGUUGGUGGGAUGAGGUAGGCCUGCAAUUAUAUAUAUAUAUGUAUGUAUGUAUGUAUGUAUGUAUGUAUGUAUAUAUAUAUGUAUGUAUGUAUAUAUGUAUAUAUAUGUAUGUAUAUAUAAUAUAGGUGAAACUAACAUGUAAAGUUGUAAACACUUUUAACUAAAACUGAAAGGAAUUGGUUACGAAGGACUAACGCUCCAUAUUUUAUCAAGUUCAAGGACAAAAUAUAAUGAAAUUUUAGUUUAGGAACCAAAGCUACAAUUUUCCUCUAGAUUUGAUAUGAGAUUUAAGGCGUAUUAAUUAAGCAUGUUAAUUAGAGUAAUGCAACUUAGAUAUUGAAAAGCACGUGAAUGAUUACCUAUUAUCAGUGAUUUGAAGAUGGUAGCCAGACAAAUUUGCAGCUUCUCUAAGAGCAUUUCUCCACUGCUUUACCCUUUCUUGUUUUUCUUCACGUUUCUUGUCAUCUUUUUCUUUACGAAUGUUCUUUUUGUGUUUCUUAAAUGCUUGGGCUAAAACUCCAUUCUGGUUCCUGACAUGUGAAGGAUCAACGUGAUAGAAUAUUGGCAAAACAUGGCGCUCCAGUUUGUCUCUGCACUCGAUGAUCUUCAUCAGCUCAUUAAGACACCAACUCGAACUCGCAUACCUCUUUGAGAAGACAAUGAUAGAGAUCUUCGAUUCUUCGAUUGCCUGGAACAGUUCUUUUUGUAUUUCUUCCCCUCUUUUUAGAUCGUCCUCAUCAAUAUAAGCCUGGUAUCCCCUGUCCGUUAAUGCCCUGUGGAGGUGGCCCGUGAAACCAUUGCGUGUGUCUACACCGCUGAAGCUCAAGAACACGUCGUAAUUCCAAAGUUUUGACUUGGAGGACGAUGAAGAGGAGGCUUCGUGGGUCGUCAUGGCGGUAUCCACCAUUAUGGCGCUGCAGUGGUUCAGAUCACGACUGAAAAAUGGCAGUAGUUGUGCUCGUGCUGUCGAACGGAUGAUCCUGAAAUACCUAAACCCAAGUCAAGCUCCUUCAGUCAACAAGAACAAAGUUUUAAUAUAAUAAUGUUGGUGUAUGGACUUGAGAAACGACAUAAUGUUGGCCGGAAAGUGCAGAGAAAGAGAGAGGAAAAGACGAAUGAAAGGAGAAAAGACUAUCCAAAUGAUUCUUGGCUGUGAUUACAGCUAUUCAUAGGAGAAACAAUGGACAUAUUUUCAUAGGAGAAACAACCUGCCCACUUCAUUUAUAAUAUAUUUCAACAGAGAUAUUUUAAUAGGAGAAACAACUUUCGUUUGUACUAGAAAUUUUUACCCGCGUGUUGCUACGUGAUUUGAAAUUGUAAGAAAGAUUAUCUUUGAAAUAUAUAAUAGAUUGUGUGAUUGAAGAUUAAUACUAUUUACAUUGAAAACGUUGGAAAAAGUUUUACAUACAAAAGAUUUUACGAUACAAUCCACAUCAAAAGAUGGUAAAUUUUUUUCUAUCUACAUGCAUUAAGUUAUGGAAUGAUAUAUAGAUAUAUAUAUAUAACUGAGUUCCAGAAUACGUAAACUUCAUAACUUGGAAAUUUUUUGACAAAUUAAUCAGAUUCAACUGUGGGAUAGCAAGGUCGCCUAUAAAGUUGUGAAGUCGUGGAAGCAUAAAGGACAAAUAACAAAUGAGUUUUGAGAAAUUAUUCCACAAAUGUCAUUUUGCAAAAUGUAUUAAAGACGAUUGGGUACAAGAUUAGUAAUCAUGAGUAGUGUAACAACAUCAACAAAAUAACUAUAAUCCAUAGUUGUUGAACAUAAUUCAAAUUUCGUUUGCAAAAACAAAAGAAAAAGAAAACAGACUUACAAUAAUUCAGCCUUCAAUCCUGAAGUCCUACUCAAAGAGCCAAACUUGAAUGCAAGCUUUCUGAAAUCUUCCAAACAAUACAGAUAAAAAGGUAACAUCCUAGUCAGAAACGAACCGAGGUGCAAGCUUUCUUAGAAACCCAGAUGACAAAAUCAACAAAAGAGAAUGGAAAAAUGACUUACACUUUUAAGGCAUGCUCAAAUCUUGAUCUAAAAUUUGUGGUGGGUCGAUUGUUGGCCACCAACUCUAAAUGAAGAAUUCAUCAGAAACUAGAAAUUUAAACAAAGAAUUUUCCAAAAUCAACAUUUACUAAAAACCAGUUACUUGGUUAUCAUGCAUGAUGGCUUGCCAAAGACUGAAUUAAGGAAUGCACAACUUUACUUUUUAUGAUUAUUUUCAAUGAUAGCUAAAAGGUCAGAUCCAAAUGAAAAUAAAACUUAGGACUUCACAAAACCAAUUAAAAAUCUAAUUCCAAAGUUACAAACACCCACCAAAUGAUUCCAGAUAAAGUUUUAAACUCAACGUCAGACCCAAAUGAAAUUAAAAGUUAGGACUUCACAAAACCAAUUGAAAAUCUGAUUCCAAAGUUCCAAACACCCACCAAAUGAUUCCGGAUAAAGUUUAAACUCAAAAACCCAACAGAAACAAAAGCAUUGGUGUGAAUUAACUGUAUCUAAUUGAAGAAACUAAAACAAAAGUAAAGCAAAGUACAUACCUCAAAAUGUCAAGCAACUAAGUUCUUCCUCCGACGACCCAAAAUUCUGAAAAUUCCACACAAAAAAAGAGUAAGCCCAUUAGCAAUUCAUAGCUUUCAAAAUUAGCAAAAACUUGGGCAACAAUAAAGACGCGUUGAGAACCAUCACUCUUUCUCCUUAUAUAUUUGAAAAGAUAUUUUAUAAGCAGUUUAUGUAGUCAUUCAGAUCAUGUUGCAUAUAAAUUCCUUUUCUACAGAGUUCAUAAAAGUAUGGCAGUUUAUGGUAUCUGUUGAAUGACAUGGUUGAAAGAUUUCAAAUUGAUAUAUUCAAUUUAUGUGUAAAACUAUAACAUAUAGCUAAAGCUAUUGGGUCUAUAUAUCCAUAUCAAUCAUGUCGUAAUUGAAUGUUUAUCAAUGUAAAUAGAUGAUUUCAGUCAUGUGAUAACAUGUUUCUUGAUAGUAUACGCUGAAGAUUGGUCUAAGUGGGAUAUGAAUCGACCAAAAUCUUAAGAAGAGACUCUUUUAACUUUUAACCAAAAAUGAACACCACAGUACUACACUAAGUUUUAUCAUGCAUAAAAUACACAACACUGAUUGCCACUUUUAGAAAACAACAAAACACUCAAAACCCAGAAACAGAAACACACUUUAGGACUCAAACUCCCCAAAAACAUAUGAGAGAGAUAGAGAGAUAGAGAGAGAGAGAGAGAGAGAGAGAGAGAGAGAGAAUAAAAACAAUAUUAUUUUUCACACAAACUCAAAAUUGCUUAUAAAAUUACAAAUCAAAACAAAUGAAAGCAAAUCCAAAAUUGCCCUAAAUUAAAUCUGAUUAGUUAAAUGUUUGUUGCCCUACAAAUGUCAUUACACCCGACAAAACUUGCUUUGAAGUUGAUAUUUUGGUCAAUCCGGGGGAAAAUGAGCUAUUGCUUUUGGAGCAGUUGUCAUGGAGAUUACCAUCUCCCUGUUGAAUGAUCUAAAAAAGGACUUACAGCUUCUGGUGGCCAUAAUAAUUUAGGAGGUCCUUCGCUCCAGAUUUUCUCAAUAACUUUCCUUUUCGUGGCUGGUAGGAUUGCAACUCCAAGAAUUGCUCUGAAGAGAUAUAUGCAAACAAAAUCAAACUAAAACUAAGCUGUUGGAAGAAAUUUAGAAAACACAAACACCACAACUCAGAGUUAAAGUCAACAGAAACCAAAUGGUAGAAGUUGAAAAAAAUAUAUGGUGAUGAAUCGAGAACUUCAUUAAACUAACAGCAAUAAAAUCUCAUAUAAUCUGUCAAAAACCAAAAAAGAGAGAGGUAAUUUCAAAACCUUGUAACGCUGAGGCGUCGUACAGUUGUAGUAAUAAUAUAUGGUUGAUGCACCUGUUGCUCAAUCAAAUCCUCUGUCUGGCUAAAAAAAUAAAAAUCUAUAAAUACAUUCACGUCCAAUUUAUGAGAAAUCAUGGGAAAGUAAAUGCACUGAUAACGGAAUUAUGAAUAUGAACUUGCCAAAAAGAAAAAGAAAACUUCUUAUAGUGUGCCAAGAACAUCCUCCUACUCCUAGCAAUUUUUAAUGGCAUUGUCCACUUCUCAAUUCAUAAUUCAACCAAUAACUCAAAGUCUAUAGUGUUUGAAAAAGUGAUAUCUUAGUUGAUCACGAUGAUAAUUAAGCAGAUUAAAUGAUGACCCAUAAAGCAUACAAAUUCAGAAAAGAAAAGGUUCAAAACUGUCAUGAGAAAAUACAGAAUAUAUAAACAGGAAAUCAAAAAAAGAGAAGUGAAAAAGGAAGAAACAACCAAACAAAAUUAUUAGGUUUGGGAUAUACCUUUAUCUGAAACGCCACAAUCAUCAAAGUCAAACUUAAACAACAACAACAACAACAACAACAACAAAGCCUUUUCCCACUAAGUGGGAAAGUCAAACUUAAACAAUCCAAAAAUUUGUGGAAAAUACCAAUAAAUGCUCAACUAAAAACGAAAGAAACGUAGAAUAAGUUUACCUGUUCUGCCCCUAAUUAAACUGGAAUACAAUUCACCACUAAUAUUCCUUGGUGUAUGCUUUUCGCAGACGAUAUAGUGUUGAUAGAUGAAACUCAGGAAGGGGUAAAUGCAAAGCUUAACCUUUGGAGAGAAGUGUUGGAAUCUAAAGGUCUUCGCCUAAGCCGAUCAAAGACAGAAUAUAUGGAGUGCAAGUUCAGUGCAAAUGGAGGCCAAAACGAGUUAGGGGUGAGGAUCGGAGAUCAAGAAAUACUAAAGAGCGACCGUUUUCGUUACCUAGGAUCUAUCUUGCAAAAGAACGGAGAAUUAGAUGGAGAUCUCAACCAUAGAAUACAAGCUGGAUGGAUGAAGUGGAAGAGUGCAUCCGGCGUGUUAUGUGACCGCCGUAUGCCACUGAAGCUCAAGGGAAAAUUUUAUAAGGACGGCAAUAAGGCCGGCGAUGCUGUAUGGCACAGAAUGUUGGGCGGUGAAACAUCAAACACGUACACAAAAUGGGUGUAGCGGAGAUGAGGAUGCUUCGUUGGAUGUGUGGGCACACGAGAAAGGAUAAGAUUAGGAAUGAGGAUAUCCGGGGUAAAGUAGGAGUAGCCGAAAUUGAAGGAAAGAUGAGAGAAAAUCGGUUACGGUGGUUUGGACAUGUGCAAAGAAAGGCCUACUGACGCUCCGAUUAGAAGAUGCGACUAUGGGACAGAGGUUCAGGGCCGAAGGGGUAGAGGAAGACCUAGGAAAACUUUGGAAGAGACUCUAAGAAAAGACUUAGAGUACUUGGAUCUAACGAAGGACAUGACACAGGAUCGAGCACAAUGGCGUUCUAAGAUUCAUAUAGCCGAUCCCACUCAGUGACUUGGAUUUUCCAAGUCUCCAACCGAGAAGUUUUCCUCACUCGGAAAAUUAAGGGAACACUACCCCAACCUACAUGCUCCACUCAGAAAGCUUCAACAUACAAGCUUCAACAAAAGAAAAUUCAAAGAACUUAGCGAAGAAGGCUUUGGUGUAUUAACACAAUACGUUGAAAUGAAGGAAAGCUUAUUUAUUGAUAUCCCCGAUAAGCUACAAAUAUGUACAUAUACAUGAGUCAAAAUAAACACACAAGAGGGAGCCUUCACAAAGGUUGCUUAGGAGAAGUCUCAGCAGUCGGUAGAGCCCCAGAAAGAGAAGGCACCGGAGGGGGAUCAUUUGGAGCCUCAGUACUGGACAGAACCCUAGAAGGAGGAGGCAUCAGAGGUUGAUCAUUUGGAGCUUCAUUACGCGGUACAGCCCCAGAAGACGAAGGCAAUAAAUGCCUUUGGAACAAACCCACAAAUCUCUGAUGAUCAAGUAAAACCUGACCAUCAGUUUCCUUCAUCUGGUCAAGCUUCCUCUUCAUGUUUGUAGCAUAGUCAUGUGCGAGCCGGUGCAACUGUUUAUUCUCAUGCUUGAGCCCUCUAAUCUCCUGUUUGAGACUCAUCACUUCAGCCGCCAAUGAUUCAACUUGGCGGGUUCGAGCAAAUAGGCGUUGGGCCAUAUUAGACACAGAACCUGCACACUGAACACUGAGAGCCAGCGAAUCCUUAACAGCUAACUCAUCAGACCGUUUGGAAAGUAGUCUGUUAUCUUUGGGAGUGAGAAGGUUCCUGGCCACCACCGCAGCGGUCAUAUCAUUCUUCAUCACGGAAUCCCCAACGGUAAGAGGACCAGUAGGGGAGACGAAGGAUGGGCGCCAUAUGUUGUCUGGAGAAGGCGGGGCUGCCUCUUCAACAAGGUUCAAGUCAAAACGACGGUCGGAGGGGCCAGACAUUUUCAAAGGUGUUGAAGAGAGAAGAGGUCGGACAAAUCAAGAUCUUAGAAGUGCAAGAAUGAAGCUUCUACUGGUGGAGAUUCAAGUGUGCUUUGGAACUUAAUGCCAGCCCCUAUAAAAAUCUGCACUCGACGGAGCUUCAGAAAAUCGAAGAGGCGCCUGCUCAGAAAUCGAAGAGGCGUUUGCUUUCUCAAAAGCUGGGCUGCUUAGAGAUCACGAGGGUUGAUCUCAGAAAUCGAAGAGGCGUUUGCUUUCUCAAAAGUUGGGCUGCUCAAAGACCACGAAGGCCGAUCUCAGAAAAUCGAAGAGGCGCUCGCUUUCUCAAAAGCUGGGCUCCCCAGAGACCACGAGGGCCGAUCUCAGAAAUCGAAGAGGCACCUACUUUUCCAGCCUUGUCAGCACCUGUCACACGCACACUCAGCUUUGCGGAAAUUAUGGGCAUUCUGUCGAAGACUUCUGGGGAAGUAGAAAACACAUGAAUCUUACUGUUCAAUCACCCACUUCCCACACGCAACAAUAGCUCAUGGGUACCACAGAUAACUUUGCCAAAGUUCUCUGCCAAAGUUGAGCACGUGAAGCUUGCAGCUCCCACUACAUCGCUCUGACCAAGAAGGGUAAAAGAAUAGCAAAGAAACAGCACUAACAAAGUUUAGACCCAUAAAUUUUGAAGGUCUAGCUACCAUAUUAUUACCCACAAGGGUAAAGGAACAGUACCACUGCUGGAUAAUUGGAAAGUCCCUGUGUGUCAACCUCUGUGCUUCGUGGCAAGGUAGACUAGCAAACAUGCCCAACCUUUACUCACAUUCGAGAAAACACUCCCAAUAAGAUUGCUUGCUCCAAAAUCGAAGAGGCACCGUCCUCCGAAUCUCGAGAGCCAGACUCCCAACAUGACUACUUUCUUAAAAAUCGAAGAGAGGGUAAAGGAACAGUACCAUUGCUGGAUAAUUGGAAAGUCCCUGUGUGUCAACCUCUGUGCUUCGUGGCAAGGUAGACUAGCAAACAUGCCCAACCUUUACUCACAUUCGAGAAAACACUCCCAACAAGAUUGCUUGCUCCAAAAUCGAAGAGGCACCCGCCCUCCGAAUCUCGAGAGCCAGACUCCCAACAUGAUUACUUUCUCAAAAAUCGAAGAGACACUGCUCCCCGAAUCUUCGAGAGCCAGACCCCCAGCAUGAUUGCUUUCUCAAAAAUCGAUGAGGCAUCGUUCUCCGAAUCAAUCGAAGAGGCGCUCGCUUUCUCAAAAGCUGGGCUGCUCAGAGACCACGAGGGCCGAUCUCAGAAAUCGAAGAGGCACCUACUUUUCUAGCCUUGUCAGCACCUGUCACACGCACACUCAGCUUUGCAGAAAUUAUGGGCAUUCUGUCGAAGACUUCUGGUGAAGUAGAAAGCACAUGAAUCUUACUGUUCAAUCACCCACUUCCCACACGCAACAAUAGCUCAUGGGUACCACAGAUAACUUUGCCAAAGUUCUCUGCCAAAGUUGAGCACGUGAAGCUUGCAGCUCCCACUACAUCGCUCUGACCAAGAAAGGUAAAAGAAUAGCAAAGAAACAGCACUAACAAAGUUUAGACACAUAAAUUUUUGAAGGUCUAGCUACCAUAUUAUUACCCACAAGGGUAAAGGAACAGUACCACUGCUGGAUAAUUGGAAAGUCCCUGUGUGUCAACCUCUGUGCUUCGUGGCAAGGUAGACUAGCAAACAUGCCCAACCUUUACUCACAUUCGAGAAAACACUCCCAACAAGAUUGCUUGCUCCAAAAUCGAAGAGGCACCGUCCUCCGAAUCUCGAGAGCCAGACUCCCAACAUGACUACUUUCUCAAAAUCGAAGAGAGGGUAAAGGAACAGUACCAUUGCUGGAUAAUUGGAAAGUCCCUGUGUGUCAACCUUUGUGCUUCGUGGCAAGGUAGACUAGCAAACAUGCCCAACCUUUACUCACAUUCGAGACAACACUCCCAACAAGAUUGCUUGCUCCAAAAUCGAAGAGGCACCCGCCCUCCGAAUCUCGAGAGCCAGACUCCCAACAUGAUUACUUUCCUCAAAAAUCGAAGAGACACUGCUCUCCGAAUCUCGAGAGCCAGACCCCCAGCAUGAUUGCUUUCUCAAAAAUCGAAGAGGCAUCGUUCUCCGAAUCUCGAGAGCCAGAUACCACAGACCACUUUUUCAAAGUGCUCUGACAGAGUUAAAACAUGUGAAACUGGCAGCUCCCACUACCGUGCUAUGACCAAGCAGGGUAAAGGAAUAGCAUUACUACUUGUUGUUAGGGAGACUCCUAUAUAUGUCGACCUCCAUCCCCAACGGACAGGCAGACCUGCAAAAAUGCUCAACCCUUCAUCAUAUCUGAGAGGGCACUCCCAACGAAGCCUUUCGAAAUAUUCAGCUUUCUUUCCCCCCGAUAAUACCUCUGCAAACAAGCUAUACUACUAGAGCAAGAAUAUCUCAUAUCAUCAGGGUUAAAAGCAAGAGUAUCCCAUAUCAUGCUUUUUCCCUGUCUUUUCCUUUGGCCUUGUUUUUUACCUGCAAGACAAGGAGAAAGAGAGAGCAAUCAGUCAGCACUUGGAAUCAAGCUUCCAGCCAGGAACUGACUGCCUGGAACCCCUUACCUGAUUACUUACCUGGCAUUGCUCUCGAGUACUCAUCUUCAACAUCUUAUGUUUCCAGGGAAGAUUCCGCAUCUGCUUGAGGAACAGAUAGGGCAAGUGCGAAGGAUACAAGGAAGCAUGUGGAGACAAGCGUAACAGCACACGUGCCGAUACAUCCAUUACUCUGUCAAAAGCAAAAGUAUCCCAUAUCAGCAGGGUGGAACGUACUCUAGAUUUGAUGGACUUGUUUUGACCCUCAAAUUCUUCAGUCGGCCUUAUACUCUGGAGGAAACCAGAAAACCCUCCAGCUCAGUUCAAGAAUAAGCCUGUGGAAAGUUACUUCUUCAAAAGCAAAAGUAUCUCUCAUAUCAUCUCUUCUCAUUUUUUCUUCUCUUUAUCCUUCAUGCUGCUGCAAGAUGGGGAGAAGGUGAACAAUCAGUCGGAGCUCUGAUUGCUUACCUUGUCUGUCACCUCUUUCAGCAGACCCCCUAGCUCGGCGACUUGGGGGACUCCUACUACAUGGUUUGUAUCGCGCUUGACCAAGCCUGAAACUACAAGUAAGCUUCAAGUGAAAUUGAUACAUUACCUUGUGCAUCUCCACCAGUUAAAGAUACCACCCCUGGAUGGAGGAAGAGUACUUCCAGAGAAGAUGCCACAUCUACCUAUGAGACAGAUAAGGCAAGUCAAGACGACACCACACUCCGAUACUUAGAAGUUUCGUGAUUACGAGAUCAUUCUCCCACAAUAUUUCCUAAUGUCAUUUGUACUAAAUCAUUCACUUGUACUCACUAAAGGAGAGCUUGAACCUAUGUACUUGUGUAAACCCUUCACAAUUAAUGAGAACUCUUCUAUUCCGUGGACGUAGCCAAUCUGGGUGAACCACGUACAUCUUGUGUUUGCUUUCCUAUCUCUAUCCAUUUAUAUACUUAUCCACACUAAUGACCGGAGCAAUCUAGCGAAGAUCACAAAAAAGCGACCGUUUUCGCUACCUAGGAUCUAUCUUGCAAGAGAACGGAGAAUUAGAUGGAGAUCUCAACCAUAGAAUACGAGCUGGAUGGAUGAAGUGUAAGAAUGCAUCCGGCGUGUUGUGUGACCGUCGUAGGCCACUGAAGCUCAAGGGAAAAUUUUAUAGGACGGCAAUAAGGCCAGCGAUGUUGUAUGGCACAGAAGAAUGUUGGGUGGUGAAGCAUCAACACGUACACAAAAUGGGUGUAGCGGAGAUGAGGAUGCUUCGUGGGAUGUGUGGGCACACGAGAAAGGAUAAGAUUGGGAAUGAGGAUAUCCGAGGUAAAGUAGGAGUAGCCGAAAUUGUAGGAAAGAUGAGAGAAAAUCGGCUCCGGUGAUUUGGACAUGUGCAAAGAAGGCUGAAUGACGCUCCGGUUCGAAGAUGUGACUACGGGACAGAGGUUCAGGGUUGAAGGGGUAGAGGAAGACCUAGGAAAACUUUGGAAGAGACUAUAAGAAAAGACUUAGAGUACUUGGAUCUAACGGAGGACAUGACACAAAACCGAGCGCAAUGGCGUUCUAGGAUUCAUAUAGCCGACCCCACUUAGUGGGAAAAGGCUUUGUUGUUGUUGUUGUUGUAUUCAAUGAAGAUGCUUAAAGGAGACAGUAAUAUUAGCAAUGAAGGAAUUUAAUUGAUAACUAAAACUGCAAAACAAAAUGACUACAAUAGGUUCAAAACAGAAACUCGUCCGAUAGAUAUCUCAUCUUUAGGCAAUGCCUUGUUCCCUUUUUUUUUUUUUUUUUUUUUUUUUUUUUUUGUUGCAUGUCUUGUGAACUUCAUGUAAAUCAACAAAAUUGAUACCUUAACCAACAAUGGAGAGGUAAAAAGUUAAAAACAGAAGGAAUGUCUUCAGUUUUGUAAUGGAUUUUGCAAGUCAAAUUCUGUUCGAGAAUUUGCAACCCAGAAAGUCCCAGCAAUUAUUAACAAUCACAGAUAAGCACCGAAUGAAGGCCAAUCUAAUAAGCCAAAAUAUGUAGGGCACUAAAGAAAUUAUUGCCCAGUAACAAUGAUAGAUAAGCACAUGUGAAACUAAAGAAAAUUUUCAUUACUAUCAACUCCAAAAAAAAUUACCUAUGCAAUCCAAAAAAUGUUGAUACAGAGUUGGAGUAUCGAUGCCUGAAAUUGGUAUUUGAACCACCAACUACCUCCGUGAAUAUGCUUGUCACUUAAUGGUUUGGGUUGAAGUUGUGAAAGGAAAUGUAAUUUCUUAAAAGGAAGGAGAGAAUGCAGAGAAGAAUACAGAAUGGUUCACGUGGCCACCGCAAAACAGGUUAAUAAUCAAGCUUCACUAUGAAUGGAAAGAUUAAUAGAUGAUAAUUAAGAAGGCCUGAUACCCAAGCCGAAAUCAGAGAUAUCCUUUGUAAACAAAGAGAUUGAACAUUUCCUCUCAAAAAAUAACUUUUUUUUUUGUUUUGGGGGGGAGGUUGGGAAGGCUCAGAAAAAGACAUCCAAUAUAAUACUUAUUGCAUGCAAGGUAUGAAACAGCCUCCCCCCGAGUAAAAUCACAGAAAUAAAAGAAAUCGAAUCAAGAAAAAAGAUAAUUACACAAGAAUUACACCUUCACUAAGAAAAUAAAUUAUAAAAACGAAGACUCUGAGAAUAAUUGCCUGUGAUUUGCUGCCAAAAACAAAAAUAAUGUCGUAUACAUUAAGCCUGCCGAUUACUAAAAACAAAACAUUUUUCCAUGAGAAGAAGUAAGAACAUACCGAAACUUGUUUGCUAAUAGAUGAGAAAAAUUUAUAACUGAAACAUAUAGGAAAUUUAUUAGGAAAAGAUAAACAAAACACCUAAAUUAAGCAAUUAAAUGGAGUAUUACUUGAUAGAGCUGGAAAAUUACCCAGUUCCUCAGAGAGAGGAUCAAGAGUGAAUGAUGAGAGUGCAGAGAAACGAAUGAUUGAGAAAUUCAAGCUCUGAGCUCACAGUUGGGGCUUCCACUUUCCAACUGGGGAAGAAAUAACAGAGAAAACACAAGGCCAAUCCACCAAAAAUAUUAAUCAAAUGGGUUUCUUCUAAUUCAAAAUUUUGACCACCCAAAUUCCGAUGAAGCAAUAAUUGUUCAAAAUUCCAACAGAUUGAAGGAAAAAGUAAUAAAUUUUUUUAAAACAGUAAUAAUGAAGGAAAAAGAAAUUAAAGCUGCGAGCCAUUCUCUAAAUCUCAGGCACCAAUCCAAAUCACCAGUAAUUUGCACAUAAUGAUAAGAAUCUAGCAAUACUUCCAUUGUUUAAAACCCAAAUUCCAGAAAUCAUGAAAAAUGGAAACUUUAUAUGGAAAUUGAAGCUUUACCUGCAGAUCAGCAGCAGCAAACGAAAUUCAAGAAGUCACGAUUAUCGACGCGUGGGUAGCAUUCCACUGUGCCAAGGACGAAAAUGAACGGGGAAUGUAGAGCUGGCUGACGAAGACAGGAUUCGCGAAGCGCUCUGAUUUUUUUUUUCACGAGAAUGCGGAAUGAAGAGAAGCGAGUAGAGGAGGAAUCAUUUUAAGCGAUGAUCGACGCGUGGAAAUUGAGGGCAAAUCUGCCAUUUUGCUGUGAACGAAAGUGAAAAAAGGCACAAUCAAAGAGUAAUUUGAGGGCAUUCUAGCCACUUUAAUAAACAGUAGCUUUGUGUUUGAGAUUUAAUAUAGGUAUAUAUAGAGCCCUACAGAGCAACUCCACCCAUGGAGCCCUCCUCUCUGACAAUCUACUAUUGAAUUCACCUUUUUGAACAGUAACUGCCUUUAAUAAAUAGUAACUACCAUUAAUGAACAAUAAUUGUCAUUUGCAUCUCCACCCUUGGAGCCCUCCCCCCUGGCAAUAGGCAAUAAAAUAUUAAUUUUUUUUGUUUGUUUAAAUAAUACAAAAUAAAAUUAUUUGUAAUUUUGGAUAAGAUUUUUUAAAUCGUUCUCGUUGCGCCACGUGUCAUUUUAUAAAAAAAACAAUUAUUUAGCGAUGGAUUUCGAUAAGAUUUUUAUCCAAUGUCAUCGUGUCACAUGUCGUUAUCUUUUGAUAAUCUUUGACGAUAUCUUUCGAUCAGAUUUUAACUCGUUCAAAAUUGCGUCACGUGUCAUUAUUCGAAAAGAUAAUUAUUGGAGAUCGAUUUCGAUAAGAUUUUUAUCCAAUACGAUCUUGUCACGUUUCAUUAUCUUUCAUAAUAUUUGAGGAUAGAUUUCGAUCAGAUUUUUAACGAAUGACGGCAUGCCACGUGGCCUUAUCUACAAUCCAAUCCUUUCUGAAUCAUCCAUAUAAUCCACCAUCCAUCCUCACAAAUCUCACACCAAAUUUCUCAACAUUUCUAUCUCAUUAUUCAUAGUUUCUGCUUCUUCUUCACCAUCCAUCAUUACAAUGUCUUCUUCUUCAUCAAGGAUGAUGUGGGAAAUCGAUCAGCAAGAGGAAGAAUUGUUUAACCAAUCUGAAGGAAUGUUCAACCUUCAGAUAGCCGAAAAUGAGAUGGAUGAGGAUGAGGAGCGUAGAAGGAGAGACGACGAAACAAGAAUGGCCAGAGCCUCACAUUCCCGUUGAGUCAUCCAGACUGUUGCUCAGAUAUGCAUGCCCAACCGUUCAAGAAACCUUGGUAGAAGCAGGCAACGAUGGGGUGAAGAGCUAUUGGACGAUUACUUUGUCCAUAACAGUGCAUUUCCUGAUACGUACUUCAGACGUCGUUUUAGAAUGGAACGACAUUUGUUCAACAGAAUCAUGACUGAUGUUUACAACCAUGAUUCUUACUUUGUGCAAAAGAAUGAUGCUUGUGGUGUUAUGGGUUUCCUGCCUGAGCAAAAAAUCACUGUUGCGUUGCGGAUGCUUGCGUAUGGAGCAUCUGUAGACCAAGUGGAUGAGAUAACGAGGAUGGGGAAAUCAACCAUUCUUGAGGCCCUUAUGAGGUUUUGCGGAGCAGUCGAAUCUUUGUACACCGCAUAGUACCUCCGAAAACCUACUUGUAGGGACUUGCAAAGGCUUCUGAAGAAGGGCGAGAUGCGAGGUUUUCCUGGGAUGAUAGGAAGCAUCAAUUGUAUGCACUGGACGUGGAAAAAUUGUCCAAGUGCAUGGCAAGGCGCAUAUGGGGACAUAAAAGGAUCAAAAACUAUCAUUUUGGAGGCAGUGGCAUCUUUUGAUACAUGGAUAUGGCACGCCUUUUUCGGGGUUCCGGGGGCUCAAAAUGAUCUCAACGUCCUUGCCCAAUCCCCAGCGUUCAACGACAUCCUGCAAGGAAAGGCACCAAAAGUCACGUACAUCGUCAACGGACGUAGGUACGACGGGCCAUACUAUCUAGCUGACGGCAUUUACCCACGGUGGGAAACAUUUGUCAAAACAGUGCCACGUCCGCGAAGUGCAAAGGAAAAACACUUUGCAAGCUGUCAAAAGGGGUGCAGGAAGGAUGUGGAGCGUUGUUUUGGUAUCCUUCAAGCUCGUUGGGCGAUCGUCAGGGGUGCUGCCAGAAUGUUCGAUGUAGAGUCACUUUGAUCCAUCAUGAUGACAUGCGUCAUUCUUCACAAUAUGAUUGUGGAAGAUGAGUUCGAUUAUGAUGCGGUUGAUGAAUAUGAGCCAGAGCCAGACACGAUGAACAAUUCAAGAACACGGAUAUAUUGUGCGCAUGAUGCCACCAAAGAACCCGUGCAACAUGAGCCAUUAGAAAGGGAUGAACGUUACAAUGAAAUGGUCAUUCAACGAUAUACUGCACUUCAAAUGUCAUCUAUGCACAAUGAUCGGCAAAUUGACUUGAUAGAGCACCAGUGGACAUUAAAACAAGCUGAAGAUACUUAAGUUUAUUUAGUAUGUUUGUUUGUAUUUGGUAUGUUUAUGUAAUUUUAUUUGGUGUGUUUUUUGUAGUGAGUUUUUUAUUAUUUCGUAUGUUUAUGUAAUUUUAUUUGGUGUGUUUAUGUAAUUCCAAUUGGUAAGAAAAUAUGAAAUUGUGGUGUAAGGUAGAUGGAGAAGAAGUGGUAUUUAUAGAAAAGUAAAAACAAUUUUUUACAAAUUUUUUUUUUUAGAUUUUUUACAAUUUUUUCGGAUUUUUUCCAUUUUUUUUAAUUUUUUUUUCAAAUAAUUAAUCUCUGCCGUUGGAUUUAAAAAAAAUUGAAUUCCAACACUCCAGAUUGUGCCACGUGUCACAACGGUAAUUUUUCUUAAUUUUAAAACUAUUUUUUCUUUAUUUAUAAAGCAUAUUAAUAUCGACCGUUGAUCUGAAAUCGAACGGUUGAUAUUAAAUAAGAUUUGUUUUAUUUUUUUUACCGUUGAGAUCCAACAGUCCAAAUGAAAGAGCCGUUGAGAUCGAACGGACCGUGGGAAACCACGUGGCUUCCCAAUGGUAACUGAGACAACUGCAAAAGUGGGCUGCUUUUCUGAAAAGCUGUCAGGCGACGCGCCCCCACGCGCGAGUGGGGUGCACGCGCCUGACAAAAAAAAAAAAAAUGGGUGAAGAGCUCGGGCUCACGGCUGUCACAAAUUGACAGGCCUUCUGCUCGGGCCUUCUCCACGAGCUCGGGCUCUUCAAGACUGGAGCUGAUUGACUAGCCCUCGGGCCUUUCUUUUCCCCUGUCCCCCGGCCUACAUGCAUGGGUGGAGUUGCUCUAAGAGAAGGGAUUUCCAUUCUUGUUUUUUUAAAUGUGGACACCUUUUUUACUGUUAGAUUUGACUUUAACGAAAUUUUGUGGUUGAGAUUAAAUCACAAACCACAGAAUCUCAACCAUAGAAUUUCAUUAAAGCUAUAUUUAACGAUCAAUAGGGUGUUCCCAUUUUUUUUGAAAAAUAGGAAUCCCUUCCCUUAAGGCUUUCAGUAUAUUAUAUACACUAAAACUCAAUUGAUGAACACUGUUCAUUAACAGUGAUUUUACGUUUUAGCCCCUGUUUUGCUGUUUGUUUGCCCUUUUAUUUUUCGAUCUUAACAGUAAAAUGACAGUUUUGCCCGUUCUUUCCACGCGUCAGUCAUCGUUGAGCUCUUCACUUCAAGAGUCUUCUUUUAGGUUUAGCCUUUUCUUUGCACUGGUGAUUCUCUGAUUUCGUCUCUUCGUCUCGCCCUCUGUUUUUUCUCAAAUCCUCCAUUCCUCUCAAAUAUUCCGUUCUUUAUUUCACAAAAUAUUCAGGAGAAAGUUCCUGAUUUUCGUGUUUUAAGGGAUAUAAUGAUUUGGUGUUGUUUAUCUCAAACAGCGGGCUUGCAGGUAAAAUGUUAAGCUUUAUGUCCAAAGCAAUCUUUCUCUGCAUGCUGACUGUGUGUUGAUUUGAAGGGGUGGUUUAGUGAAUGGGUGCUUCUUAUUUUUGGCCUUUCUCUAUUAUCAUAUAUGUUUCUCUAUUCUCAGGUAUCAGAUCAUUCGAAACAAAAACAUUUUAACGUUAUUUUUGCAGGUUAAUGUUGGGUUUGAGUCCAACACGAUAUACACUUGAACAGAGUAGAGUAGAAGACAGUAUGCAAACAUGAUUUAGGACACAGUUUACCUAAUUGUAAACACUCUGUGAAAUAUUAUUAGUUAUGAACAUCCAAUUUGAAUCCCCCACAUGCUAAAUUAGGUACCAUUAAAUUAGUUUUAUGUCUUUUUUUUAUUUGAAAGCUGCUUCUUAUUUCUGUCUCUAUUAAGAUUCUGGGGUGUGCUUUGGAUUUGCUACAUAUGGUCAUAUUUUUUGUCAUUGGCUUUUUGUUCUGCUUAGUUUUUUUUAAUCGAGUGUUUUAUCUGGUAUUUCAUUUUGUUUUGUUUAUUUGUUUCCUUUUUAUGUUUAAAUGUUUUUUGUUCUUUCUAAAUUUGGGCUUCUGGGAAAUUCUUGCUCACUGUUUGGAUUCCGAGAAAAUUUAGGGGAUGUCCAGUAAUAUUCACAUCCUGAAAACUCAGUGAAAAUAGAUACCAAUUUAUGUGCAGCUGAAAAUUUUGUUAUCUGAUUCUGUUCUAAAUAACAUGAUUUAUUUGUUUUUUAAACUUUUAAUUAUUUCGUAUUUAUUUUGUGAUUGCAGAUGUUUAAAUGAUGGAGAGUUUCGCAAAGCUGUUACUCGGAGGAGACAUGUCUAGAUGAGGGAAAGGUGUCUCCACUGCCCUUGCUAUCUCAAAUGCCAUCACCAAUCUCUCUGGUUAGUCACAUUCCUCUUGGAAUAUGCAUAUUCUUAUGUGAUGUUGGCUGAUACCUUGGUGAGUCAACUUAAUAAAAAAUGUGAGAUGGACAAAUUGAAAAGUCUAUUUUCUUCUCAUAUGCAUCCUUUAACAUAUGUCAGUUUUAAUUAUUGAUGAGCAAUUGAAAAUUUAGUUUUUCUUCUCAUGGUACACUUACAUUGGUAGUUCAACAUAUGUUUGUUUAACAUAUCUUAUUAAAUGCAUUUGAGAAUCGAUUGAAGAAACUCAGUUCUUUUAGCAAUUAAGAACAAGGUAAACAUAGUUGUAAAUAUGUGUAAAUAAGAUAGGAAUUUUGAUGAAUUUAUGUUUUUUCCUCCGUUUUUCAGUGUUUUCAGGCAUUGAAGCUAAAUAUGGAGAGGGUUUUGAGACUUUUAGACCUAUUGGACCUCUCAAGGUUUGCGUGGUAAGGAGUUUAUGGAGUUAUACGCAUAGUAGGCAUUAUAUUUUAUGUUCUGUUGAAUUUAAUUUAAUGGUUAUAUUUUAUGCUCCUAUGAGUUAUUACUGUUAUGUUUACUCUGAGUAGGAUUUGUUGAACGACAAACUGCAAGGAGGUUUUCUUAAACGAAUAUGAUAUGCUAUGAAACCGAAUGAAGCUUACUGUCUUCUAUUCUCUUUUGUUAAUUUCGUGGUAAGUUUCUAUAACACUGAUUAGUUAUGUCUUCGAGGUUCUAAUGGCUAGAUAUGCUAAUGUAAUGAACUAUGGAAUAUUGUAAUAGUUUAUGGUCAAUGUGAUCCCAUAUCUGUUUGAUUGAAAUAUUGUUCUAUAACAGGUUUAAACUUUGUUUUUCCAAUACCUUAUCACAAAAUAAUUCCACCUUGGACAAAUUACAAGGUAUGCUGCAACAUGUGCUUUGAUUAAUUGCAUUCAAAUUGAUACUGCUUAAGAAUGCAUUUGAACAUGUUGAAUUUCACGCCCGCAGCAUCGCGCGGGCAAUAUUGCUAGUAUAAUAUAUAAUUGGGUGAUAAAGAGAGUAGGUGAAAGAACACAAUUUGCUCUUAAAAAUGUUGUUUUUAAGAACGAGUGAUUUUUCUUUUCUGACUCUUUCUGUCUAACCCAAAAGCAUACUGGUAAUAGGGUCCAGUAAGAAAAUUAUUUUUAGAAAUUAAACAUGAAAAAAUACAAAAUUUACAAUUUCGAAUUAUACAAAAAAGACAAAAAAAGCGCAAAAUAAAAAGAGCAGGACAGAAAAACAGAAACAAAAGAAAGGAGACACUAAGAAUACAAAUAGCGUGAUUUGAGCCCUCAAUUUUGGCAGGCAACAUGAUUGUUAACGCAUGAUUGUGAACCCAUCCAUUGAAGAAAGAAGCAUCAUAAUACACAAGAGUCAAGACUGGGCUUGGUUUAUAUAAUGAAUAAUGUUAGGGAGAUCAAAUUUUUUAAACUAAAUUUGUAAAUUAAAUGAUGUAGUUAUAGAUGAUUGGGUUAUUACUAAGUGUCGAUUAAUAUGUUUAUUUCUUAUUGGUGACAUAUCAUUUGGUUUAAAAAUUUGGUCUCCCUAGCAUUAUCCUUAUAUAAUUAAUCAAUAAUAUUCCAUAACAAGAGCUAGGUCCAUAUAUUACGAGGUUAUAAAAUAUGCUAGGUGCUAGUCGAGAGGCGGGCGGGGCCUAAGCAGAUUUAAGUAAAUUUAUUAUAUAUUGUAUAAAUAAAUGCCUUUUUAUACUUAAAAUGACACACAAUUGUAUCGAAAUAUAUAAAUUGCAAAAUAAAAUGACAUAUAGAUUAUAAAUUACUAGAACAUAAUGAACAAUCAUAUAAUGAGGGUUUAUCCAAAUAUUUAUUGGAAAACAAAAAACAAAAUGAGUGUUAUCGAUUUUCUGUCUAAAUGAAAGUUGCGGGCUAGGCAGGUUUAAGUGGGUUAGGCGGACGCCUAAGCAAGUCUAGAGCACUUUCUUAAUUUUUAAAUGAUUAGGGACUAAUUAGGGUGGUGGACAACUGCCUAGCGCUAGACAUGGGUUUUUAGAACAGUAAUUACUUGUUCUCAUAGAUCUCUGGGUUCAAGAAAAUUAUGAUCACCUAUUGUUCGAUCUUAAUACCGUCGGUAAGCGGUUAUUUAACCAUUUUUUAUAUUGAGUAAUUUUCCUGGAUCCUGAAAUCUAGAAGAACAAAACUCUUAUGUCACAUGGAUAAACAUAAUCAGGCAUAAGAAAAAGGUUGAAGAAUUCAUAAGUCAUAUAGGGGGCGUUUGUUUGCCCUCACUAAGUAUCACUGGACUAACUAUUAGUCCAGUCCCGUGUUUCUUCUGUAGAGGGAUUAUGUUUCAUGAGACUAAAGGGGAGUCACACGGACAAACUCCUUCACUAGGAGUUCUUAGCGAGAUCCCCCAAUGCCCAUGGGAUUGCUAAGACCUCGUAUACUCCAUCUUUGUAUGCUAUGUCUCAUCCUCUCUAUGCUCUCUAUUAUCUUGAGCACCAUCACACCACAACUCACCAACUCCAGUGAGAUCACACCACCAACCCACCACCACUUUCUCCCUCUCUCUUCACAUGAACCCAAAAUUUCGAACUGAGGAAGAUCCCGUUCUUACAGUAAUUCGUCCAGCUCUAGCUGUCUGCUUCGCUUCGCUGCACUUCAAACUCGACCUUGGACUCGUCUGAUUCGCUUUGAACUCGACCUCGUAUUUGUCGACUUUACGCAAUUGACGAGAUCUUGUGAACUUGAUGAUGGGUGAGCCACCCAGUGCACUUGAAGGAAUAUGGGAGGCCAAGAACGCCAAAGCCUACGACGGCAAUGAAGACGUUGGCUGGAUUGGGAUGACAGCGACGUGUUCCACAUCAAGGGCAGCGGCUUGGGAUUCUUGUUUUCAUUUGGUUUUGAUUUAAAUUAGGUUUUGAUUUCGAAUUGGGUUUGAUGUGAUCUGGUAUUGGCAUUUGAUUUGCUCUGUAAUUGUUUGAAUGUGUGGAAUAAAUUUUGGGGAAAGAGGAAGAAAAUUUAGAAAAAGAAAAAUAGACUAAAUAAUAAAAUAUUAAUAUAUAUUAGAUUAAAUAAUAUCAUAUUAGAAUUUAUUAUUAUCCUACUUCUUGGUCCGACACUGCACCAAACGCUUUACUAAGCUAAUCCAACUUAGUCUAGUCUAAGUCAAUCCAGCUUAGUUCCUGAAGUUAGUCUAGUCCAAGACAAUCCGGUGCAACAAACACAUUCAUAGAGUAAUUAUAGGGAUACUAAAUUUGUAAAUAAAAUUUUGUAAACUAAAUGACAUGGAAGUUGAUCGUUGAAUUAUUACUUAAACGUUAAUAAAUGUACUCAUUAUCACUAAAGACACGUUAUUUAAUUUGUAAAUUUUAUUUAUAAAUCUAAAGCAUUACCCAAACUCAUAAUACAAAUAGCUACUUUGAGAGAAGAAAAGAUGGAGAGUGAUAUGAUUGCAUUCUUUUUUAAAGCAACUUCUGAAGAUUCCAUAAUAAACUAUUAUUAUAUAUGAAGAUGUGCCGUGGUAAAAGAGAGGAAAAAAUGAAUGGAAAGUUUAUCCAAAAGAUUCUUGACCGUGAUUACAACUAUUUAACUUUUGUAAAUUUUCAUGGACCGAGAUCCAAGAAAAGAUGGAGAGUGAGAUUGGCAUUCUUUUUUGUAAAGGGAUUUUUUUUCCGAUCCCUUCCAUCUAAUUCACCUGAGUCAACCAUUUGAGUUCUUGAAAUUUAUUUAAACAACUAAAAUUAUUAUAACUUUUAAUGAAGCCCCUAUUUGUAGUCGUUAAAUCAAAUUUUAAAGAUUCGAAUUAGUGAAUUAGGUGGAUUAGGUGGAAGGGAUCCGAAGAAUAUCAAUUUCCUUCUUUUUCAACACAACUUUUGUUGAGUCCAUAAUAAACUAUUAUAUGAAGAAAGAAUACUAAAAAGACUCUCUCAAAAUCGAAACUUUUUGCGAACUUUUUAGCAUCUCAUGUUUUUGAGAUUAAUAACUAACAUUAUCUGAGAUUUAUUAAGUUUUCACAAAAUUCCCUUACGUAUGAGAUAUUACGCUAACAACACUUUAGUGUAAUGUCUCAAACGUAAUGGGACCUUGUAAAAUUUGAUUAACUUCGACAGUAUUAGUAUAUUUUUAUGUAAAUAUUAUAAAAUAUUAUGUUAAAUACAUUAAAUAACAGAUAGUCUUUAAGAGAGAUUUCUUACAUCUUUCUAAUGGAUACGGACGGUGGAAAAAGAUCAUUCCAUAAUUAAAUAUUGUGCUGUUGAUUACGCGUCUCUCCAUUUGACUAAGUUCCUUUUCACAUUCUUCCCUAAAUAAAAUGGUUCACUUUUCACAUUAUUACAAUAUUUAUAUUUAUAUUUUUACAAAAGGGAUUCGUCUAAAUUAAAUUUUUCGAAAAAUUUCGUAUAGUGAGUGAAAGUGAAACACUCCCUUUGUUAUGAUUAUGACAAUAUUUAUAUUUUUACAAAAGGGAUUUAUCUAAAUUAAAAUUUUCAAAAUUCCGAACAAGAUUUGAACUUUCGUGUAUAUGAAUAUAUGGAGUAAAUUGAUCAUGGCUGAAAAUAUGGCAGUGGUUGUGUUUGUGUUGCCUAACGGAUGAUAUUGAAAUACCUAAACACAAGUCAAGCUCCUUCAGUUAACAAAAACAGAAGUUUAUAAUAUGAUAAUGUUGGCGCACGGACUUGAGAAACAACAUAGGCCGGGAAUGUGCACAAAAAGUAAGAGAGAGGUAAAGAGGAAAGAAACGAACAUGAAAGAACAAAGACUAUCGAAUACAUUAUAAAACAAUGACUUCUUGGUAGUCAUUACAUCUCAACCAUCAAUAAUGCAUUAAUUUUGGUUGAAAUGUAGAAGUAUUUGAGAAGUAGCAUGACAACAACCACAUAAUAAACAAAAGUGGACGCAAAUGUGAAAGGAUAAUUAAAAACAAUUAUUCAAGAUGGGCGGUAGUUGAUUCAGCCAUUUAGAAGAUUCAAACCUAGAAUCAUUAUUGUAUUAACUAUUAACAGGUGCUAUAAUAUAGUUCUUAGGGAUUUCAAGGAGGCAUAUGGGGGACUACAUAAUGUGCAAUAGGAUUAAACUUUUUUUGUUACUAGGCAAAUGAACCAUAUUGAAAAAAGUUGAGGUUUAACCAUAAAAUUAAUUGACGAUAUAAAAAGUAGCUCAACCUCUUAUAAGCGUUUGCAAGAUUUCUCUUUUGACCUAUACAAGACUCUUUUACUUUCACAUCCUCGAACAUAUAAUACACCCAAAUGGAUGCCAAUAUAUAAACAUUGUUUUGAAAGGACAAGGGAGCUAACAGUGUCUUUUUAUAUGACUUGGACUUGGAGUACGGGCUGCAAAUUGCAUGCAAUUGCAACGAGAGCCAAAGAUAAUUGCCUUGUCCUUCAAAUUUGUUGGUAAAUUGGGGAUUGCACGAAGAUUUUCGCACUAAUCUGAAUACAGUGUUUCAAGCUUUUAAAGACCACUGAAGCUUUGAAAACUCUGUUGAUUUUACUUCCCAAGUAAGUGACAUAAAACUAAAUUGGGCAGUUGCAUGACAACAACCACUUAAUAAUCAAAAGUGAUUCGAAAAAGACCGAAAGUGAGAUGACCGCAUUCUUUUUCAGACAACUUUGGUAGAUUCCAGAAUAAACUAUUAUACAUGAAGAUGGGCGGUGGUAAUUGUCCUUUUGAUUAAAGUUUUUUGAGUCGAAAAUCAUUUUUCUAUAAUUAAUUCUUAACUAGAAAUUUGUACCAGUACACCGUUGUGGGACUGAAAAUCUUAUGAAAUAUUUUAUAACUUUAAUUUUCAUAAAUAAUGUGCGAGUGAAAAACAAAAAAUUACGAAUGGUAAUGCAAUUUAUAUGUAACCUUAUCAUGAACGGAACAAAUUUAGAUACUAAAAGAAAAAUUAAAAAUCUAUUUUUUCAAAGUGCGAAGAGAUAAUUGUUUAUUAAAAAAGUUGGACCAAUGAUAACUGCAUAAAUUACAAAUGCAAUAUUAAGAGUAUACCAGUCAAACUAAGCUUGCUACAGGCUAAACAAUGUUGAAAAACAUCAUUAGCUUUUUCAAGUGUUAUAUGCAAUGAAUGUAAUUAGCACGAAACUAGCACGAAACUGCAGAGGCUUUCGAUCCAUUAUAAUAUAAAAUAAAUAAUAAUAUUUACGUAUAAAAUAUGAUAUGAUUAUAUGAAAGUAACGACCCAAAUCUUAUUGGAGCUAAUUAACUAAUGUAUGCUCAUCAGGCAGCUGGAUUCCUUGGCAAGUGUUUAACCCCUACUUUCUUCACGCUCACAGAAUCACCAUUUGCAAAGUCAAUCGGCCUCACACCAAUAAAAACUUAAUCCCCGGCUAGUAAACUGAUCAGCUUAUCGUCCGAUAUAUGUCACUGCAAAGAUAAUCACCUUGUCUUUCAAAUUUGUUGGUAAAUUGGGGAUUGCGAGAAGAUUUUCGCACUAAUCCAAAUAUAUUGUUUCGAGCUUUGAAUGACCACUGAAGCUUUGAAAAGUCUGAUGGUUUUGUUAGGUCAUGUGUAUGACUAACGUUAAUGAUUUUCAACUUCCCAAGCAACUGUUACACAACUAAAUUUAAAAUCCAAGAGGAGGAUAUGAUCAGAGAAGAAAGAAAUGCAAUCCACUAAUAAUCAACAUCGAUAUUGUCUUCAACUUAAUCAUGAAUAAGUUUUAAGGCACAAAAGACCUCAUGCUUUUGUAGUUGAGCCAUUUAAUGUAAGGAGAAUCACAAUGUUAGUUAACCACAUCACAGUACAAAAGCACUAAAAGCGUCCAAGUGAAAGUGAAAGUGCUUUCUUCUCAUGUAGUUUCAUUUAACUUAAUUUUCCACAAUGGUAAUUAUGUUUCAAUGGUUCUGUUUUCACAUGCCAGUCGGUCAGUCACAUACUCAACUCCUUAAUGUUCGGGCUCAAUGGCUCGAAGAGAGCUUCCACUUCACUCUGAUUCACCUCCUCUAACUUUGACGGAUUCCACUUCGGAUUCUGCAUUGACAAGAAACAGAAGCCAGAGAUAAAGAUUCGUUGAUAUACGGAAAGUAAGAUGAUUAUACAACCGUAGGUCUAGUAGAGGCUGUAAUGGUUUAUGUUGCAGCAACUGCGUCAGCAAGUGAUUUUAUAGCAAGGAAUCUUGAGCAUAAUUAACGAACCUGAUCCUUGUCCACCAAAACUGCCGUACACCUUCAGCAAAAUCAUUCCGUAAAGACGAUCUUAUAGCAACGUGAUAUUCAGUUUCAUCACACCAGUUAACUGGUAUUGGUCAAGUAAAGCACAUGUUACUUUCUGAAAAUUUGAAAUACUACAACGCAAAACCUAUCAAAAGGAUGCAACCAUGUGAUGCAAGAAACGAAAAGGUACAAAGUCCAGACUCACUCUGGAUAAUUGAUUGUCAUUUUUCCCAAGCACGGAUGCAACUUUAGCGAAAUAAUUUUGUGUCAAAAAAGUGAAAACAGAGCACCCUUUCCAAGACCUUAAAGAGCUUCGUUAGCCCACUCACCACUGCAAUACAAACAAUUUAUACAAAAUACUUGACAGCGACAUACAAGCUGCUCAAUAGACAAAUGGCAUUAAAAAACUUACCAGUAGCAUCUGAACUCUGAUGCUGCUUUUUAAGUUCAUCAAUUGUCUCAAGAACCAACUUAUCUGCACCAAAUGCUGAAGUUAUUUGAGGUAAAAGAGUCUUGAGUUGCGCUUCAGAAUCUGGGUAGCUGGUGAAUUUCACCACAAUUGUUUCAAUGUCCUGAUGGGGAUCCUGGGAACUGAUUCAACAAUGGAGUUGCUUUUAUCUCAAGAAACGCAUUGGACAAUGUGAUGAUGGCAACUAAAGUUAAACCCACUGAAGCAUUGGAAAUUGCGUCUGAGGAUAGAAAAGGCAUACCUGCAGAUACUCCUCCCAGACUCUUUGCCUCUAUAUGUGAAAACCCAUCUGGGAACAAACCAAUUCCAUUCUCUGGCAUAGCAAGAACAGUCCUCAGAAAUGUAUCCAUACAAAGUUUGACACACAAAAUUAAAAAAGCCAUUGCAAUGUAAUUGACAACAUUGACAAUCUCUGUCUGACCGGGCAAUAAUGCCUCUGUAAUGAUCCGGUAGCGACUGUGACCUGAUAGGCCAAUACCAAAGCCCACUGUUAUGCCAUCCAUGAAGCUUAUAUGGGCUUCUUGUACUCGGAGAUAUUGCAUAUUAGAGAAUACUCAGCAGUGAAUACCUGAAAAACGUGCAGCACAAAUAUCAUAUCGGUAGCCUCUCAAAUCUUAAGAAAACUACAAAUGGUAGCUUAGAAAAGAAAUGAAUCCUCUCCAACCAAUACAAAUCAUAUUACCCAAGUUCAAGCAAAAUCAAGACUAAACAAAUGACCAGAUGUUGUAGGUUGCCAGAGAAUGUCAAACAUGAAAUUACAAAAGAAAAAAAUAAUCGUAUGUAUUGAACAUUAAUAAAUACAUGCUGAAAGCACAAUCUUAGCCGCAAUUUAUGACAUUUAUACAAGAUUAAAUCGCCAAAGAAAUUAAAGAAAUUGCAGAGCUCAUAUAAGUGAUGUUCACUAUGAACUUUUAGGCUUAUCAACAAAUACACCAUAACGAUUCUAAUGCAUGAAUUUUGUUAAAGGGGGCUUGCUUGCUUGUAUUAAGGCUUAAUCAUCAAUGAUUUUGCAAGGGUCAAUCGUAUUGCUAGUUGUAAAUCUAUUCACUAUGAAAAUUACCAAAAUUACAUCUAAUAUGGUAGUGAAGGAAGUCAUCUUACAUUAUCUGGAAUUUAGAAAACUGUGUAAGGUUAUAAUAUAUGGUUACAAGGACACAAUUAGACCUCAAUCAUAUUCGGUGGUUGGUUUUUGGCCGUGAUCUGCUUCACAUCACCGCCUGCAGGUAAACUAAAUCUGGGUUACUACAUAUCAAUGAAUCAACGUGCCAACUUAACGGACACCAUCUAUCUCUAUAUGGCAAAAAAAACAACACAAAAAGGAACAUGAAGUGAAACAAUAAACAACAUGACAUGAAACAGCACGAACAUCAAAGACCAACAAUCUAUCACGUAAGCACCUAAACAAGAAACAACUUUAGUUCAAAGCAAAGCGUAAUGUAGAAACCUUCGGCACAACAGGUGUGUUUUUGUCCUUUCGAGUUUCGGCAACAACCACUUUAAUAUCCUUUCCUGCAUUUACCAUGAUUGGUCACUCUUAAAACCUUAACUCCGCCGUGUAAGUUUAUCUUACAUUGCCGGUCCCAAGCCCGGAUAAAGGAGGAGGGGGAGGGCGUCAGGUAGUCGACAGCCGGCACUCCAUGAUUACGUCGAAUCCUUACGAAAAUGAAUCCAGAACGAAAUCGCGCUAAAGCUAGGGCGUCACCCGUAAGUGGCGCGCUGUGUGGCCCGAGCACAGUGAUAAGUGAGCAAGGGUCGCUAUAUCUCCAUCGGCACCCGGAUGCAGUGUUAAAUGAGCAAGGGGGCUAUAGAAACUUCUUUUCGAACGACUCCACUCAAAGUUGUUUGGGAGCAUAUGCUCCUAUCAACUUUACACGGGACACACAAAAGAAGUACUUUGAUCCUAUUAGACGGGGAAGGGUGAAGAAGCUAGGACAGAAGGGUAGAGUUCAAGAGAGCAAAAUGCGUUUAGGAACGUGGAAUAUAGGAACCUUGACGGGAAAAUCUAUGGAAGUAGUAGCAGUUAUGGUGAGGAGAAGGAUAAAUAUUAUGUGCCUACAAGAAACUAAGUGGGUUGGGCGUAAGGCAAAGGAUCUAGAAAACUCAGGGUUUAAACUAUGGUAUUCGGGCACAAAUAGAACGAGAAACGGUGUUGGCAUCAUCGUGGACAAGACCUUGACACAAGAUGUUGUAGAUGUUAAGAGGGUAGGAGAUAGAAUCAUGUCAAUCAAGAUUGUAAUAGGACAAGAACUUAUCAAUGUGAUUAGUGCGUACGCACCUCAAGUAGGGUUGGAUACGAGUUCGAAGGAGAAAUUUUGGGAAGACCUUGGAGACUUGGUGCAAGGAAUUGCUCAGACGGAGAAGUUAUUUAUAGGAGGAGAUUUAAAUGGACACGUGGGCAGGGAGACAGACAACUAUGGAGGUUUUUAUGGUGGCCAUGGUUUUGGGGAGAGAAAUGAGGAUGGGGAAGCUAUCUUGAAUUUUGCAAUGGCAUAUGAUCUCUUCUUAGCCAACACCUUCUUUAAGAAGAGAGAAGAACAUGUGAUCACCUACAAGAGUGGGUCGUCAAAAACACAAAUAGAUUUUCUCCUAAUGAGGAAAGGGGAUCGUAUAACUUGUAAGGAUUGCAAAGUUAUACCAGGAGAGAGCGUGGCUAAUCAACAUCGCUUGUUGGUGAUGGAUGUAAAUAUCAAAAGAGUGAGAAAAAAGAACAAGACUUGGAAGUGCCCAAGGACUAGAUGGUGGAAUCUAAAAGAAGAAAAACAAGCCAUUUUCAAAGAGAAAGUAAUCACCCAGUGUGUGUGGGAUAGAGAGGGGGAAGCUAACCAAAUGUGGGAUUCCAUGGCUAGUUGUAUCCGAAAAGUAGCAAAAGAGGUAUUAGGAGAGUCCAAGGGCUUUGCCCCACACCAAAAGGAAUCUUGGUGGUGGAAUGAGGAGGUACAAACAAAGGUGAAGGCUAAGAAGGAAUGUUGUAAAGCCUUAUACAAGGAUAGGACCGAUGAAAAUGGUGAAAGGUAUAGAAAAGCGAAGCAAGAGGCGAAGAAAGCUGUGAGAGAAGCUAAGUUAGCGGCUUAUGACGAUAUGUAUAAGCGACUAGAUACCAAAGAAGGAGAGUUGGAUAUCUAUAAACUAGCUAGAGCAAGGGAAAAGAAAGACAAGGGACCUAAACCAAGUGAGGUGCAUCAAGGAUGAGGAUGGAAAGGUUCUUGCUACAGAGAACGCGGUUAAAGACAGAUGGAAAGGUUAUUUUCAUAAUCUUUUCAAUGAAGGACAUGAAAGGAGUGCUUCUUUAGGGGAGUUGAGUAACUCAGAAGAGUGUAGAAACUACUCUUUUUUAUCGUAGAAUUCGGAAGGAAGAAGUGGUUGUAGCUUUGAAGAAGAUGAAGCAUAGAAAAGCAGUAGACCUAGACGAUAUACCAAUUGAAGUGUGGAAAGUUUUGGGAGAGACAGGUAUAACAUGGCUCACUGACCUUUUCAAUAGGAUUUUGAAAACGAAGAAGAUGCCAAAUGAGUGGCGAACGAGCACUUUGGUGCCUAUCUACAAGAAUAAGGGUGAUGUACAAAAUUGCAUGAACUAUAGGGGUAUUAAGCUAAUGAGUCAUACAAUGAAGCUCUGGGAGAGAGUCAUUGAGCAUAGAUUGAGGCAAGAGACACGGGUUUCGGACAACCAAUUCGGGUUCAUGCCAGGGCGCUCAACCAUGGAGGCAAUCUAUCUCUUACGAAGAUUGAUGGAAAGAUAUAGAGAUGGGAAAAAGGAUUUACACAUGGUCUUUAUAGAUUUGGAAAAAGCGUAUGAUAGGGUCCCAAGAGACAUUCUUUGGAGGAUUUUAGAGAAGAAAGGAGUACGAGUAGCAUAUAUCCAAGCUAUACAGGAUAUGUAUGAAGGAGCAAAGACUGCCGUAAGAACUCAUGAAGGACAAACCGAAAGCUUUCCCAUAACUGUAGGAUUACAUCAAGGCUCAUCCUUAAGUCCUUACCUUUUUGCGUUGGUAAUGGAUGAGUUAACAGGACAUAUUCAAGAUGAUAUUCCUUGGUGUAUGCUUUUCGCAGACGAUAUAGUGUUGAUAGAUGAAACUCAGGAAGGGGUAAAUGCAAAGCUUAACCUUUGGAGAGAAGUGUUGGAAUCUAAAGGUCUUCGCCUAAGCCGAUCAAAGACAGAAUAUAUGGAGUGCAAGUUCAGUGCAAAUGGAGGCCAAAACGAGUUAGGGGUGAGGAUCGGAGAUCAAGAAAUACCAAAGAGCGACCGUUUUCGUUACCUAGGAUCUAUCUUGCAAAAGAACGGAGAAUUAGAUGGAGAUCUCAACCAUAGAAUACAAGCUGGAUGGAUGAAGUGGAAGAGAGUGCAUCCGGCGUAUUGUGUGACCGCCGUAUGCCACUGAAGCUCAAGGGAAAAUUUUAUAGGAACGGCAAUAAGGCCGGCGAUGCUGUAUGGCACAGAAUGUUGGGCGGUGAAGCAUCAACACGUACACAAAAUGGGUGUAGCGGAGAUGAGGAUGCUUCGUUGGAUGUGUGGGCACACGAAGAAAGGAUAAGAUUAUGGAAUGAGGAUAUCCGGGGUAAAGUAGGAGUAGCCGAAAUUGAAGGAAAGAUGAGAGAAAAUCGGUUACGGUGGUUUGGACAUGUGCAAAGAAGGCCUACUGACGCUCCGAUUAGAAGAUGCGACUAUGGGACAGAGGUUCAGGGCCGAAGGGGUAGAGGAAGACCUAGGAAAACUUUGGAAGAGACCCUAAGAAAAGACUUAGAGUACUUGGAUCUAACGGAGGACAUGACACAGGACAGAACACAAUGGCGUUCUAAGAUUCAUAUAGCCGAUCCCACUCAGUGACUUGGAUUUUCCAAGUCUCCAACCGAGAAGUUUUCCUCACUCGGGAAAUUAAGGGAACACUACCUCAACCUACAUGCUCCACUCACAAAGCUUCAACAAAAGAAAAAUUCAAAGAACUUAGCGAAGAAGGCUUUUGGUGUAUUUAACACAAUACGUUGAAAUGAAGGAAAGCUUAUUUAUUGAUAUCCCCGAUAAGUUACAAAUAUGUACAUAUACUUGAGUCAAAAUAAACAAACAAGAGGGAGCCUUCACAAAGGUUGCUUAGGAGAAGUCUCAGCAGUCGGUAGAGCCCCAGAAAGAGAAGGCACCGGAGGGGGAUCAUUCGGAGCCUCAGUACUGGACAGAACCCUAGAAGGAGGAGGCAUCAGAGGUUGAUCAUUUGGAGCUUCAUUACGCGGUACAGCCCCAGAAGACGAAGGCAAUAAAUGCCUUUGGAACAAACCCACAAAUCUCUGAUGAUCAAGUAAAACCUGACCAUCAGAUUCCUUCAUCUGGUCAAGCUUCCUCUUCAUGUUUGUAGCAUAGUCAUGUGCGAGCCGGUGCAACUGUUUAUUCUCAUGCUUGAGCCCUCUAAUCUCCUGUUUGAGACUCAUCACUUCAGCCGCCAAUGAUUCAACUUGGCGGGUUCGAGCAAAUAGGCGUUGGGCCAUAUUAGACACAGAACCUGCACACUGAACACUGAAGAGCCAGAGAAUCCUUAACAGCCAACUCAUCAGACCGUUUGGAAAGUAGUCUGUUAUCUUUGGGAGUGAGAAGGUUCCUAGGCCACUACCGCAGCGGUCAUAUCAUUCUUCAUCACGGAAUCCCCAACGGUAAGAGGACCAGUAGGGGAGACGAAGGAUGGGCGCCAUAUGUUGUCUGAAGAAGGCGGGGCUGCCUCUUCAACAAGGUUCAAGUCAAAACGACGGUCGGAGGGGCCAGACAUUUUCAAAGGUGUUGAAGAGAGAAGAGGUCGGACAAAUCAAGAUCUUAGAAGUGCAAGAAUGGAGCUUCUACUGGUGGAUAUUCAAGUGUGCUUUGGAACUUAAUGUCAGCCCCUAUAAAAAAUCUGCACUCGACGAAGCUUCAGAAAUCGAAGAGGCGCCUGCUCAGAAAUCGAAGAGGCGUUUGCUUUCUCAAAAGCUGGGCUGCUCAGAGACCACGAGGGUUUGAUCUCAGAAAUCGAAGAGGCGUUUGCUUUCUCAAAAGCUGGGCUGCUCAAAGACCACGAAGGCCGAUCUCAGAAAUCGAAGAGGCUUGCUUUCUCAAAAGCUGGGCUGCUCAGAGACCACGAGGGCCGAUCUUAGAAAUCGAAGAGGCACCUACUUUUCCAGCCUUGUCAGCACCUGUCACACGCACACUCAGCUUUGCGGAAAUUAUGGGCAUUCUGUCGAAGAUUUCUGGUGAAGUAGAAAGCACAUGAAUCGUACUGUUCAAUCACCCACUUCCCACACGCAACAGUAGCUCAUGGGUACCACAGAUAACUUUGCCAAAGUUCUCUGACAAAGUUGAGACACGUGAAGCUUGCAGCUCCCACUACAUCGCUCUGACCAAGAAGGGUAAAAGAAUAGCAAAGAAACAACACUAACAAAGUUUAGACACAUAAAUUUUGAAGGUCUAGCUACCAUAUUAUUACCCACAAGGGUAAAGGAACAGUACCACUGCUGGAUAAUUGGAAAGUCCCGGUGUGUCAACCUCUGUGCUUCGUGGCAAGGUAGACUAGCAAACAUGCCCAACCUUUACUCACAUUCGAGAAAACACUCCCAACAAGAUUGCUUGCUCCAAAAUCGAAGAGGCACCCGCUCCUCCGAAUCUCGAGAGCCAGACUCCCAACAUGAUUACUUUCUCAAAAAUCGAAGAGACAUCCGCUCUCCGAAUCUCGAGAGCCAGACCUCCAGCAGGAUUGCUUUCUCAAAAAUCGAAAAGGCAUCGUUCUCCGAAUCUCAAGAGCUGGAUCCCUGACAGGAUUGCUUGUUCGAAAACCAAAGAGGCACCACUUUCCCAACUUCAAGAGCUGGAUCUCCUUGGAUAAAGCUUGUCUGUAAUCUUCACACACGCAACAUCAGCUUUUCCAGAUACCACAGACCCACUUUUUCAAAGUGCUCUGACAGAGUUAAAACUUGUGAAGCUGGCAGCUCCCACUACCGUGCUAUGACCAAGCAGGGUAAAGGAAUAGCAUUAUUACUUGAUGUUAGGGAGACUCCUAUAUAUGUCGACCUCCAUCCCCAACGGACAGGCAGACCUGCAAAAAUGCUCAACCCUUCCUCUUAUCUGAGAGGGCACUCCCAACGAAGCCUUUCGAAAUAUUCAGCUUUCUUUCCCCCCGAUAAUACCUCUGUAAACAAGCUAUACUAGAGCAAGAAUAUCUCAUAUCAUCAGGGUUAAAAGCAAGAGUAUCCCAUAUCAUGCUUUUUUCCCGUCUUUUCCUUUGGCCUUGUUCUUACCUGCAAGACAAGGAGAAAGAGAGCAAUCAGUCAGCACUUGGAAUCAAGCUUCCAGCCAGGAACUGACUGCCUGGAACCCCUUACCUGAUUACUUACCUGGCAUUGCUCUCGAGUACUCAUCUUCAACAUCUUAUGCUUCCAGGGAAGAUACCGCAAUCGCCUGAAGAACAGAUAGGGCAAGUGAGAAGGAUACAAGGAAGCAUGUGGAGACAAGCGUAACAGCACACGUGCCGAUACAUCCACUACUCUGUCAAAAGCAAAAGUAUCUCAUAUCAGCAGGGUCGAACGUACUCUAGAUUUGAUGGACUUGUUUUGACCCUCAAAUUCUUCAGUCGGCCUUAUACUCUGGAGGAAACCAGAAAACCCUCCAGCCCAGUUCAAGAAUAAGCCUGUGGAAAGUUACUUCUUCAAAAGCAAAAAGUAUCCCAUAUCAUCUCUUCUCAUUUUUCUUCUCUUUAUCCUUCAUGCUGCAUGCAAGAUAGGGAGAAUGUGAACAAUCAGCCGGAGCUCUGAUUGCUUACCUUGUCUGUCAUCUCUUUCAGCAGAUCCCCUAGCUCGGCGACUUAGGGGACUCCUACUACAUGGUUUGUAUCGCGCUUGACCAAGCCUGAAACUACAAGUAAGCUUCAAGUGACAAUUGAUACAUUACCUUGUGCAUCUCCACCAGUUACAGAUACCACCCCUGGAUGGAGGAAGAGUACUUCCAGAGAAGAUGCCACAUCUACCUAUGAGACAGAUAAGGAAAGUCAAGACGAUACCACACUCCGGUACUUAGAAGUUUCGUGGUUACGAGAUCAUUCUCCCACAAUAUUUCCUAAUGUCAUUUGUACUAAAUCAUUCACUUGUACUCACUAAAGGAGAGCUUGAACCUAUGUACUUGUGUAAACCCUUCACAAUUAAUGAGAACUCCUCUAUUCCGUGGACGUAGCCAAUCUGGGUGAACCACGUACAUCUUGUGUUUGCUUUCCUAUCUCUAUCCAUUUAUAUACUUAUCCACACUAAUGACCGGAGCAAUCUAGCGAAGAUCACAAAAAGUGACCGUUUUCGCUACCUAGGAUCUAUCCUUGCAAGAGAACGGAGAAUUAGAUGGAGAUCUCAACCAUAGAAUACAAGCUGGAUGGAUGAAGUGUAAGAGUGCAUCCGGCGUGUUGUGUGACCGUCGUAGGCCACUGAAGCUCAAGGGAAAAUUUUAUUUUAUAGGACGGCAAUAAGGCCAGCGAUGUUGUAUGGCACAGAAUGUUGGGCGGUGAAGCAUCAACACGUACACAAAAUGGGUGUAGCGGAGAUAAGGAUGCUUCGUGGGAUGUAUGGGCACACGAGAAAGGAUAAGAUUGGGAAUGAGGAUAUCCGAGGUAAAGUAGGAGUAGCCAAAAUUGAAGGAAAUAUGAGAGAAAAUCGGUUCCAGUGGUUUGGACAUGUGCAAAGAAGGCCUACUGACGCUCCGGUUCGAAAAUGUGACUACGGGACAGAGGUUCAGGGCCGAAGGGGUAGAGGAAGACCUAGGAAAACUUUGGAAGAGACCCUAAGAAAAGACUUGAGUACUUGGAUCUAACGGAGGACAUGACACAAAACCGAGCGCAAUGGCGUUCUAGGAUUCAUAUAGCCGACCCCACUUAGUGGGAAAAGGCUUUGUUGUUGUUGUUGUUGUUGUGGUCACUCUUAAAACCUUACCUAAGAGACCCAAAAACAAAAAUAACCGCCGAAAGAGCUAAACAUACAUAUAUAGAAAAACUUAAUUAACUGCAUGCUAAAAUGGAAGUGUAAAAUUGCCAAGAAAGAUAAGAAACUAUUUAAAUACGAAUUCUGGGCAUUACCGCCACAAAAGGCAUGAGCCGAACAGCUAUCAACAAGAACACACUUCCCAUUCAUCCAGAUAGCCCUUGUAUUUCACAUCCAUAUCUGCAUUUUCCAACAAUUCCCACUUAAACAGAAACACAAAAUUCAUCGAAAAAAUGCUAACUUCUUCGAAAUUUGAAUCCAACGUUUCGUCUUAUAACAAAUGCAAUAACAUAGAUUUGUAAUCAAUUCGAUGCCAUAAAGUUCAAGCUCAAAAUUUCAAAUCAGCUCCAAAUCAAAAGCAUUUACAGAUACAUACAUAUAUACAUAUGCGUGUGUGUGUUUAUCUACAUACCCAGGUUCAUGGCGUUGAGAGCUCGGCAGGCGACGGAGGGUGAUGACGGCGACGCCAAUUGGGUGGACGCUGCCCUUCGAAUUGGGUCGCUCCUCGCAAUAAGCUUCCCAUUACUUCCGUUUGAGAGUGACUGUCAGUGUAGAGAGAGGGAUUUUUUUUUUGUGCUUCUGGACCGGACUACACUUGAUGUUUCGGUUAUAUUACCGGGAAAAAGAACUGCCGCGGUGGCUACGCAGGGAAACUUGAAAUUUGAAAGAAGUAUGAAGUAUGGACUUGCCUUCAUUUAUUGAACUGAGAAAUCGAAAUCUGAAAGAGGCGUUUGACGAAGUGAUUGUGAUCUGACUCAAACAUGUGAUGAUGACGAUGCAUCACCACCUUGGUUGUGCCUCUGGAUCAAAAACAUACCAUCACCAUCAAAAUCGUGCAUAUUUUCCUUCAUAGGUUUGUCCCAUACUAGAUUAACCCCUAUUCCCUUAAUUAUUGCAUAAUAAGAAUUAUAGCAUGUCUCUGGCAUUCCAACGGCUAUAUCAACUUUAUCCCCGCUUUGCAAAUUGAACUUAUCGUUGGACAUUUGUCCCUGCCAAAGAAAACAUUUUUCAGGUAAACCAUCGUGCAUUUUUAUAACCCAAUCUUCCUUGCCUAUGCAGGUUUGCAACUCAGUACGCUUGGUAUUAUUUAUAUCAAUACUGCCACGAGGAUGACAAUAUUUAAAGCUCAUAGAAGGGCUUGAGGGACAAGUUAAGUGAUAAAAGCAUAACAGAGUCAACCCUUCAAAAUUACGACCAUCACUUGGGGGGUAUCAAAACUGACUUUAUCACCAUCGUUGACAAACUCGAACCAAUCAGGAACAUAAUUCGCAUCGAGAAAAAUGCCAGCAUAUCCGUAAGAAGUCCAUCCCUAUAUAUACAGUGCAAGUGUCAUAUACAUACAUACAUACAUACAUACAUACAUAUAUGUAAAUGUGCAUUGUGUGUGCAUGUGCGCAAUAGGAAGACAAUUAAAGAGAGAGAUACCUUUAGGACCUUCCUCCUAAAAUCAGCUGUGAGAUUGGUGCACUUUUGCAUUACAAUCCAUUUCAUGGAGUUUAAUGACUUAUCCAAGUCCGGAAUCUCUGUGAGUGCGUGUGAACCAGUUACAUUCAGUUCUCUCAUAUUUGACAUUUUCGAAAAAUUGGGCAUUUUUACCAAACAACAGCAACCAUAAGCAUCCAGAAAUUUCAAAUUUGUUGGUAAAUCAUAGAUUGUAUGAAGCUGGGAACAAUAACUUAACCACAUACCUUCAAGCUUUGAAAGACCAUUGAGGCUGGGUAGGGUGUGUAAGAUACUGCAGUGACUUAACUCCAGAGUUUUAAGAUUUGAAAGACCAUUGAGGCUGGGUAGGGUGUGUAAGUUACUGCUGUGACUUAAUUCCAGAGUUUCAAGAUUUGAAAGACCAUUGAGGCAGGGAAGGGUGUGUAAGUUACCACAGUGAUUUAACCACAUAGUUUUAAGAUUUGAAAGACCAUUGAGGCUGGGUAGGGUGUGUAAGUUACUGCAGUGACUUAACCACAGAGUUUUAAGAUUUGAAAGAUCAUUGAGGCUGGGUAGGAUGUGUAAGUUACUGCAGUGACUUAACCCUAGAGUUUUAAGAUUUGAAAGACCAUUGAGGCUGGGUAGGAUGUGUAAGUUACUGCAGUGACUUAACUCCAGGGUUUUAAGAUUUGAAAGACCAUUGAGGCUAGGUAGGGUGUGUAAGUUACUGCAGUGACUUAACCAUAGAGUUUUAAGAUUUGAAAGACAAUUAAGGCUGGGUAGGGUGUGUAAGUUACUGCAUUGACUUAACCCCAGAGUUUUAAGAUUUGAAAGACCAUUGAGGCUGGGUAGGGUGUGUAAGUUACUGCAGUGACUUAACUCCAUACCUUCAAGCUUUGAAAGACCAUUGAGGCUGGGUAGGGUGUGUAAGUUACUGCAGUGACUUAACUCCAGAGUUUCAAGAUUUGAAAGACCAUUAAGGCUGGGUAGGGUGUGUAAGUUACUGCAGUGACUUAACUCCAGGGUUUUAAGCUUUGAAAGACCAUUGAGGCUGGGUAAGGUGUGUAAGUUACUGCAGUGACUUAACCACAGAGUUUUAAGAUUUGAAAGACCAUUGAGGCUGGGUAGGGUGUGUAAGUUACUGCAUUGACUUAACCCCAGAAUUUUAAGAUUUGAAAGACCAUUGAGGCUGGGUAGGAUGUGUAAGUUACUGCAGUGACUUAACUCCAAAGUUUUAAGCUUUGAAAGACCAUUGAGGCUGGGUAGGGUGUGUAAGUUACUGCAGUGACUUAACUCCAGAGUUUUAAGCUUUGAAAGACCAUUGAGGCUGGGUAGGGAGUGUAAGUUACUGCAGCGACUUAACCCCAGAGUUUUAAGCUUUGAAAGACCAUUGAGGCUGGGUAGGGUGUGUAAGUUACUGCAAUGACUUAACCCCAGAGUUUUAAGAUUUGAAAGACCAUUGAGGCUGGGUAAGGUGUAUAAGUUACUGCAGUGAUUUAACUCCAGAGUUUUAAGUUGUGAAAGACCACUCAGGCCGGGUAGGGUAUGAAGGUUACAGCAGUUACUUAACUGCAAAUUUUCAAGUUUUGAAAGACCACAUAGGCUGGGUAGGGUAUGAAAAUAAUGUUUUGAGAGAUCUAAAUUUCCGUCUAACGAAUUGGGAAACUGCAAAGUAAACUUCGAUUCCACAGACGCUAGAGAUAAAUGAGUGAGAUUCUUCAAUCUUACUAUGGAACAGGGUACUUGUCUUAUGGCUGUGGAAGAUGCUAUAAGUACUCUCAAUGAUGUCAUCUUCCCUAAAUCCUCGGGCAGUUCACUGAAUUGCUGACAUCCAUUAAGAACAAGAGUCUGAACGGAUUUGGACUUGUAGAAAUCCCCAGGAAGAGAAAUAAGAUUCUGGCAGCCUGUGAGGUUCACCAAAGAAAGUUUUUUAAGAUGACAAAUGGAGGGGUGAAUCUCGGACAAACUGUUACACCAUUCCAAUAUCAACUCUUCAAGAUUUAGGAGAUUUGAAAAGUCUGGUGAUUUUUUUAAGUCAAGGCAAUAACUGAGAUUAAGGAUUUUCAAGUUUCCAAGCGACUGUUGCACAAAAUCAAAGGAAAAUUAAAAUUAAUAUCCAAAAACAAAUGGAAACAUAACAUCAUCAUGUGUAAUCGAUUGUACCUUGGAGCCCUCCCAAACUUGUACAAGUCUGCUAUACGCUAUCUCUAAAAUAACCAGUGCUCUUGGUUGAUCAAAGAAGUGAUCUGGUAUGGACUUUAAAGGGCAUCCAAACCAACGCAACCAUAUUAACUCUUUGGAAAGAUGUUUGUAUUCUCCAUUGAGCUGCACGUUGUAGAGCUGCAGCAGUCUCAGUUUCUUCAUAUUGGCAAAUGCUUCUGUACUGAAGCUUCGAAGCCUUUGCAGCCAAUGAUCUCCAGAAAAAUUAAGAGCAAGUCCUUUAACUUCUUCAGUUCCCUGUUAACAAAAGGUUAUAUUCAUGUGUAAGAAACGGAAUAUUUGCAUAUGUUUACAUGUAUGAAUACAUGCAAGUACUAUUGUUGGCUAAUUGAGAUGAUGUUACUUAAUGUAUAAUACACAUCCGUGAGUUAUAUGUGCUUUUCAUGUACGAUGCAUCAAUUCAGAAUUUUAUUGGGACUAUACUUACAAAUUUAUCUCUCAAUACAUCAAUGACCUCUUGCUGGUUCCACAACCUACUCCAUUCUCCAGGGUGACGAGGGGAUUUUUCAGAAAUGAUUAAUUUGGCCAUUUCUUGAAGCAAAUCAUGCAUAUUCAACUUCUUGUGUUCAAUAGUGAUAAGGCAUCGUUCACAGAGGACAUUGAUUCCUAUUGUUGCAAAAAACUUACAUCCAUCUAAUAUUUUUGCGACAUAGUCCUUAUCCCAUCCAAUAAAGAAACAAGAUAUGUCAAGGAAUAUAUCCUUUUGUGUAGGAUCUAGCCUUUCAAAGCUUACUCUUAGUGGUUUCAUUAUUCCUUCAUCAGGAAAUUUUUUCAAUUUCUCCAACUGACUUUUCUACUCUGUUGGUGUUCUUUCAAUCAUAAAAGAAGAACCUAAAACUGCAAGGGCUAGUGGCAAACCACCACAGUAAGAAACAACCUCUUUUGAGAGUUCAAGAUAUCCUUCAUUAGGCCAACUCUUUCCAAAGGCAUGCCAACUAAAGAGCUUCAGAGCUUCUUCUUCAUUCAUUUCCUUAAGUGAAUAUGUCUUGUCCACUUUCAUGUUCACUUGCUUUAGAAAACGUUCAUCUCGUGUCGUUAUGAUAAUUCUACUUCCUGGGCCAAACCAAUCACGAUUUCCAGCUAUUGCAUCUAGUUGUUCCACUUUGUCUACAUUGUCAAUAAUGACAAGCACGCUUCUACGUUGGAGAUGAUUUUUUAUCAGACUGAUACCUCUAUCAACACUGGUUAUCUUAGACUCGGUAUGUUUCAAGAUGUCAGAAACAAGUCUUCCUUGCAAAUCAACCAGAUCACAUUCACUAACGUUGGCAAGGAAACUUUUGAAUUGGAACUUAUGAUGAAGUUGGUUAUAAAUGGCUUUGGCAGCUGUUGUUUUACCCAAUCCACCAAUCCCCCAAAUUCCAACCAUGCGAACAACAUAUGAUCCACCAUUUGAAAGAUAAGUGAUGAUAUCUUGAAUGCGAGUAUAUAUUCCAACUGGGUGCUUGGCCAAAUGUAAAUUUUCUGCGCUCGGAAGCCAUUUUGGGAUAAUCUUGUCAACAAUUUCUCUAAUAAGCUUUGCUUCGCGCCUGAAAAAUUGAAUUGGUAAGCUUAGUAAGUAGGCUCAGUAGGAGCUAUUAGUACUAAUAUAAACAAUUUUCUUUCCUUCUUUCCUUCGUGUGUGUGUGUGUGUGUGUACAUAUAUGUACACAAACUAGCUACUAGCUAGUACGUGAUUUUGUGACCAACUUCAAUAAAAGAAACAAGUUCAUUCAUUGAUAUAUUAAAGUUUGGUGCAUCAAUUAAACUCCAAUUAUGGUUUAGAUUUUAGAGGAAAUUAGAGAAAUGGUCCUUGAACUAUGAUCAAAUUGUGGCCUUGGUUCUUAAAACUAAAAAUUCAAUAAAUCUCCUCCCUGAACUUAACAAAAUAUGAAGCAUUGGUCCCUAAAUGUUAACACCGUAUGAUUUUCUGUUAAUUUGAUUAUGUCGUCUUUGUGGGCUCCAUAUUAUUGUUUACUAGAUGGCACGUGGCUUGAAAAGUCAAAAUAAAAGAAAAUAAAUACAAACAUAGAGAAAGAAAGAGAGAGAAAAAAAAACUUUAAAUUAUAAAAGUUAACUCUCUCUCCCAUCCUCCCUUCCGCCUCACCUCCUCCAAACCCCAACCACACCAUUGUAGCACUUUCCCAACAGCCAAAACAAAAGAAAGUUUCUAAUCCAAUUUUGGAACACGUCUCCGUUUGCAAACGAAUUCACAAUGACAUCCAUUCACGCUGUCUCGACAGGUAAGAUUCAAGAAAUUUGUGGGAUGCGGGUUCGGGGUUCGGGUGAAGGCUGUGGUCCGUGGGCUACAGUUUGGAGUCGGCUGGAGAGUGGGAUUAGGGAUUGGGGGUUGGAAGUGGGAGGUUGACGGGGUGUGAAUCAAAGAUUGAAGGUGAAGGGGUGGCUGCGAGUGUUGGUGGGAUGAGGUAGGUGAAACUAACAUGUAAAGUUGUAAACCCUUUUAACUAAAAUUUAAAGGAAUUGGUUACGAAGGACUAACGCUCCAUAUUUUAUCAAGUUCAAGGGCAAAAUGUAAUGAAUUUUUAGUUUAGGAACCACAGCUACAAUUUUCCUCUAGAUUUUAUAUGAGAGAUUAAGGCGUAUUAAUUAAGCAUGAUAAUUAGAGUAAUACAACUUAAAUACUGAAAGCACAUGAAUGAUUACCUAUUAUCAGUGAUUUGAAGAUGGUAGCCAGACAAAUUUGCAGCUUUUGUAAGAACCUCUCCCCACUGCUUUACCUCUUCUUGUUUAGCUUCACGUUUCUUGUCAUCCUUUUCUUCACCGACGCCUUCUUCGUGCUUUUGAAAUUCUUCGGCUGACUUUGCAGCUUCUGUAAGAGCCUUUAUCCACUGCUCUACCCUUUCUCGUUUUUCUUCACGUUUCUUGUCAUCUUUUUCUUCACUGAUGUCAUUUUUGUGCUUCUGAAAUGCUUGGGCUAAAACUCCGUUCUGCUUCCUGACAUGUGAAGGAUCAAUGUGAUAGAAUAUUGGCAAAACAUGUCGCCCCAGUUUGUCUCUGCACUCCAUGAUCUUCACCAGCUCGUUAAGACACCAACUCGAAUCCGCAUACCUCUCUGAGAAGACAAUGAUAGAGGUCUUCGAUUCUUCGAUUGCCUGGAGCAGUUCUUUUGGUAUUUCUUCCCCUCUUUUGAGAUCGUCCUCAUCAAUAUAAGCCUGGUAUCCCCUGUCUGUUAAUGCCGCGUGGAGGUGGCCCGUGAAGCCAUUGCGUGUGUCUACACCGCUAAAGCUCAAGAACACGUCGUAAUUCCAAAGUUUUGACUUGGAGGAGGAUGAAGAGGAGGCUUCGUGGGUUGUCAUGGCGGUAUCCACCGUUAUGGCACUGCAGUGGUUCAGAUCACGACUGAAGAAUGGUAGUAGUUGUGUUCGUGCAUUCAAACGGAUGAUCCUGAAAUACCUAAACGCAAGUCAAGCUCCUUCAGUCAACAAGAACAAAGUUUAUAAUAUAAUAAUUUUGGCGUAUGGACUUGAGAAACGACAUAGUGUUGGCCGGAAGGUGCAGAAAAAGAGAGAGGAAAAAAGAAAAGAAAGGAACGAAAGGACAAAGACCAUCCAAAAGAUUCUUGGCUGUGAUUACAGCUAUUCAUAGGAGAAACAACGGACAUAUUUUCAUAGGAGAAACAACCUUCCCAUCUUCAUAUAUAAUGCAUUUCAACGGACAUAUUUUAAUAGGAGAAACAACUUUAGUUUGUACUAGAAAUUUUUACCCGCACGUUGAUGCGGCAUUUGAAAUUGUAUGAAAGAUUAUCUUUGAAAUAUAUAAUAGAUUGUGUGAUUGAAGAUUAAUACUAUUUACAUUGAAAACGUUGGAAAAAGUUUUACAUAUAAAAGAUUUUAUGAUACAAUCCACGUAUAAAAGAUGGUAAAUUUUGUUCUAUCUACAUGCAUUAUGUUAUGGAAUGAUAUAUAUAUAUAUAUAACUAAGUUCCAGAAUAUGUAAACUUCAUAACUUGGAAAUUUUUUGACAAAUUAAUCAGAUUCAACUGUGGGUUAGCAAGGUCGCCUAUAAAGUUUGAAGUCGUAGAAGCAUAAAGGACAAAUAACAAAUGAGUUUUGAGAAAUUAUUCCACAAAUGUCAUUCUGCAAAAUGUAUUAAAGACGAUUGGUAUAAGAUUAGCAAUCAUGAGUAGUGUAACAACAUCAACAAAAUAACCAUAAACCAUAACAUAAUUCAAAUUUUGUUUGCAAAAACAAAAGAAAAAGAAAAGAGACUUACAAUAAUUCAACCUUCAAUCUUGAAGUCCAGCUCAAAGAGCCAAACCUAAAUGCAAGCUUUCUGAAAUUUCCCAAACAAUACAGAUAAAACGGUAACACCCUAGUCAGAAAUGAACCAAGGUGCGAGCUUUCUAAGAAACCCAGAUGACAAAAUCAACAAAAUAGAAUGGAAAAAUGACUUACACUUUGAAGGCAUGCUCGAACCUUGAUCUAAAAUUGGUGGUGGGUCGAUUGUUGGUCACCAACUCUAAAUGAAGAAUUCAUCAGAACCUAGAAAUUUAAAACAAAGAAUUUUCCAAAAUCAACAUUUACUAAAAACCAGUUGCUUGGUUAUCAUGCAUGAUGGCUUGACAAAGACUGAAUUAAGGAAUGCAAACUUUACUUUCAUGAUUAUUUUUAAUGACAGCUAAAAGGUCAGAUCCAAAUGAAAAUAAAAGUUAGGACUUCACAAAACCAAUUAAAAAUCUAAUUCUAAAGUUAUAAGCACCCACAAAAUGAUUCCAGAUAAAGUUUUACACUCAAGGUCAAACCCAAAUGAAAUUAAAAGUUAGGACUUCACAAAACCAAUUGAAAAUCUGAUUCCAAAGUUCCAAACACCCACCAAAUGAUUCCAGAUAAAGUUUAAACUCAAAAACCCAAUAGAAACAAAAGCACUGGUAUAAAUUAACUGUAUCUAAUUGAAGAAACUAAAACAAAAGUAAAGCAAAGUAUAUACCUCAAAAUGUCAAGCAACUAAGUUCUUCCUCCGACGACCCAAAACUCUGAAAAUUCCACACAAAAAAAAAGGCAAAUCCAUUAGCAAUUCAUAGCUUUCAAAAUUAGCAAAAACUUGGGCAACAAUAAAGAUGUGUCUAGAACCAUCAAUCUUUCUCCUUAUGCAUUUGAAAAGAUAUGUUAUAAGCAGUUUAUGUAGUCAUUCUGAACAUGUUGCAUAUAAAUUCCUUUUCUACAGGGUUCAAAAAAAUAUGGCAGUUUAUGGAAUCUGUUGAAUGACAUAGUUGAAAGAUUUAAAAUUGAUACAUUCAAUUUUUAUGUGUAAAACUAUAACAUAUAGCUAAAGCUAUUGGGUCCAUAUCAGUCAUGUCGUAAUUGAAUGUUUAUCGAUGUAAAUAGAUGAUUUCAGUCAUGGGAUAACAUGUUUCUUGAUAGUAUACGCUGAAGUUUGGUCUAAGUUGGAUAUAAAUCGACCAAAAUCUUAAUAAGAGACUUUUUUAACUUUUAACCAAAAAAUGAGCACCACAAUACUACACUUAUAAGUUUUAUCAUGCACAAAAUACACAGCACUGAUUGCCACUUUUAGAGCAAGAACAAUACUUUACCAAAAGAAAACAACAAAACACCCAAAACCCAGAAACAUAAACACACUUAGGACUCAAACUCCUCAAAAACAUGAGAAAGAGAGAGAGUGUGUGAGGAGAAAGAAUAAAAAAAAAAAUUAUUUUUCACACAAACUCAAAAUUGCUUAUAAAAUUACAAAUGAAUGCAAAUCCAAAAUUGCCCUAAAUUAAAUCUGAUUAGUUAAAUGUUUGUUGCCCCAGAAAUUUCGUUACACCUCACAAAACUUGCUUUGAAGUUGAUAUUUUGGUCAAUCCAGGGGAAAAGGAGUUAUUGGUUUUGGAGCAGUUGUCAUGGAGAAUACCAUCUCCCUGUAGAAUGAUCUAAAAAAGGACUUACAGCUUAUGGUGGCCAUAAUAAUUUAGGAGGCCCUUCUCUCCAAAUUUUCUCAAUAACUUUCCUUUUCGUAGCUGGUAAGAUUGCAACUCCGAGAAUUGCUUUGAAGAGAUAUACACAAACAAAAUACCAAAACUAAGCUAUUGGAAGAAAUUUAGAAAACACAAGCACCAUUACAACUCAGAGUUAAAAGUCAACAGAAACCAAAUGGUACAAGUUGAAAAAAUAUAUGGUCAUGAAUCGAGAACUUCAUCAAACUAACAGCAAUAAAAUCUCAUAUAAUCCGUCAAAAACCAAAAAAGAGAUUCAAGACCUUGUAACGUCGAGGCCUCGUACAGUUGUAGUAAUAAUUUAUGGUUGAUGCACCUGUUGCUCAAUCAAAUCCUUCGUCUGGCUAAAAAAAUAAAAAUCUAUAAAUACAUUCACGUCCAAUUUAUGAGAAAUCAUGGGAAAGAAAAUGUGAAUAUGAAGAACUUAACAAAAAGAAAAAGAAAACUUCUUAUAGUGUGCUAAGAACAUCCUCCUACUCCUAGCAAAUUUUUUAUGGCAUUAUCCACUUCUCAAUUCAUAAUUCAACCAGUAACUCAAAGUCUAUAGUGUAUGAAAAAGUGAUAUCUUAGUUGAUCACGAUGAUAAUCAAAAAGGAAGAAACAACCAAACAAAAUUAUUAGGUCUGGGAUAUACCUUUAUCUGAAACACCACAAUCAUCAAAGUGAAACACAAACAAUCCAAAAAUUUGUGGAAAAUACCAAUAAAUGCUCAACUAAAAACGAAAGAAAAAGUAGAAUAAGUUUACCUGUUCCUCCCCUAAUUAAACUGCAAUACAAUUCACCACUGAUAUUCUCGUCAUCCUCUUCAGCCUGAAAAAUUUAGUAGAAAAUAAUGGUAAGAAUCUAGCAGUAUUUCCAUUGUUCAAAACCCAAAUUCCAGAAAUCAUGAAAAAUGGAAACUUUAUAUGGAAAUUGAACCCCCAAAAUCACAAAAAGGAAAAUUGAACAGAAAAUAAAUUUGCAAAUCCAAAAUCACAAAAACGAAAUUGAAACACCCACACUGAGAAAGCUGUAAAACUCACAAGGAAACGCUAGCUUUUCUGGGUAAAAAAAAUUGUUCGAAUCGAAUUGAAGAACCGAGGAAAAUUCUACAGGUUCAGUGGUUUUUCCAGCAAGAAAGCACCUUGUUUGUAAGUCGUGAGAGGUUGGAGAGCGAGAGAAGCCGAUUUGGGAACCAAAGAAAGCGAGGUUGGAGACCGAAAGAGGCUGCGAAUUGCGAGAGAGAAAAACGAAAAGGAAAGGAAAAGCGGAGAAGAAGUCACGAUUAUCGACGCGUGGGUAGGAUUCCACUGUGAGAGGAUUGCAUUCUUUUAAGAGUGUUUCCUUAUUACAAUUUUAUGCUACUAGAUCCAUCCUAUUGUUCCAUUUCUAAACUUUAUAUUAUAAUAUCACCCAUCGUAAAAAAUUAAAAUCCUAUUAAUCCACCCCAAUUAUUUCUAAAAUAACCUCAAAUAUCUAAAUCCAUUUUUAUUUCACCCCAAUUGCAUGAUCAGGCCUCGAUUUGAAGCUAGUUGACGUUGGCCCAAAUGCCAAAUUGUUUGAAUUUCCAAUAAACAUAUUAUAAUUAUAAAAGGAUGGUGAAGAUAUGAAUCAAAUUUGAAAGAGAGAACAUUACUUGGUGAAGGAGGUGAUAGGUGAUGUUGGUAUGGGUUAUGCAGUCACCAUUGGACAUGAGAGGCUUUCUCCUCAAAAUUCCUUCUACAUCUACAGCAUGCAAAUCGAAUGAUGAUAGGUUUAUCGAAGCCCUAAUACCAACUUUAUGACAAAUCUGAACGGACCAAUAAACAACCAUGGAACGAUCUUGAGACGCGACCACUGCGCGUGAGACUCAACCAGGAAUAACUAGACCAUCAGCCGCCGUCGUCAAUAUUGUAGAGGUAGAUGGUGGGUCCGAGAACUCGAUUUUCUUGGAGCAGUUUGAGAUUGACGAAGGGACCUGACGAGGGGUUGGGGUUGUUGGUGACCGAGAGUAUAUGGGUUUGACGAUGGUGGUGGUGGUGGUGGUGGUUUGCAAUCUCUCUCUUUCCUUUUCUUGGGGUUGGACAUUCGGGUGACAGCCGCCUUGGGAUCGGAUGUCAAUGGGGACGUGCUUGAGAGCCAUGAUGACGACGCGAGCGUGGGUGGGGAGAAUUUUCCAGGUCCUUUGAUGUAAUUUUACAAAAGGGUAAAAAUGGAAGUAAAAAAAUUAUAAACUAGUGGGGUGGGAAGAUAAGACAACGGGGUUGUUGUGGUCUAUUUUUAUCUGAUAAAGCAAUAGGGCCGGCGGCAGGGGGAGAGAGAAAAGAGAGAUGUGUGUUUGUAGAAUUGUAGGGGAAUGUGUGUUGUUAUCUCUCAUACAUUGUGCCUUUAUUUAUAGUAGUAAAAGGAGAGAAGAUAUUCCUUCUUCUCCAAGUAAUAUAAGUUGUAAUAGGAAAGAAUAACUAGAAUCAAAUCUAAUAUAGGAUUUACACAAUUUACAAGUUGUUAUCCCUCCUACAUUGUGCCUUCUUCUUCAUAAGAGUUUGAAAGAAGUAUGAAAUAUUGACUUGUUGAUGAUGAAGUUGAUAGUGAAAUGUAGUAACGGUUAAUUUAACAGAAUUUUUAACGGAUGUAUGAAAUUAAAAAAUAAUAUAAGUAAAUGUAUGAAAUUAAAAUGUUUUAAAGAAAUUGUAUGAAGUUGCAAUUGACCCCAAAUACGAGAGAUAAAACAUAAUUUACACAAAAAACAAAGAUCAGAUUUGUAAAAAUGCACCACAUAGUAGUUAAAACAUCCGGACGUAAAUGAAUGGUUUGAGAUACCAUCAUAGUAGCAUCUUUCAGUGUAAGUUUUUCUCAUAUCGGAUCACUUACCAGUAGAAAAGUGUAAUACCGUGUCGGGAAAGGAAGUCAAUGAUGAAAAGAGAGCAAUUUAGCUUUAAAAAUAAGGAAAACUAAUGAAAAGAGUUUGAAAACUUUGCGUUUAAUGAUAAGGACAAAAUAAAAGGAUAAAGUGAAUAGUACUAUGAUUGAUUUUUUAGUGUAAAAAUAUGGUUUUUCGUUAAAGUUUCCUUAAAAAUAUUGCGUCCUCCGUAUGAUGUUUGCAACAUGUGUCGCCAGAGUAUCAACUUGAAGCUCUCCACAUCUCCGUCGUCAAAUGUUUUGUAAGCAGCAUUGUUUAAGUUCUCUCUGUCAGGGAAACUGCAGAUGGGUUUGAUGAAGAAGAAUGGAAAAUAUAAUUUUUAGAAAAUGAGAAAGAAAAUUAUAAAACUUCAUUAAUGAAAUUUCUUUAUCAACAAAAAAAGAUGAAAAUAUAUCUUUGUCUUCUAUCACAACAAAAAAGUUAAGGACAGUAACGUAAUUUUACAAGAUAAAAUUUUACUUUUUUUUUAAAUCUCACAUAUAUGUAAGUUUAUCAUCUUUAAUUUAAAAAAUAUAAAAAAACCUCUCUUCCACGUUCUCUCUCACUCUCUUCCUCUCCUUCAAAUUUAACAACCAAAGUAAAAAAAUUCAUACGCUUUGUGUGUGGACAUAUACUAGUUGAAAUUUAAAAAAGGAGACUUAAAAAGAGAGAUUUAAUAUUUUCUAGGUUGUCUUGGGAGUUGGCAAUGACAGUAAGAGAGGAGAAUCUCGGGUUCCACUGGAAAGGAGGAAAUUUUUCAAAGCGAGAAGGUAGGGGUUUUUUCACUUGCUCUCUUGGUCUUUGGGCUUUUGGAUUGGAUUGGGACAAUUCCAAUUACCCCAUCCCAACUUACGACUUUUUAUCGGUCUAUAUUGGCUAAAGUGAACGUACUAAAAUAGAAAUUUGAGAACUUGAAUUAAGGUCUUGAAUUAGCGAAUGAAUGUCCAGUAAGAAUGUCAUGUAGUCGGACUUGUAAGGCUACCCUUAAUAAGUAGUCACGUUUGUCAAAACUGGUCUAUCUGAUUAUAAUUGUAACCAUAUUAUGUGUGACACAUGAUCAAACUUGAAGGGUUGUCCAAUAAGAAGUUGUCAUGUUGUCAAGCGUAGGGCCAAAGGUGAGCACUUUCCUACCAAAGUGUUUUCUUUUUCCCCUUUUCAAGGGAUUUGUGUCACCAUUAGAUAGGAGAUUCAAACACAAGACCUUGAAUUUAGAGGCAAACGCUUUAAAAAAGCUUCUCUGAUUCAUCUCCUCUGACUUUGACGGGUUCCACUUCGGAUUCUGCAUUGACAGGAAACCGAAGCCAAAGAUAAAGAUCCGUUCUGAUAUACAGAAAGUAAGAUGAUUAUCAACUGUAGGUCUAGUAGAGGCUGUAAUUGUUCUGUCACUUUAUAGUAAGGAAUCUUGAGCAUAAUUAACGAACCUGAUCCUUGUCCACCAAAACUGCCGUACACCUUCAGCAAAAUCAUUCCGCAAAUACAAUCUUAUAGCAAUGCGAUAUUCAGUUUCAUCACACCAGUUAGUAUUGGUCAAGUAAAGCACAUGUUACUUUCUGAAAAUUUGAAAUACUACAACGCAAAACCUAUCAAAAAGAUGCAACCAUGUGAUGCAAGAAACGAAAAGGUAGAAAGUCCAGACUCACUGUGGAUAAUUGAUUGUCAUUUUUCCCAAGCGCAGAUGCAAUUUUAGCGAAUUAAUUUUGUCCCAAAGAAAGUGAGAACGGAGCUCCCUUUCCAAGACAUUAAAGAGCUUCAUUAGCCCACUCACCACUGCAAUAGAAACAAUUUGAUACAAAAUACUUGACAGCAACCAUACAAGCCGCUCAAUAGACAAAUGACAUUGACAAACAUACCAGUAGCAUCUGAACCUGCUGCUGCUUUUUAAGUUCAUCAAUUGUCUCAAGAACCGACUUAUUUGCACCAAACGCUGAAGUUAUUUGAUGUAAAAGACUUGAGUUGCGCUUCAGAAUCUGGGUUGCUGGUGAAUUUCGCCGCAGUUGUUUCAAUGUCCCCAUGGGGAUCCUAAGAACCGUAUCAACAAUGGAGUAUCUUUUAUCUCAAGAACGCAUUGGACAAUGGAGCAUCAGAAAUUGCGUCUGAGGAUAGAAAAGGCAUACCUGCAGAUCCUCCUCCCGUACUCCUUGCCGCUACAUGUGAAAACCCAUCUGGCAUAGCAAGAACAGUCCUCUGAAAUGUAUCCAUACAAAGUUAGACGCACAAAAUUUGAAAAGCCAUUGCAAUGUAAUUGACAACAUUGACAAUCUCUGUCUGACAGGGCAAAAUACCUUUGUAAUGAUCCGGUAGUGACCGUGACCUGAUAGGUCAACACCAAAGACCAUUGUUAUGCGAUCAAUGAAGCUUAUAAAGGGCUUCUUGUACUCAGAGAUUUUGCAUAUUAGAGAAUACUCAGCAGUGGAUACCUGAACGCAGCACAAAUAUCAUAUCGUUAGCCUCUCAAUAUUAAGAAAACUACAAAUGGUAGCUUAGAAAAGAAAUGAAUCCUCUCCAACCAAAUACAAAUCAUAUUACCCCAAGUUCAAGCAAAAUCAAGACUAAACAAAUGAUUAGAUGUUGUAGGUUGCCCGAGAAUGUCAACCAUGAAAUUACAAAAGAAAAAAAUAACUGUAUGUAUUGAACAUUAAUAAAUACAUGCUGAAAGCACAAUCUCAGCCGCAAUUUAUGACAUUUAUACGAGAUUGAAUCGCUAAAGCAAUUGAAGAAAUUGCAGAGCUCAUAUAAGUGAUUUUCACUUUGAAUUUUUAGGCUUAUCAACAAAUACAUCAUUACGAUUCUAAUGCAUGAAUUUUGUUAAAAGGGGCUUGCUUGCUUGUAUUAAGGCUUAAUCAUCAAUGAAUUUGCAAGAAGCAAUCGAUUUGCUAGUUGUAAAUCUAUUCACUAAUUACCAAAAUUACAUCUAAACGGUAGUGAAGGAAGUCAUCUUAUAUUAUCUGGAUUUUAGAAAACUGUGUAAGGUUAUAAGUCUGUUAUUAUAUAUAGUUAAAAGGGACACAAUUAGACCUCAAUCAUAUUUGGUGGUUGGUUUUUGGCCAUGAUCUGCUUCACAUCACCCCCUGCAAACAAAAAUGAACACUAAGAGAAACAAUAAACAAAUGACAUGAAACAACACGAACAUCAAAGACCAACAAUCUAUCACGUAAGUACCUAAACAAGAAACAACUUUAGUUCAAAGCAAAGCGUAAUGUAGAAACCUUCGGCACAAGAGGUGUGUUUUUGUCCUUUUGAAUUUCGGCAACAACCAUUUUAAUGUCCUUUCCUGCAAUUACCAUGAUUGGUCACUCUCAAAACCUUACCUAAGAGACCCAAAAACAAAAAUAACCGCCGAAAAAUUUAUUUAACUACAUGCUAAAAUGGAAGUGUAAUAUUGCCAAGAAAGAUAAGAAACUAUUCAAAUACAGAUUCUGGGCUUACCGCACAAAAGGCACGAGCCUAGCGGCUACCAAAAAGAACACACUUCACAUUUGGGUGAGAUUCCCAUUCAUCCAGAUAGCUCUUGUAUUUCACAUCCAUAUCUGCAUUUUCCAACAAUUCCCACUUAAACAGAAAUACAAAAUUCUUUGAAAAAAAGCUAACUUCUUCGAAAUGCGAAUCCAACGUUUCGUCUUAUAACAAAUGCAAUAACAUAGAUUUGUAAUCAAUACGAUGCCAUAAAGUUCAAGCUCCAAAAUUCAAAUCAGCUCCAAAUCAAAAGCAUUUACAGAUAUAUACAUAUAUACAUGUGUGUGUGUGUGUGUGUGUGUGUUUAUCUACAUACCUAGGUUCAUGGCGUUGAGAGCUUGGGGGCCGACCGAGGGUGAUGACGGCGACGCCAUUUGGGUGGACGCUGCCCUUGACGAACGCGUCGGCGGAGGCCAUGAUCCCGAAGGGGCGGAGGAGGCGAGGGGAUUUGGAUGGUUGGAAAAGAGAAAGCUUCGAAUUUGGAUUGAGGAAGAAGAAAGCGGACGACGAUUUGCUCAGAAUUUAGGUCGCUCCUCCCAAUAAGCUUCCCAUUACUUCCGGUCGGGAGUGACUGCAUCAGUGUAGAGAGAUAAAGAUAUUUUUGGUGCUUCUGGGCCGGACUACCCUUGAUGUUUCGGUUAAAUAACCGGGAAAAACAACUGCCGCAGGGAAAUUUGAAAGAGGCGUUUGACGAACUGAUUGUGAUCUGACUCAAACAUGUGAUGAUGACGAUGCAUCACCACCUUGAUUGUGUCUCUGGAUGAAAAACCUACCAUCAAGAUCAAAAUCGUGCAUAUUUUCCUUCAUAGGUUUGUCCCAUACUAGAUUAACCCCUAUUCCCUUAGCUUUCGCAUAAUUAAAUGCAUUAGUUUUCGCAUAAUUAAAUGCACCGCCUUUCAUUGGUAUUUCAAAAGUUAUAUCAACUUUAUCCCCGCUUUGCAAAUUGAGCUUAUCGUUUGAUAUUUGACCUUGCCAAAGAUAACAGCUUUCAAAUACAAUAUCGCGCAUUUUUGUAACCCAAUCUUCCUUGCCUAUGCAAGUCUGUAACUCAGUACGCUUGGUAUUAUUUAUAUCAAUACUAGCACGAGGAUGACCAUCUUUACCUCUCAUAUAAGGUCUUGGCCGAUCAAGAUAAGAGCGGUAAAAGCAUAACAGAGUUAGCCCUUCAAAACUACGACCAUCACCCGGGGGAAUAUCAAAGCUAACUUCAUUACCAUCAUUGACAAACUCGAACCAAUCAGGAACAUAAUUCCCAUUGAGAAAAAUGCCACCAUAUCCGCAAGAAGUCCAUCCCUAUAUAUAUAUUGCAAGUGUCAUAACUAUAUACAUACAUGUACAUGUGUGUUGUGUGUGUGCAUGUGCGCAAUAGGAAGACAAUUAAAGAGAGAGAGAUACCUUUAGGACGUUCCUCCUUAAAUCAGCCGUGAGUUUGGUGCACUUACUCAUAUCAAUCCAUGUCAUGGAGUUUAAUGACUUAUCCAAGUCUGGAACCUCAGUGAGUUCGUGUGAAUCACAUACAUUCAGUUCCCUCAUAUUUGACAUUUUCGAAAAAUUGGGCAUUGUUACCAAACGAUAGCAACUAGAUGCAUCCAGAAAUUUCAAAUUUGUUGGUAAAUCAUAGAUUGUAUGAAGCUGGGAGCAAUAACUUAACCACAAACUUUCAAGUUUUGAAAGACCACUGAGGCUGGGUAGGGUAUGAAAAUAAUUGACUGAGAGAUCUAAAUUUCUUAAAGAGUCUAAGCCGUGUAACGAAUCGGGAAAUUGCAAAGGAAACUUCGAUCCCACAAAAUUAUUGAGAGAUAAAUGAGUGAGAUUCUUCAAUCUUACUGUGGAACGCGGUACUUGUCUUAUGGCUGUAGUAGAUGCUUUAAGUACUCUCAAUGAUAUCAUCUUCCCUAAACCCUCGGGCAAUUCACUGAAUUGCCAACAAAAAUCAAGAACAAGAGUCUGAACGGAUUUGGACCUGUAGAAAUCCCCAGGAAGAGAAAUAAGAUUCUUGCAGCGUGUGAGGUUCACCAAAGAAAGUUUUUUAAGAUGACCAAUGGAGGGGUGAAUAUCGGACAAACUCCUACACCUUUCCAAUAUCAACUCUUCAAGAUUUGGGAGAUUUGAAAAGUCUGGUGAUUUUUUUAAGUCAGAGCAACUUCCAAGAUUAAGGACCUUCAAGUUUUCAAGUGACUGUUGCACAAAAUCAAAGAAAAAUUAAAAUUAAUAUCCAAAAGGACUAUCUCAGAAAAAAAGAAGGAAAUCCAAAAAACAAAUACAAACAUAACAUCAUCAUGUGUAAUCGAUUGUACCUUGGAGCCCUCCCAAACUUGUACCAGGUCGCUAGAUGUUAUCUCUAAAAUAACUAGUCUUGGUUGAUCAAAGAAGUCAUCUGGUAUGGACUUUAAAGGGCAUCUUUCCCAACACAACCAUAUUAACUCCUUGGGGAGAUGUUUGUAUUCUCCAUUGAGCUGCACGUUGUAGAGCUUGAGCAGUCUCAGUUUCUUCAUAUUGGCAAAUGCUUCUGUACUGAACCCAGGCAUGUUAGACCUUGGAGGCCAAGGAGGAGGGAUACCUAGAGCAAGUCCUUCAACUUCUUCAGUUCCCUGUUAACAAAAGGUUAUAUUCAUGUGUAAGAAACGGAUUAUUUGCAUACGUUUACAUGUAUGAAUACAAGCAAGUACUAUUGUUGGCUAAUUGAGAUGAAUGUUAAUGUAUAAUACACAUCCGUGAGUUAUAUGUGCUUUUCAUGUACAAUGCAUUAAUUCAGAAUUUUAUUGGGAAUGUACUUACAGAUUUAUCUCUCAAUACUUUAAUGACCUCUUGCCGGUUCCACAACCUACUCCACUCUCCAGGCUGACGAGGGGAUUUUUCAGAAAUGAUUAAUUUGGCCAUUUCUCGAAGCAAAUCAUGCAUAUUCAACACGUUGUCUUCAACAGUUAUAAGGCAUCGUUCACGGAGGUCACUGAUUCCUAUUGUUGCAAAAAAGUUACAUCCAUCUAAUAUUUUUGCGACAUAGUCCUUAUCCCAUCCAAUAAAGAAACAAGAAAUGUCAAGGAAUAUAUCCUUUUGUGUAGGAUCUAGCCUUUCAAAGCUUACUCUUAGCGGUUUCAUUAUUCCUUUAUCAGGAAAUUUUUUCAAUUUCUCCAACUGACUUUUCCACUCUAUUGGGGUUCUUUCAAUCAUAGAAGAACCUAAAACUUCAAGGGCUAUUGGCAAACCACCACAGUAAGAAACAACCUCUUUUGAGAGUUCAAGAUAUCCUUCAUUAGGCCAACUCUUUCCAAAGGCAUGCCAACUAAAGAGCUUCAGAGCUUCUUCUUCAUUCAUUUCCUUAAGCGGAUAUGUCUUGUCCACUUUCAUGUUCACUUGCUUUAGUAAACAUUCAUCUCGUGUCGUUAUGAUAAUUCUACUUCCUGGACCAAACCAAUCACGAUUUCCAGCUAUGGCAUUUAGUUGUUCCACUUUGUCUACAUUGUCAAUAAUGACAAGUACGCUUCUACGUUGGAGAUGAUUUUUUAGCAAACUGAUACCUCCAUCAACACUGGUUAUCUUAGACUCAGUCUGUUUCAAGAUGUCAGAAACAAGCUUUCCUUGCAAAUCAACCAAAUCAUAUUCACUAACGUUGGCAAGGAAACUUUUGAAUUGGAACUUAUGAUGAAUUUGGUUAUAAAUGGCUUUGGCAGCUGUUGUUUUACCUAAUCCACCCAUCCCCCAAAUUCCAACCAUGACAACGUCAUUUGAUCCACCACCUGAAAGAUGAUUGAUAAUAUCUUGAACGCGAGAAUUGAUUCCAACCGGGUGCUUGGCCACAUUUAAUUCGUUUGCACCCGGAAGCCAUUCCGUAAUGAUCUUGCCAACAAUUUCUCUAAUAAGCUUUGCUUCGCGCCUAGAUGUUGAAUUUGUAAGCAUUAGCGGGACUCAAUGAACAGUAGGAGCUAUUAGUACAUAGACAAUUUUCUUUCCUUCAUACAUAUUCUAACUAGCUACUAGCUAGCAUGUGAUUUUUUUACCAACUUGAUAAAAGAAAGAAAUUCAUUCAUUAAUUAAACUCCAAUUACGGUUUAGGUUUUAUAUGAGAGGUUAAGGUGUAUUAAUUAAGCAUGUUAAUUAUAUGAGAGAUUAAGUCAUUCACUAAAAUGUGUCAAAUCUUUAAAAGCAGGUGAAUGAUUACCCAUUGUCAAUGAUUUGAAGAUGUUGGCCAGACAAAUUUGCAGCUUCUGUAAGAGCCUUUCUCCAUUGCUUUACCCUUUCUUGUUUAGCUUCACGUUCCUUGUCAUCUUUUUCUUCACGAAUGCCCUCUUCGUGCUUCUGAAAUGCUUGAGCUAAAUCUCCGUUCUGCUUCCUAACAUGUGAAGGAUCAACAUGAUAGAAUAUUGGCAAAACACGUCGCCCCAGUUUGUAUCUGCACUUCAUGAUCUUCACCAGCUCGUCAAGACACCAACUCGAGUUCGCAUAACUCUUUGAGAAGACAAUGAUAGAGAUCCUCGCCUCUUCAAUUGCCCGGAACAGUUCCUCUUUUAUUUCUUCCCCUCUUUCUAGAUCGUCCUCAUCGAUAUAAGCCUGGUAUCCCCUCUCUGUUAAUGCCGCAUGGAGGUGGCCCGUGAAGCCAUUGCGUGUGUCCACACCGCUGAAGCUCAAGAACACGUCGUAAUUCCAAAGUUUUGACUUGGAGGAGGAUGACGAGGAGGCUUCGUGGGUUGUCAUGGGGGUAUCCACCGUUAUGGCACUGCAGUGGUUCAGAUCACGACUGAAUUAAGGAAUGCACAACUUUACUUUUAUGAUUAUUUUCAAUGACAGCUAAAGGUCAGAUCCAAAUGAAAAUAAAAGUUAGGACUUCACAAAACCAAUAAAAAAAUAUAAUUCCCAAGUUACAAAUACCCACCAAAUGAUUCCAGAUAAAGUUUUAAACUCAAGGUCCGGCCCAAAUGAAAUUAAAAGUUAGGACUUCACAAAACCAAUUGAAACAGAAACCAAAUGGUAGAAGUUGAAAAAAAUAUAUGGUCAUGAAUCGAGAACUUCAUCAAACUAAUAGCAAUAAAAUCUCAUAUAAUAUGUCAAAAACCAAAAAAGAGAAAGAGGUAAUUUCAAGACCUUGUAACGCCGAGGCCUCGUACAGUUGUAGUAAUAAUAUAUGGUUGAUGCACCUGUUGCUCAAUCAAAUCCUUUGUCUGGCUAAAAAAAUAAAAUCUAUAAAUACAUUCACGUCCAAUUUAUGAGAAAUCAUGGGAAAGCAAAUGCACUGAGAACGGAAUCAUGAAUAUGUAGAACUUGCCAAAAAGAAAAAGAAAACUUUUUAUAGUGUGCCAAGAACAUCCUCCUACUCCUAGCAAUUUUUUAUGGCAUUAUCCACUUUUCAAUUCAUAAUUCAACCAGCAACUCAAAGUCUAUAGUGUAUGAAAAGGUGAUAUCUUAGUUGAUCACGAUGAUAAUUAAGUAGAUUAAAUGACGACCCAUAAAGCAUACAAAUUCAGAAAAGAAAAGGUACGAAACUGCCAUAAGAAAACGCAGAAUAUAUAAACCGGAAAUCAAAAGAAGAGAAGCGAAAAAGGAAGAAAAAAAAAACCAAACAAAAUUAUUAGGUUUGGGAUAUACCUUUAUCUGAAACGCCACAAUCAUCAAAGUCAAACAUAAACAAUCCAAAAAUUUGUGGAAAAUACCAGUAAAUGCUCAACUAAAAACGAAAGAAAAUGUAGAAUAAGUUUACCUGUUCUCCCCCUAAUUAAACUGGAAUAACAUUCACCACUAAUAUUCUCGUCGUCAUCCUCUUCAGCCUGAAAAAUUUAGUAGAAAUACUCAAUGAAGACGCUUAAUGUAGACAGUAAUAUUAGCAAUGGAGGAAUUGAAUUGAUAACCAAAACUGCAAGACCAAAUGACUAUUUAGGUUCAAAACAGAAACUCGUCUGCUAGAUGUCUCAUCUUUAGGCAGUGCCUUGUUCUUGUUUUUUUUUCUUUUUUUUUUGUUGUUGCAUGUCUUGUGAAGUUCAUGUAAAUCAACAAAAUUGAUACUUUUGACACAACCAACAAUGGAGAGGUAAAAAGUUAAAAACAUUAGGAAUGUCUUCAUUUUUGUAAUGGAUUUUGCAAGUCAGAAAUUCUGUUCGAGAAUUUGCAACCCAGAAAGUCCGCCAGAAAUUAUUAACAAUCACAGAUAAGCACCGAAUGAAGGCCAAUCUAAUAAGCCAAAAUAUGUAGGGCACUAAAGAAAUUACCCAGUAACAAUAAUAGAUAAGCACAUAUGAAACUAAAGAAAUUUUUCAUUACUAUCAACUCCCAAAAAAAAAAAAAAAAAAAACUGUGCAAUCCAAAAAAUGUUGAUACAUAGUUGGAGUAUCAAUGCCUGAAAUUGGUAUUUGAACCACGAAUAUGUUUGUUAGCUUAAAGGUUUGGGUUGAAGUUGUGAAAGGAAAUGUAAUUUCUUAAAAGAAGGAGAGAAUGCAAAGAUGAAUACAGAAUGGUUCAUGUGGCCACCUUGUUAAGGCACAGAAAAAGACAUCAAAUUUUAUACUUGUUGCAUCCAAGGUAUGCAACAGCCUCCCACAGAAAUUACAGAAAUCAAAUCAAGAAAAAAGAUAAUUACACAAUAAUUACACCUUCACUAAGAAAAUAAAUUAUAAAAACGAAGACCGUGAGAAUAAUUACCUUACCUUUGUACGGUGAUUGGCUGCCAAAAAAAAAAAUAAUGUCAUAUACAUUAAGCCUGCCAAUUACUAAAAACAAAACAUUUUGCCAUGAGGAGAAGUAAGAACAUACCGAAACUUGUUUGCAAAUAGAUGAGAAAAACUUAUUCCUGAAACAGAUGGAAAAUUUAUUAGGAAAGAUAAAUCAGCCCACAUGUGUGUAAUCUAUAUACAAAAAACCACUCUCUUCAAUAGCCAAAUCGUUUCACAAAUCCAAAAACACAUAAUUAUAUCUUGAACAAUGCCAAUUAAUGAUUUCCCAUUUACUUAAGCCAACAACAAAGCCAAUGAACUGAUGAAAGAGCAAAACAGAGAAACAAAAAACCUCAAUUAAGUAAUUAAAUGGAGUAUUACUUGAUAGAGCUGGAAAAUUACCCAGUUCCUCAGAGAGAGGAUCAAGAGUGACUGAUGAGAGUGCAGAGAAAAGAAUGAUUGAGAAAUUCAAGUUCUGAGCUCGAAGUUGGGGCUUCCACUUUCCAACUGGGGAAGAAAUAACAGAGAAAACACAGAGAGCCAAUCCACCAAAUAUUAAUCAAAUGGGUUUCUUCUAAUUCAAAAUUUGGACCACCCAAAUUCCAAUGAAGCAAUAACCAUUCAAAAUCCAACAGAUUGAAGCCCUCACAGACUACUAAUUAUCAAUACCCAGCAAUAAAAAAUUUGAAAACAGUAAUAAUGAAGGAAAAAGAAAUUAAAGCUGCAAGCCAUUCUCUAAAUCUCAGGCACCAAUCCAAAUCACCAGUAAUUUGCACAUAAUGAUAAGAAUCUAGCAGUAUUUCCAUUGUUUAAAAACCCAAAUUCAAGAAAUCAUGAAAAAUGGAAACUUUAUUUGGAAAUUGAAGCUUUACCUGCAGAUCAGCAGCAGCAAACGGAAUCCAACGGCAUGUACCUCAAAAGUGAGAGAGAGAGAGUUGAGAGAUGAGUGAGAGAAUCGAUAAACAAAACCCCCCAAAAUCACAAAAGGAAAAUUGAACAGAAAACAAAUUUGCAAAUCCAAAAUCACAAGAACGAAAUUGAAACACCCACACUGAGAAAGCUGCAAUACUCACCAGGAAGCUAGCUUUUCUGGGUAAAAAAAUUGUUCGAAUCGAAUUGAAGAACCGAGGAAAAUUCUACUGGUUCAGUGGUUUUUCCAGCAAGAAAGCACCUUGUUUGUAAUUCGUGAGAGGUUGGACAGCGAGAGAGAAAAACGUAAAGGAAAGGAAAAGCGGAGAAGAAGUCACGAUUAUCGACGCGUGGGUUGCAUUCCACUGUGCCAAGUUCGAAAAUGAACGGGGAAUGGGGAGCUUGGCCGAGGGAGACAGAAUUCGAGAAGCAGCGUUCUGAUUAAUUUUUUUUUUUUUUUUUUUAUGAGAGAGGGAAAGCGGAAUGAAGAGAAUCGAGAAGAGGAUGAACCAUUUCAAUUUUUAAGCGAUGAUCGACGCGUGGGACUUGAGGGCAAAUUUGCCAUUUUGCUGUGAACCCAUGAAGCAUCAGAAUACACAAAAGUCAAGACUUGGCUUGGUUUAUAUAAUUAAUCAAUAAUAUUCCUAACAAGAGCUAGGUCCAUAUAUUAUACGAACAAUACUUAGCUGCUGAAUUCCUACUUUCAACCAAUCAAAUUUUGACACGUGUCCAAAUAAUGAAAUUAUAAAUACAAAUUGAACACGUGUCCAAAUAUGAUUGGGUGAAAAUAGGAAUGGCUGUUGAAUUUUCAGCCGCCAAGUAUUGUUCUUAUACAAGGUUCUAAAUCUAAUAGAUGUUGUGGCUAGACGAGGCUUAUUGACUAGACGGAUUUAAGUAAAUUUAUUCUAUAUUAUAAAUAAAUGUUUUUUUAUACUUAAAAUGACACAUAAUUGUAUUGAGAUAUAUAAAUUGUAAAAUAAAAUAACAUAUAUAUUAUAAAGUAUUGGAACAUGAGAGAAAAGACCUAAAUGUGAAACGACAACUAUAAACAAUUAUUCAAGAUGAACGAUAAAUGAUUCAACCAUUUACAAGAUUCAAAACAUGAGAUCACGAUCUACUGAAUGAUUGCAUUAACUAUUAAGCGGUGCCCUAAUAUAAUACAUCCAAAUGGGGGUGGACCACAUAAUACACCCAAUGGAUCGUUUUUAAGCUACUCCACUGCUAAAACUAUUGCAAAAUGCGUUAGGAUUAUACUUCUAUUAGCUGCGCCUUUCCUUACUAGGCAAAUGGGGGUGGACCACAUAAUAAUGUUAAAACUGCUAUGUCUAUUGGGUUUCUCUGUUUAUUUCAUGUACUAGUUUAUGUUCCUUUUAUUGUAUAAAUAACUUGUACUUGGGAUGUUGCAGAACAAGUUUGAUUUGAAUGAAAUUACUACUAUUGAGUUAGCUGUCAAGCUUCUCUUUAUUCCAAGCUUGCAUUUUGUUCUACCUUUUCCAAUUCUCUACAUCCCUAAGAGGACUGUAUCAGAUGUUAUACACAUUGGAGUUUGAGCAGAAUUCUUUUUGUUAUCUUGUCUCACAUUGCUAGAAUUGAAAAGUUCAUAAUAUAAUAACAUUCGCGUAUGAACUUGAGAAACAACAUACUACUGGUUGGCCUGGAAGGUGCAGUGAAAGAGAGGAAAGGAAGAAAGAAACAAACACGAAAGGACAAGGACUAUCCAAUAGAUUAUAAACAAUGACUUAUUGGGGAUGAUUACGGCUAUUAAAUCAUCAAUAAUGCAUUAUUUUAGUUUGGAAUUUGGAAGCAUUUGAGAAGUAAAAUGACAACAACUACAUAAUAAACAAAGGUGAUUAGAAAAAAGACCCAAAUGUGAAAGAAUAAUUAAAAACAAUUACUCAAGAUUAGUGAUAAAUGAUUCAACCAUUUACAAGAUAUGAACUUAGAACAACAAUCUAUUAGAUUGUUGUAUUAAUGAUUAAGUGAUGCUCUAAGAUAAUAGAUCCAAAUGGGGACGGACCAUAUAAUACACCCAAAUGGAUGCAAUCAUGCCAUAUAUAAACAAUGUUUUGAAAGGACAAGGUAGCUAAAGCUGCCUUUUUAUAUAUGUAAGCAACAACCCUAAAUCUUACUGGAACUAAUUAACUAAUGUAUUUAUUAGACAGUUGGAUUCCUUAGCAAGUGGUUAACUAGUUUUGUUUAGUUUAGUAGUCAGGUCGUAAUUAAUUAGUCAAAUGAAAAUGCAUAUAACACACCCAAAUGGAUGCCAUAUAUGCAUACUAUUUUUGUUUAGUUUAGUAGUCAGGUCGUAAUUAAUUAGUCAAAUGAACCUGCAUAUAACACGCCCAAAUGGAUGCCAUAUAUGCAUAUAUAAACAAUGUUCUCAAAGGAUGAAAUGACUUUCUUGCCGGUAUGGGGGAAGAGGAAAGAAACUAGCACGAAACUGCAGACCCUAUCGAUCCAUUAUAAUAAAUUUCAAUGGUCCAAUUUGUAAGUUAAUUGUGCAACAUAAAAACUUAUUUACAGUUAUCAACUUAACCACGUACCUGUGAAAGACAUUAUCUCAGAAAACUAGGAUUAAGAACCAAAGUUCUCCUGGAACUCUACACAACUUAAGGCUCGCUCAAUGGGGCUUGAGUUUUUUGUAAACUUGCGUAUUUUUGGAAACGCAUCAAAUAGUAGUUAAAACAUCCGGCCGUAAAUAAAGGGUUUGAGAUACCACCAUAGUGAUAUCCCUCAGAUGUGAGUUUCUCACGUAUCAAAUCACUUAUUGUAAGAAUAUUAGUAGUGAAAGUUAAAUACCCGUGUUGGGAAAGGAAGUCGAUGAUGACAAGAGAGAAAUUUGGCUUGAAAAAUGUAUGAUACUUGCAACAUGCGUCACCGGAGUAUCAACUUGAAGCUUUCCAUCUCUCCGUCGUUAAAUGUUUCGUAAGCAGCGUUGUUGAAGUUCUCUAUGUCAAGGGGAAACUGAAGAUGGUUUUAAAUGAAGAAGAAUGGAAAAUAUAAUUUAGAAAAUGAGAAAGAAAAUUAUAAUUGAAACUAAAAAAAUAAGAAAUAAAAAGAGAGAUUUACUAUUUUCUAUGAGGUCUUGGAGUUGGCCGUGACAGUAAGAGAGGAUAAGCGAAUGAAUUGGGCCAAUUACUUGCUCUCUUGGACUUUGGGCUUUUGGAUUGGAUUGGGCCAAUUACUUACUUGGGCCCCAUCCCAACUUAUGACUUUUUGUCGGUCGGUAUUGACUGAGGUGAACGUGCUAAACUAGAAAUUUGAGAUUUUGAAUUAGCAAAUGAAUGUUAAGUAAGAGCGUCAUGAUCAGACUUGUAAGACUGUCUUUGUUGCGUUUUGUCAAAACCGGUCCAUCUAAUUACAAAUUGUAACCAUAUUAGUUGAGUAUAUAUAUGCUACAUCACAUUAGUGAAUAUUCAGUACGGGUGACACAUGGUCAGACUUGUAGGUUGUUCAUUAAGAAGUUACCACGUUCUCAAGAGUGGAGCUAGAGGGGAGCACUUCCCUACCAAAGUGUUUUCCUUCUCCCCUUUACAAGGGAUUUGUGUCACUAUUAGAUAGGAGAUUCGAAUACAAGACCUUGAAUUGAGAGGUCACACUUUUACAAAGCUUCUACGAGCACCUUCUUGUUUACCAAACUCAUUGAGACUAAAGGAGGUCUUAACGCCAUUUUGGCUAAUACUAUUCUAUAUAUUUACGAAUGGUUUUAAGUUUGGGUUUAAUUGGAUAAUCAGAGAGUAGUGCAUCAAACUAUGGAUAUUCAGAAACCGAAAGCAUAAUUCAUAUUCCUCCAACAAGUCCACGCAAAUAACCACAAUCAGAAUGUUAGUUCAUAACUGGCCAUAUAGAACGCAGUACAAAAGCACUAAAAGCGUCCAAGUGAAAGUGCUUUCUCCUCAUGCAGUUUCAUUUAACUUAGUUUCACAUGCCAGUCCGUCACACACUCAACUCCUCAACGUUCGGGUUCAAAGCAUUCUUUAUCCUUUCUGUACGAGAGACAAUAAAUUUAAAGUUCUUGUGAUGAAAUCAUGUAAAACAUUCAGAAAUCUUGAUUUAAUCCUUUCUCAAGAUCAUAGGUUGUGUCAUCUCAACUUAUAUCUUAGGUCUUAUGAGUGCUCGUAAUACACUAAUACGGCACUUGUUUUCUGGCCAGGACAGAAACAAAAUCAUGUAGGAAAUUGUCAUGACAAUAAAGGUCGUACCCAGUGCACAAGGCUCCCGCUUUAAGCAUGACAAUAAAGGAAAUUGUCAUGUAGGAAAUUGUCAUGACAAUGUAAGUGUAAAAUGAGACCGGAAAAACACUAAACAGGAUGACUAUGCUCUCUUAGCGUAAACCUUAACAACAAAGACUAUACCGUAUCUGUCACCAAGGGCGGAGCCACCAUAGGCCUAGGGGGGCGGAUGCCCCCACUGAGAUUUUUCUGAUGCUGGCAUGAUGACCUUCAGAUGCUUGAGAUUCGGCAAUGGUGGAGAGCAGAUCUUUCUAAAUUUCUUUGGAAAGAAGAGAUCCUAAACCAAGCACACAAACAAAAAUUUGAGAACAGCAAAUACAAAAAUUCGACAGUGAUCAAACCCAUCAAGCAUGCAUAUAUAGAUACAUGUUAUAUUUAUAUACCAUAGCAUCAUGAACUUUUAGUGUAAUUUUUCUGAAGCAGUCAAAACUUUCAAGAUAAUCUCGUGCUGCUCAAAUUGAUAUGGUUCUACAGCAGCAAAGCCCACACUGCGAUUUUUCUGGUUCUACUCUCCGAUCUGGUUCUGUAGAAGCAGAGCUGGGUCUUAUUUUAUUUUUUUUCAAAACCAAGCCAAAACGACAUCGUUUUGGUCCUGGUAAAAAAAAAUUUAAAAAAUGUAAACGAAACGGUGUCGUUUCGUAUAUGUUUGAAAAAAUAUGUUCGAGGAUGCCCCCAUUCACCCAAAUGUCUGGCUUCGUCCCUGUCUGUCACAGUGAUAUGCGACCAUAAGCCCAACUCCAAGGAUCAGCUUUCCAAGAACUUUGAAGGCUACAAAUCAAAAGUUACAUGCAGUGAUGACAUAAUCAUGAAAAAAUACAAUCAUAAAUUAAAGGAAAACAUACCGACUUCUAGUUCUGGCAAUUCACUAUUGGCCCAUAUAUUUGAACCACAAUAUGAUGGAUACCCAAUACAGAUCACAAAUAAAAUCUGAGCAGACACAAAGUAUUAUGUUUUGUUUACGCAAAAUCUGUAAGUUCUCAAGUAGGAUAAAUAAAGAUAAACAUAUCCCAGCAUAAAGACGACUUGUCCUGGCUAAUUCUAAGAAAGCUUGUAUCAAAUGUAUGAUAGUUAUUCAUAACUAACACAAACAACAGUUUGGCCAAACAUUACUGGUCUGAGCCAUAUACUGUGUGACCUCAGACAAAACAGAUCCCACAUGUACUCAGAUUAUGAUUGAUGUCCCAAUAGACUUUUAGGCGGUGCUCUGAUAUAAUACAUCCAAAUUGGGGUGGACCAUAUAAUACACCCCAAUGGAUCGUUUUAAGCUCCUACACUGCUAAAGCUAUUGCAAAAUGCGCAUUAGGAUUAUAUUUCUAUUAGAAGCGCCUUUCCUUACUAGGCAAAUGAACCAUAUAAUACACCAAGAUGGAUGUUAUACACGUUAGCGUUUGGGCAGAAUUUUUUUGGUUAUCUCAUUGUCUCACAUUACUAGAAUUGAAAAGUUUAUAAUAUAAUAACGUUCGAAUAUGAACUUGAGAAACGACAUACUGCCGGUUGGCCGUAAAGGUGCAGUGAAAGAGCGAAAAGGAAGAAAGAAACAAACAUGCAUGAAAGGACAAAGACUAUCCAAUAGAUUAUAAACAAUGACUUCUUGGGAUGAUUACAGCUAUUCAACCAUCAAUAAUGCACUAUUUUAGUUUGGAAUUUGGAAGCAUUUGAGAAGUAACAUGACAUCAAUCACAUAAUAAACAAAAGUGAUUACAAAAAAACCCAAAUGUGAAGGAAUAAUUAAAAAAAAUUAUUCAAGAUAAGCGAUAAAUGAUUCAACUAUUUAUAAGAUAUGAACUUAGAACAACAAUCUAUUGGAUCGUUGUAUUAACUAUUAAGUGGUGCUCUAAUAUAAUAUAUCCAAAUGGAGACGAACCAUAUAAUACACCCAAAUGGACCAUUUUUAGGCUCCACUGCUAAAAACUAAUGCAAAACGGGCAUUAGGAUUAAACUAUAAGAACUAGGAUUGCAGGGAAGACAAAACACGCAGGAAAGCUAUAAGACUACACAAGGUUUUCACUGUGAUUGCAUACCCUCAACGUUGUAGGGAGCAACCUUUUUAUAAUCACUUUUCAGAUUACAUCAGGGUUUCAAAAACCCUAUUAACAAGCUUACAUUUUGAAAUUCAAAUACUAUAACUAAUUCUGACAAAACAAAUAUUUAAAAAUUCAAAUGAUUUUAACAGAAGCUCUACUUGAUAAGUGUUGUUGACUGAGUAAACCAACUGAAGAGUUUCUGUUUGAACAGGAAACUUGACUCCGUCUAACAUAAACUUGUAUUAGCUAGCUUUCCUAGUCAAAUGAACCAUAUGAUACACCCAAAUGGAUGCCAUCAUGCCAUAUAUAACCAAUGUUUUGAAAGGACAAGGUACCUUAACACUGUCUUUUUAUAUAAUGUAAGCAACAACCAUAAAUCUUACACAAAUCCUGGUAAGUCUACCACAAGUGUCAAUCCUUAUCUCCUUAUCAUUCCACAUCACCAAGUGUUUGCUCUCGUAUAGAACUUACAAAAAUCUCAUUUAGUUUCAUCUAACUUAUUUUUCACAACGGUGAAUAUAUUUCAAUGGCUUGGUUUUCACAUGCCAGUCAGUCACAUGCUCAACUCCUCAAAGUUCGGGCUCAAUGGCUCGAAGAGAGCUUCCACUUCACUCUGAUUCACCUCCCUCUUACUUUGACGGGUUCCACUUCGGAUUCUGCAUUGACAAAAAACAGAAGCAAAAGAUUGUUGAGAGUUGUCCCACGUUGGUGAGGGACAAGGCUUGCUAUGUACUUAUAUGAAUUUGGGCUACUUUCAAUAUUGUCAAUUGGUUUUAUGGUGGAACCUCAAUUUCAUCAUGGUAUCAGAGCCAAGUUGUUGACGUGUGAAGCCCAAUGGCCACACGCACUUCACGUCACCUAGCUGUUGUCCACGUGUAGGCUUGAAAAUCCGUCACACGUGCGGGGACGUGUUGAGAGUUAUCCUACAUUGGUGAGGGACAAAGUUUAGCUAUGUGCUUAUAUGAUAUUGGGCAACUUCCCAUAUUACCAAUUGAUUUUAUGAUGAACCUCAAUUUCAUCAAAGAUAACGACCUGUUCUCAUACAAGGAAAGUAAGAUGAUUAUAUAACUGUAGGUCUAGUACAGGCUGUAAUGGUUUAUGUUGCAGCAACUCCGUCAGCAAGUGAUUUUCAAGUAAGGAAUCUUGAGCAUAAUUAACGAACCUGAUCCUUGUCCACCAAAACUGCCCGCACACCUUCAGCAAAAUCAUUCCGCAAAGACGAUCUUCUAGCAACGCGAUAUUCAGUUUUCAUCACACCAGUUAGCUGGUAUGGAUCAAGUAAAGCACAUGUUACUCACUCAGAAAAUGUGAAAUACUACAACACAAAAUCUAUCAAAAGGAUGCAACCUUGAAGAGCUUCAUUUGCCCACUCCACCACUACAACAGAAACAAUUUGAUAGAAAAUACUUGACAGCCACGUACAAGCCUCUCAAUAGAAGAGUAAGACAGAUUUCAUUUCAUCAUCGAUAAACAAAUGGCAUUGACAAACUUACCAGUAGCAUCUGAACUCUGCUGCUGCUUUUUAAGUUCAUCAAUUGUCACAAGAACCGACUUAUUUGCACCAAAUGCUGAAGUUAUUUGAGGUAAAAGACUCCUGAGCUGCGCUUCGAAUCUGGGUUGCUGCUGAAUUUUGCCACAGUUGUAAUUGACAACAUUGACAAUUGUCUCUCUCGCAAUAGUACCUUCGUAAUGAUCCGCUACUGACCUUGGCCCGAUAGGCCAAUACCAAAGGCCAUUGUUAUGGCCACGAAGCUUAUACGUGGCUGUCAAGCCCGACACGUGAAUAGCAUACUCUACUACUGUGUUACAUUGUGAGAAUUUUAUCCAAAAUUAAUUGACAAUAAGUGAAUAAGUUGAAAGAUUAUGUAUGACUUUAAUUAUGCAAAGAGUGAAGAGGCAAUUUUCACCAAACCCCAGUAAAAAAUUUGGGCCUCACAAAUCACUAAACCCAAUAUGCUUUUCUCUUAUGCCUUUCGUUCAUGGUUUGAUAUUCUGGCGUCCGAGGACCCUGACAUGACAAGUUCCAACCUUUUUGUUCAAUUUCUUGACGAAACAAUCACAUUUACCCUUACGGCACGGCACGGUUCCGGGCAUAGAAUAUGGGUUGGGUUCCGCCACAGAUCCAACACUAAUUAGCACUGUAGAGAAGGAAGUAAAGACAACUAUUGAUUUCUUACAACGUAGCGAGUCUCUUGACAUGACUCCUGCUGUUUUGUUCUUAUUUCACGUCCUGUUUCUCGAGCUUGGUGUUUCCGGCAGGGCCGGUCUAAAGAUUUUUGAGGCCCGGAGCGACGUAAAAAAAUAUGCCCUCACUUAUAUAAGAAAAUUAUUUGUUUUCACAUGUAAGACAUCGAUAAAAUUAUACUUACAAAAACACUUAAAACUUAAUAAUUUAGAAACAAGGAAAAACUAAUUUAUUUUGUAUCGUGAGAAUGAUCCAAAAAAACUCUGGGUUUACAAGUAGAUAGAUAUGGGUUUACAAGUUGCGGAUUGCUUUGCUAACUAUGAUGUUGAUCUGGCUGGGGUUCAUUGGUGAGAUUCUUGAUUUCCUUGUGCUACUUUGACAUAUCACCAUAAGUUGUCUUUUUUGCCUUGUUAUAGUUUCGUGUGGGGUUUUUUUUCUUCUUCUAAUGCUGAUUGGGUUCUUUUCUUCCAACUCCUGCCCACUCAUUAUUGUCUGAACCACACCUAGUAUUACCCUCAUAUCCACUAAAACUUCAAGCUUUACCAAUUUGUCACAAGCGAAGAUGGUAGCUCCCAACACCAAUGAGGUUCCAAACAAUUACGAUCGAAAACGCGAAGUGAAAGCUUUUGAUGAGACAAGGGAAGGCGUUAAGGGUCUUGUUGAUGCCGGGGUAGCCGAGGUUCCUAGAAUUUUUCAUCAACCACCACAAUUGGACGAUCAGUACUCCAUCAACAAUACAAGCACUGACUCAGAAGCCACCCAGUUUAGCAUUCCGCUAAUAGACCUUGAAGACCAUGGUAAUCCAACUAAGCGCAAUGAGAUUGUUGCAAAGUUGGAGAGGCAUCAGAGACUUGGGGCUUCUUUCAAAUAGUGAAUCAUGGGAUACCUGUAGGUGUUCUGGAGGCGAUAAAGGAUGGGGUACGUGGGUUUUAUGAGCAGGACACUCGAGUCAAGAAAGAGUUUUUACACUCGUGAUCACUCUAAACCUUUGUUUUACAAUAGCAACUUUGAUCUUUAUAGUUCACUGGCAACGAAUUGGAGGGAUACUUUUAAGUGUUACAUGGCUCCAUAUCCUCCUAAGCCAGAAGACUUGCCAGAAGUAUGCAGGUAUUUGACAACCCAAUUCUCUGGUUUAAUUGGUGACAGUAACCUGGUGCAGAUUCCUUCCUUGAUGGAUUAGAUCAUUAAACUCCAUACUUUUGACAAGUUUAAUGUGCUUUCCUGGUUUUCAACUUGCAGAGACGUACUGAUCGAGUAUUCAAAGCGAGUAAUGGAGUUGGGGAAAUUGUUGUUUGAGUUGUUGUCGGAGGCCCUUGGGCUAAAGCCAAGCCACUUGAAUAGCAUAGAUUGUAGUAAGGGGCUACAGGUUUUAGGCCAUUACUAUCCUGCUUGUCCACAGCCAGAGUUAACUUUGGGCACAAGCAAGCACGCUGAUGAUUCCUUCCUUACGGUCCUUUCUGCAAGAUCAUAUUGGUGGUCUGCAAGUUGUUGAUCGUCAAAAUAAGUGGAUUGAUGUACCCCCUGUGCCUGGGGCUUUAGUGGUGAACAUUGGAGAUCUUUUACAAGUAAGCACACGUAUACAAUUGCCCUUUUUUUUUCUCCCUAAAAACUACUAUUAAAUUAAGAGAAUAGUAUCGUAAACUAAGCUAGUUUGUUAAUGACUAAUACUCGAGACAAGCUUUGGUCGCAUGUUAGCGUUCUCUUAGAAUAUGUCUUAGAAUUCUUCGAUUAUCAUAAUUAGGUCUUUUAUGUUCAAUUCUUUUUGGGAUUUUCAGCUCAUAUCAAAUGAUAGAUUCAAAAGCGUAGAACACAGGGUAUUGGCGAACCGUGAAGGUCCAAGGAUAUCCAUUGCCAGCUUCUUAGCACAGGUUUGCUACCAUUUACAAAUCUCUAUGGACCUAUUAAGGAGUUGGUAUCAGAAGACAACCCUCCAAAGUACAGGGAGACUACUGUGAGGGACUACGACACCCAUUUCUAUGACAAAGGCCUAGAUGGAACCUCUGCCUUAUCUCAUUUUAAGAUCCCAACUUAGACAUGGAGGAGCACAGAAGCAGAGACCGCAACGAACAAAUCCUGUCUACUAAAUAAUUUGGCAUGAAAAUAUAUAUUGGUUUGUUUAAUCUGAAAGCACUUUCGCACCACAAAAUUCUGGAUAUGCAUAUUAUUUUGUUUUCUGUUUGCAUAUGGUCUAAUAUACUUGUAGAAAGGGUUGGGUUUCUACCCUUGCGUCUCAGGUACGAAACUUCCCCUCCUAUAAAUUAUUGUAAUAGCUUCGAACUCUCUAUCUUCCGCAAAAAAAAAAAAAAAAAAGGGGGGUUUUCUAACACUUCUAUUCAUCAUGUUUACAGUUUUUGUGGCAUGCGCUUAACGAAUUCAACUGUGGUUGUGGUUGCGGUUGCGGUUGCAUAUCAAUACUAUUAUACCAUAAGUGUGGGCUUGUUUGAGAAUGUUUUUGUUUGUAAGAAGCGGUUUUACACAGUAGUUAAAAUAUAUAUAUGUAGAAAGAAAACAUACAAGUUGGUUGACAAAAGGGGAAGAAAAAUUGAGAGAUACAGAGAAUAAGAAAAGAAGAAAAUCGAUGCAAAUUUUAAUAUAUAUGUAGUAGAUCCAGGUAUCCAAAGGAUUCGGGGCUAAUGUACCUGCAUUGAUGAAAAAACAAAGAUGAGAUUUUUUGAAACGCAUCACAUAGUAGUUAAAAUACCUGGCGGUAAAUGAACGGUUUGAGAUAACGCCAUAGUGGCAUCCCUCAGGUGUGAGUUUCUCUCGUAUCGGAUCACUUAUUGUAAGAAUAUCAAUAGUGAAAGUUAAAUACCCGUGUCGGGAAAGGAAGUCGAUGAUGACAACUGACAAGAGAGAAAUUUGGCUUGAAAAAUGUAUGAUGUUUGCAACAUGCGUCAUGAAAACUUAAGUGUCAUGAAAACUUAAGUGUAAAAUGCGACCGGAAAAACACUAAACAGGAUAGCUAUGCUCUCUUAGUGUAAACCUUAACAACAAAGACCAUACCGUAUCUGUCACAGUGAUAUGCGACCAUAAGCCCAACUCCAAGGAACACCUUUCCAAGAGCUUUGAAGGCUACAGAUCAAAAGUUACAUGCAGUGAUGACAUAAUCAUGAAAAAAUACAAUCAUAAAUUAAAGGAAAACAUACUGACUUCUAGUUCUGGCAAUUCACUAUCGGGCCAUAUAUUUGAACCACAGUAUGAUGGAUACCUACAAUACAUAUCAUAUCACAAAUAAAAUCUGAGCAGACACAAAGUAUUAUGUUCUGUUUACGCAAAAUCUGUAAGUUCUCAAAUAGGAUAAAUAAAGAUAAACAUAUCCCAGCAUAAAGACGAUUUGUCCUGGUUAAUUCUAGGAAACCUUUAUCAAAUGUAUGAUAGUUAUUCAUAACUAACACAAACAACUGUUUGGCCAGACAUUACUGGUAUGAGCCAUAUACUGUGUGACCUCAGACAAAAUAGAUCCCACAUGUACUCAGAUUAUGAUUGAUGUCCCUAUUGACUUUUACCUUUGAAUUAGAGAUUCAUCUGUUGUAGGGCUAUCCAAUAUUGGAUUUGCAUAAAACGAGCCUUUUAACGUAUCUGCAAAACCAGAACACAAACGGAAAAUGAAUGAUCCUAAGUUCUUAGAGUUUCCAAAGAAACAAAAUUUAAAACAAAGAACAUAAAGUGAUACCAGGCUUUCCAGAUUCCAGCUUCUCUUUUUCCAUGACUCCAUCCAAAAUUGUACCUAAACAUGGAUGGCAGGUAAAAAGAAGAUAAGCAAUAAAACUUUGUAAAGAUUCCCAAGAAAAGCAAUAAAACUACGUAAAUUAUUAGUUAAUAAUGUCAAGACCAUAGUCUCUGAAAAUCCAAGAGUUGAGAUGCGGCAGGGAUUUUUGGAAUUUUUCUCUAUUGUAAGUAAAACAUAGAUUGAUGUUUGUGUUUACACGAAAAUUAUGCCAACGGCUUAAGAGAAAUCAAAGUAUAACAAUGGGACUAAAAUGACUUACCUACUAUGAGGAUCUUCAAGUUCCUUCUUCACCUCUUCGGGCAGAUUGGCUAAUCUAAUAAACAAAAAGAAAACUCCCAUGAGCAGUGCUAUAACAAACUAUCUUCCUAAAUUCAUUAUGAAUUGCAGUUAAAACUUAAAAUGAACAUGAAAAUCCUACGUAGAAGGGAUAUACCUAGGUGACAAGCCUAGAAGAUUCCCGCGCAAGGAAGAAUAUCCCGGAACCUGCAAUUGAAAACUCAAAGAAACAAUUACAAAGAUGCUAGAAAGAAAAUACGUAUCAGUUUACAACAAAACGCUAGCUCUCACAAGAAUCGAUUAGGUAUGAAGCAUCAAAACAACAGCAUGAGACAUCAUAAUUUAUGAGCUAUGAAUGGAAUAAUGGAGCAAAAUAUCGUUGCCCAAACAGCACAAUCUACAAUCUACAUGACGGAGAAAGUACCCCGACAUUACAUAUGCAAGUUCAUGUGGUUUAUGUGGUUUAUCUUUUUAACCGAUUCGUUAACAAAUUCUUUCUGCACAUAUAGUUUUAACUUACCAAAACUGGUAAUGGAAGAGAUAAUCAGUAAUUAACAACGGUAAUCGCAUAACGAAAUCAUACUUGAGUGAUUGAUAGGAUUCCCAACCCAUUUGGUCCAAAUCCUUCUUCAAUCUUCACUGACAAAUCUUUGUCCCUGUCCUGUAUCAAUCCAAAAUCAAAAAACGAUAAUUAGAAAAAUCGAAUUCUCGACAUGAUCGACGAGUUAAAACAUAGCAAUUAAACAAAACUAUGAAUAAAACAAUUAGAUUCUGUUUGGUUGCUGAGAAUGAAGAGAAUAACAACCACAAAGUCAACUGAAAUAAAAUUUUGCUCUAACUUCAACGAAUUCUCUUGAGUUUCUGAGCACCCAAACAGAAAAAAAAAAAUUAUAGGCAAUCAAACCAAACUCUCAUGCUCAAUUUUCUCGGCAACCACAAAAAGAACUUAGAGGAGGGGGAGAGAGAGAGUUACUUGGAGCUCGGAGUAGGAUAUGGUGACUGGUGUGACGGUGGGGACGACGGGGUCGGAGGACGGAGGCAUAGUUCGACAAUAAAUUUGGCGGGAAAGACGGCGGUUGGAGUGUGACGAUGGGGAAGAAUCCGUGGGAACGAAGAGGAAUUUUGGUGCGGAAGGAGGGUCUUUAUAUCGGAGGGAGGGAGGGAGGGAGAGAGGUUGAGAGCGAAAGGCGUGAUUGUCAAUUUCAAAUUUUUUUUUUUUAGGAAUAAAGAAAGAAAGAGAGGUUGAGUAUCAAUUCCCUUUCCCUCCAAACCAAAGAAUACAUUCACGAUCAUGAUGUGUGUGGCAAAAAUUAAAGGUGGAGACAAAUAAAUUAAAGAGAAUUUUCACGAAAAGUUCAUGGUACGAUUUAUUUUAAUGAAAAAUUAUAUUUUUAUACUAAAAAGUCAAUUUUGAUACUAUUUACUUUACAUUUUAUUUUUGUCAUUAUCGUUAAAACUAAAAACAAUUGAAGCAUUUUUUUACUAUUUUUCCUUAUAUUAAAUAGGUAUAAGUAUUAGUUAAAUUUAAAAUUAAUUGUGUACUAUUAAAAAUUUGUUUGAAAAUGUUUUUAAAAUGACUGAAAGCAUUUUUGAUUAAAAUGUUUUUUAAAUCAAUCCUUAGUAAAACCAAGUGGAUUCUAAAAAGUCAUUUGGAUUACUUUCUACAAAAACCACAUAUCUUGAGCACUUGAAGCACUUUUGGAAUCCAAAAUUAAUUUAACAAAGGUGUGUCUAGUCUUUUUAAUUUUUGAACAAACAAUAUUAUUUAUUUUAAGGGAGGAGAUGAGCUUAACCUCACAAUGGACUAUCAUAUUAAUAAUGUUGUUCAAAUCCACCUUUAUCCAAAAUCAAAUCUAAAACAUCUUACUCACAACUGAAGAGGAAUACCUUUACAUCGUAAUACUAAGCGACAUGUUUUUUUAUUUUUAAGAGACGUGUUUAUUCAUUUUUAAAAGACUUAAAAACCAGCACUAAUUUGUAUUAAAUUCUAAAACCUUUGAAUUGGGAUGUAAUAUGCAUUGGGUCUUUAAUAAUAUUUAAGUUGUUUUCGGCAAAAAAUAAGGGAUUCAAUUGGGAAAAAUAACAAAAUAUGAAAUAAGGAUAUUCUAAUUAAGGUUUUUAUUAAUUAUUUAAGGCGGAUGGUUCAUGUGAAGAUUAUGAAACGCUUUAAUUCUCUAAUGUGCGAUUCCAUUUCGAUCCAAAGUUAAACAGUGACAAAUACAAUUAAGGUUGUUAAUUUUUUUUGGUAAAAACAAUUAAGGUUGUUAUUAAUAUCAAUUCAUGUAUAUUUCCGCAUGUGCCACAUUAUUAAGUUAGGCAGUGAAAAAUAUAUAUCGGAUGUUAUGAGAACAUGUGUGGCUGUCAAGCCCUACACGUGAAUAACAUGCUCUCUACUGCUUUAUUACACCGUGAAGAUUUUAUCCAAAAUUAAUUGACGAUGAGCGAAUAAACUGAAAGAUUAUGCGCAACUUUGAUUAUGCAACGAGUGAAGAGGCAAUUUACACCAACCUCCAGUCAAGAAUUUGGGCUCACAAUCACUAGCCAAUAUGCUUUUUUCUCACAUUUACCCUGACACGGCAAGUUCAUAGUUCAAUAUUCUGGUUCUGGUGUCCUAUGACCCUGACACGGCAAGUUCCACUUUUUGUUCAUUUUCUUGACGAAACCAUCACAUUUACCCUUACGGCACGGCACGGUUCCGGGCAUGGAGUAUGGAUUGGGUUCCGUUGCAGUCCCGACACUACAUAGCACUGUAGAGAAGGAAAUACAAAGACAACUUUGGAUUUCUUACAACGUAUUGAGUCUCUCGUCAUGGCUCUUGCUGUGUUGUUCUUAUUUCACGUCCUGUUUCUCGAGUUUGGUGUUUCCGGUUGCAAAUUUUGGUUCGGCAGUGUAGUGCUCAGGAGAGGGGACUGUCUCACGUUGUUCCAAGCAGACAGAGGCGGUUGACAACGAUUGCGACAAUGUGUUUUUCUACUGGGAGAACAUACAGCAGUCAACAGUUAUCUUUUCACAACCGUCUUCAGUAUUUGGAGGCACCUCAAGAAAUUAUCAAGGACAAACGAAUGUAGAAAAGAAGAAAUAUCAAAGUUAGUUGACAAAAGGGGACGAAAAAUUGUGAGAUACAGAUAAGAAGAUAAGACGAUACUCGAUGCAAAUUUUAACGAGCGAUACAGAGAAGAAACAGCUGCAUUUGGAGACAGCUGCUUUAGUUGCCUUGUUUGUAACAUUAGCUUUCUGCAAUUCCGGGGAAGAAACAGGAGUAAAAAAAACAGAGUCAGGCAGUACCAAAAAAGAAAAAUAUACAAUUAGGAACAAUCGUCACUUCUCAAACUUUGUAGUAGAUCCAGGUUUCCGAAGGACUCGGGGCUAAUGUACCUGCAUUAACAAGAAACAAAGAUCAGAUUUGUGGAAGGGAGUCGCAUAGUAGUUAAAAUACUUGGCCGUGCAUGAAUGGUUUGAGAUACCAUCAUAGAGGCAUCCUCCAGGUGUGAGUUUCUCUCGUAUCUGAUCACUUAUUGUAAGAAUAUCAGUAGUGAAAGUGAAAUACCCGUGUCGGGAAAGGAAGUCAAUGAUGACAAAAGAGCAAUUUGGUUUGAAAUAUUGUGUCCUCGGUAUGAUGCUUGCAACAUGCAUCACCGAAUCCACUUGAAGCUCUCCACCUCUCCAUCUGUUAAAUGUUUCAUAAGCAGCAUUGUUAAAGUUCUCUUUAUUUGGGGGGAUAUUGCAGAUGGUUUUGAAUGAAGAAAGGCAAAAAUUCAUGCUGAAGGCAUAGUUUACAACUAGUAUUUGUAAAAGCUAAGCUCUAAAGUGAGCCUUGAUUCUUUGGCACAAAUAGCUAAAGUUUUGAGAUGGGACAAAAUGGGUCCACAUACAGCGCAUCCGAUGGUGUUGAAAUCCUUUUCCCAGUAAGUCAAAGAUAAGCACCAAGAAAGACAUGACAGUGUUAAACUUAAAACAAAUACAGAACUAAGAAUUGAUGCAUGAAUCAAACAGAGAAAUGGUACAGGCCAUUCUCUUUAUAUUCUUAUAAUCUAAACAUUUCUCCUUAUCAACACUGGAAAAACAGCUUGCUUCAGUCAUAGGAAAUAAAUUGCGCCUAGAGUAUAGAAAAGACAUACCUACAGAUCCUCCUCCUGGACUCUUUGCCGCUAUACGUGAAAACCCAACAUCUGGGAACAACCAAAUUACAUUCUCUGGCAUGGCAAGAACAGUCCUCUGAAAUGUAUCCAUACAAAGUUAAGACACAAAAAACUCAAAAAGGCAAUGUAAUUCACAACAUUGACAAUCUCUGUCUGACAAGGCAAUAAUACCUCUGUAAUGAUCCGGUAGCGACCGUGACCUGAUAGGCCAACACCAAAGCCCAUUGUUAUGCCAUCCAUGAAGAUAGGGCUUCUUGUACUCAGAGAUUUUGCAUAUUAGAGAAUACUCAGCAGUGAAUACCUGAAAAACAUGCAGCACAAGUAUCAUACCGGUAGCCUCUCAAUCUUAAGAAAUGGUAGCUUAGAAAAGAUAUGAAUCCUAUCCAACCACUACAAAUCAUAUUACCCAAGUUCAAGCAAAAUCACGACUAAACAAAUGAUCAGAUGUUGUAGGUUGCCCGAGAAUGUCAAACAUGAAAUUACAAGAAAAAAAACAAUCGUAUGUAUUGAACAUUAAUAAAUACUUGCUGAAAGCACAAUCUUAGCUGCCAUUUAUGACAUUUAUACGAGAUUGAAUAGCCAAAGCAAUUAAAGAAGUAGCAGAACUCAUAUAAGUGAUUUUCACUUUGAACUUUUAGGCUUAUCAGCAAAUACAUCAUUACGAUUCUAACGCAUGAAUUUUGUUAAAAGGGGCUUGCUUGCUUGUAUUAAGGCUUAAUCAUCAAUGAUUUUGCAAGGGUCAAUCGUCUUGAUAGUUGUAAUCUAUGCACUAUGAAAAUUACCAAAAUUACAUCUUAUAUGGUAGAGAAGGAAGUCAUCUUAUAUUAUCUGGAUUUUAGAAAACGGUGUAAGGUUAUAAGUCUGUUAUUCUAUAUAGUUUAAAGGACACAAUUAGACAACAAUCAUAUUUGGUGGUUGGUUUUUGGCCGUGAUCUGCUUCACAUCACCGCCCGCAGGUAAUCUAAAUCUGGGUUAUUACUUAUCAAUGAAUCAAAGUGCCAACUUAUCGGACACCAUCUAUCUCUAUAUGGCAAAAAAAAUAACACAAAAAGGAACAAUGAAGUGAAACAAUAAACAACAUGACAUGAAACAGCACGAACAUCAAAGACCAACAAUCUAUCACAUAAGCACCUAAACAAGAAACAACUUUAGUUCAAAGCAAAGCGUAAUGUAGAAACCUUCGGCACAAGAGGCGUGUUUUUGUCCUUUUGAAUUUCGGCAACAACAACUUUAAUAUCCUUACCUGCACUUACCAUGAUUGCUCACUCUCAAAACCUUACCUAAGAGACCCCAAAACCAAAAUAACUGCCAAAAGAGCUGAACAUACAUAUCUAGAAAAAACUUAUUCAACUACAUGCUAAAAUGGAAGUGUAAAAUUGCCAGGAAAGAUAAGAAACUAUUCAAAUACGAGUUCUGGGCGUUACCGCCACAAAAGGCACGAGCCGAGCGGCUAUCAACAAGAACACACUUCACAUUUGGGUGAGAUUCCCAUUCAUCCAGAUAGCUCUUGUAUUUCACAUCCAAAUCUGCAUUUUCCAACAAUUCCCACUUAAACAGAAACACAAAAUUCUUCCAAAAAAAGCUAACUUCUUCGAAAUUUGAAUCCAACGUUUCGUCUUAUAACAAAUGCAAUAACAUAGAUUUGUAAUCAAUACGAUGCCAUAAAGUUCAAGCUCAAAAAUUCAAAUCAUCUCCAAAUCAAAUGCAAUUACAGAUAUAUACAUAUAUACAUAUACGUUUGUGUGUUUAUCUACAUACCUAGGUUUAUGGCGUUGAGAGCUCGGGGGGUGACCGAGGGUGAUGACGGCGACGCCAAAGGUGCGGAGAAGGCGAGGGGAUUUGGAGGGUUUUGUAAAGAGGGGAUUUGCUCAGAAUUUGGGUCGCUCGUCCCUCUUAUGGGAGUGACUCAAAAAUCGAAAAAGUUGAAAUUUAUUGAUUGUGAUCUGACUCAAACAUGUGAUGAUGACGAUGCAUCACCACCUUGGUUGUGCCUCUGGAUCAAAAACCUACCAUCACCAUCAAAAUCGUGCACAUUUUCCUUCAUAGGCUUGUCCCAUACUAGAUUAACCCCUGUUCCCUUAAUUGUCACAUUAUCAGAUGUACUGUUUCAAAAGUUAUAUCAACUUUAUCCCCGCUUUGCAAAUUGAGCUUAUCGUUCGAUAUUUGUCCCUGCCAAAGAAAACAUUUUCCAGAUACAUUGUGCAUUUUUAUAACCCAAUCUUCCUUGCCUAUGCAGGUCUGCAACUCAGUACGCUUGGUAUUAUUUAUAUCAAUACUGGCACGAGGAUGACCAUCUUUGCAUGUGAAAUAAGGUUUGCUAUGAAUUGAAUAUUUAGGAAUAAAGCAGUAAAAGCA
This 148266-nucleotide long non-coding RNA is filed under the name Malus domestica (apple). Its description in RNAcentral is "long non-coding RNA (MDOM_LNC001352)". The record is from RNAcentral. Lineage: Eukaryota; Viridiplantae; Streptophyta; Magnoliopsida; Rosales; Rosaceae.